UCUCUUUUAAAGAAUGUUUAUGUUUGGAUUAGUCUCUUUAGGAUAUGAUCAUUUGUAAUAUUCCACGAUGAUAAAGCUUGACAUGAAAAAGUACUUGUAAACUAAACUAGGGAGACUUACAUUAUAAGAAGUCUCUUUAGAAUAUCGUCUUGAAAUAUUCAAAGAUAAUAUAACAAAAGAACAUAUUUAAAGGAGACUUAACACAAUACAAGCAUUCAUUUAAAAAAAAUUAAGAAACUACAUAGAAAUUAAAACCAAUUCCCGGAACCUUCAGCAAUCAAGUCCUACUUUAGUUCCUGUACUUCAGAAGUUGACUAGGUAUUGAGUAAAAUUUUCCAAGUAGCUUCUUUGUCUCCUCUGAGGAAUGCUUGUCUUGUUCUUAAUCUCCUUAAAUAAAUACCUUUUGCAAUAUUCCAAGCUGAUAUAUAGAAUUUGGUACCGAAAACUACUUCUAAACUAUUUUAUAUACUUAAUUAAAAGAAAAAAAAAGUACUUUGUAUUAUUAUAUGAAAACGAUAAAAUCAAAAUUUUAUUAUUAAUUAAUUAUUUAUGAUCAUCCAAUUAGAAACUGGUGAAGUUUAGGAGAAAGAUCCCAACAAGUUUUAAUUGUAGUUUAUAUUCUAAAAUGUAUGAUAAUUGAAUUCAAAAUAUAUUACUACUUUUAAAAAAUGAUAUUGAACAAAUUUUAAUAUUUAAUAUUUUUUAUUUUUAUAAUGUAAUUUUUUAUAUACAAUUUUUAAAUAUAAUUGUAAAAUAAAAAAAUAAAACAUACAUGAAGCUAGAAAAAGAGAAAAAAUUCCAGUUUCAAGAGACUUAAGGGAAAAUUUUUCUCACGAUUAAUAACAAGUUUUAAUAAAGUUUCAACAAAUUAAUUUGAAAGUAUUAUGGUAAAAAAAUUAAUAAAAUUGAAAUACCGUGGAAAAAAAUUUAAUAUUGAGUUUUUCUGAUUAAUUAAUUGAUUAAUUUUAUCAAUUUGAGCACAUUUGACUUAUAUAAUAAAUUUUUUUAAUUUAUUAAUUUAAAAUUUUAAUUUUAAUUUAAUUAUUUUUAAUAAAAAAUUUUACGAAUUUUAAAUAAUUUUAUCUAAAUUUCUACAAAAAAUCUAUCAAACGACUUCUUUGACCAUCAUUAUGGACAUAAUUCUCAAGUAAUUUUUAAUUUUCUUAAUAUGGUAUCAACGAGGGUCUUUUCUCUAUCAAGCUUUUUCUUUUCCUUUUCCGCGCCUUGUGAUCCGCCACCAUUCUUUCUUAUUGUUCAGCUUUAAUCUUUUGAACAGCUCCCAAUUAAAAUCAAACUAUUUUUUCAUUUAAUCACCAUGUCCCAAUCACUUUUUCUUUUUCUUUUUUUUUUUAUUAUCACCCUCCAUUAUUUUGCUCCCACCAUCAUUCAUUUCACUCCCACCAAUUUUUUAAAUCCCUAAUUUUUCUAUUAAAAAAAUAUAAAUGAUAUAUUUAAAUUUUAUGAAAUAUGUUUAAAUGAAAAUUUUUAUAAUUUUUUAAAAAAUUUAAAUGAAAAUAUUUUAAAAUGCAUAAUUUGAAAAUACAUAUUUUUAUAAUAAUUUUAAAAUAAAUUAUACAUCAAAUCGAAUUUAUAAAAUUUAAUGUCGAUUGACUUAUAAAAUUAAUAGAGCUUAUAUAUAUAUAUAUAUCAAGUAUAAUAAAUAAAUAAAAAUAUAAUAUUUAAUAUUAGUAUUUAUAAUUUUAUUAAAUUUAAUUGAAUCAAGUGAUUCAAUUGAAUUAAAAAUCGAAUUCAAUAACAAAAAAUAAAAUUUAAUAAAAUUAAAUUAAAUUUUAAAUUAAAUUUAAAUUUAAAUUUAAUAAUUUAUCGAUUCAAUUCAAUUUCACUUUAAUCAAGAAAGGAGCCAAAUAUUUAAAGGAGCCAACCUAGCAUCCGAAGAUAUGGAAGAAUCAAUUGCAAAUUUAUGAACUCAUGUUGCAAAACUUAUUGAGAAAUUAAAUUCUGUCAACGAAGAAUUGUCCGAUGAACUUAAAAAUUCCAUGGGACUCCUAUAAUUACAGGAAAUGAAAUUUUCACCACAUAUGUUGACAAAAAAAUGCUGGAAUUAAAGAAUGUAUUAAAGUCUGUGCAAAGGGCAAUAAAAUAAUUGAGGACAAGAGUGAAAAUCAGUACAAACUGAUCAGUCACCACAAAAAGGAGGUACCAAAGGCAUCCAAUGCCAAAGAUAACAGACGUCUCGGCAAGUCCAUCCACGGCGAGGACAAAGCAAGUACAGUUUCUCAGAUUUACAAGAUAAUAUUUAUGUAAAAAACAAAAGUAGUCUGGAUAAAAACAAUCCCUCAGUGCAAAUUUAACUCAGAAGAGAUAUUGCCAACUAAUGUGGAAAGUAGAAUUUCACAGUCGUACCUAUAGUCAGAAAGAAAGAGGUUGUUUCGAGCUAUUUGAACCAUUCAUUUAUAAUGACAUACAGCUGUGAAGAUAAGAGAAUUAAUUAUUUAAAUAUUGUAGAAUCAAUUUUAUCCUAAAAAAAUAAAAAAAAUAAUAUUAUUAAAUAUAAAAAUACAAAAUAUAAAAAAUAAAUACAAAAAAAUAAUACAAAAUAUAAAAAAAAAACAAAAAACAAAAAAAAUUGAGGAUAGCAAUGGUGCCAUCUCGAUAUCAGUGCCAUCAGGCCCAUCACUCAUCCCUUACACAUACUUUGUUCAUCUUAUUCUACUAUCAAAAAAUACAAAAAAAAAAUAAAAGAGAUAUGGGGCUCGUGCUCAUACCCCAUGUCGAGCCCCAUGCCCUUCUCCUCAAACACACACGGUUGAACUCCUAACCAAACAAAAAAAAAAAAGAAAGAAAAAAUGAGGAAGGAUAUUCUGCCAAAAAACAACAAAAAAAAAACAAACAAAAAAUCACAUAGUCCUCCCCGUAGGGAGGAACUCAGCACCGAGCUUCUUGUAAAAAAAAAAAAGAGGUCAAUUUAAAAAAAAAAGAGUCAGAAUACAAAAAAAAAAUCUCACUGAAAUUUUGAAAGUAGAUCAGGGGAAAUAGGGAUUUUUUUUGUGAAAAGGACCUCAGAUCUGAACUCAAGAGGUUGAGAGGAACAUUUUAGUGUUUUUAAAAAAUUUUCGACCAUCGACGACGACGGUCGGUGACUGGCGAACGACGGUGAUGACGGUGGUGAUAGAGGCUGGCCUGCCGACGUUCGGUUGAAGAAGAAACGAAAAAAAAAACAGUCAUUUUUUGUUGGAGAAGAAAGAAAAGUGAUCGAAAAAAAAAAUUGAACCUUUUAUAUAAACGGUGAAAACCAAAACGACGUCGUUUCGAUAAAUGCCCAAAACAACGUCAUUUAGGUCAAAGAGGAUCCGCGGGUUGACUCGAACUCGACUCGGGGUCCGUGCAACUGACCCGCUAAUCUGACUUCUCAACGAUUCUGAAUCGAUUUGAUCAAACUGAACCGAAUCGCUCCCUGGAUCGGCUUAAUCGAACUACUGUUGAACCGAACCUUUUUCGGUCAAAUCAAACCGUCGUUGACUAGUCUGGUUCAGGUAAAAAAAAUUUUUUUUUGAAUUUUUAUAUAUUAUUAUUUUUGUUAUUUAAAAUAUUUUUUUUAUAUAUUUAUGUAUGAUAAGUUUUAAAUUUGUUAGGAUAAGUUUUCUAAUUAUUUUAAUAAUAAUAAAAAUGAGAAUAAGUAAGAUGAUAAUUAAAUAUAUAUAUUAAAAAUGCUUUAAAAAAUAAUAGAAUAAUUAUUAUUAUUUUUCCUACCUAGAUGUUGGAGGGAAUAUAAAAAAAAAUUUUCAAAGAAAUAAUUUCGCCUAGAUGUUGGGAGGUUAUUAUUAAUAAAUUUUCAUAAAAAGAAAUAAUAAGAAGUUUUUAAAUUAAUUUUCAAAAAUUAUUAAAAUCGAACCUACUUCGAAAAUCCGCCUAGAUAUUGAAGAUUUUUUAGAGAUGUUCGCAUUUUCUUAAAAACGAAACCUUAAACGCCAAUUCUUAAUUUUCAAAAUCUUAGGUUUCUAAAACCUCUAAAAAUCUAAAAUCUCUUAAAUCCAAACCCCCCCAAAAUUCGAAAUUCUAAACCUUUAAACUCUUAAAUUCAAACCCUAAAAUCUAAAAUUCUUAAAAUUUAAGCUUUAAAACCCUAUAACCCUUAAAACCAAACCUUCAAAACCUCUACUCAAGCCUUUACUCAAAACCUCCUAAAAUCCUAAGAACACGUGUGAAAAUUUCAUUUGAAGCAAUUUGUUCUCGAAUGCCGCCUAGAUGAUGGGGAAUUUAGUAAAUUUUACUUCGUUAAGUCUUUUUACAUGAUUUUUUAAUUUGCAUUAAUAAUAAGUUUAGUUAAUAACAGUACAACAGUAAAUUAGGAUCUUAAAUAUAAACAAUCGCACCUAAGUUCUACCUAGAUAUUGGAGAGUCGUGGUGGUCUCAUUAUACUUAAAAAUCUAACUUUAAAAUUGCAUCUCAUCUUACAUAAUACUCAUUGGCAUACAUACGUUUGCGUGUUAUCAUUGGUAAUUAUUUACAUUAUUUUAUCUUUAAUUUUUAUUUACUAUUUGAUGAUAAAAUAUUUUAUAAUUAAAAAAUAAAUAAUACCUUUUUUAAAAAAAAACUGUGAUAUUAUAAAAUAAAAUAAAAAUAAUAUUUCGAAGGAAAUAAUUUUUAGUACUCUGUCUAAAUGUUGGAGAGUCACUAACAUUUAUUUUCUAUAAAGAUUGUUAUUUUGUUUUAAGGAUUAUUGUGUUAAAUUUUAAGCAAAAAGAGUUAUUUUAAAUUCUGCAUAGAUAUUGGAGAAUUUUAAUAUAAUUCUUUAACUUAAAGAUUUUCUCAAUAUUUCUAAAUAAAAAUUUUAACAAAAUUUUAUUUUUCCAAAUGAAGGAAAUUAUUGUUAAAUUUCAAAUUAAAACCAUUUUUAUCCAACUCCGAAAAUAGCGCGUAAUUAAAUGAUACCAAUUUAUGGGCGUUGUGGGAGUGCUAAUCCUUCCCCACACGUACCGACUCCCGAACUCAACCUGAUUUUUCGUAGAUCAAAAUUUAUCUUUUUGAUAAAUUUUAAAUCCAUUUUUAUAGUUUUAUUAAAAAGAUAAACUUUUGGGUGGUUAAUCACACCCUAACAAAGAUUGGUGGCGACUCCCCUCAUUUAUUUCGAUUUUAAAACUCUUUCACGUCUGACGGUCCCAAAAUCGUUGCGACAGCUUGACGACUCCGUUGAAAAAUUUUGAGAGUCAAGCCAAAUUUUAGUUAUGCGCUAUUAAUAGCUGUUAGAUUUAAUUGGUUUUAUUUGAUAUUUAAUUUAAUUUUCUUUAUUUUAAUUUUUUAAAAUAUAUACAUACAAGUUAAUAAAUAAAAUAAAUUGCUUGUUAGCUAUUACUUUAUUUUGAUUUUGUGUUUAUGAUUUAUUCAUGUUAUUUUGAUUAAUACAUUACUUUGCAUACACUUUGCAUAUUUGCUCGCAUGCAUGAGCUCUAGACCCGGGCUCUUUCCCUUUUAAGAGAAACUGAAGUAGCUACACUCUCGUGAGGUGAAAACCUCCGCAUUUGCUAAUGAAACACUUUCACUCAUAUUGAACCAUUUUUCGUUAGUAACUUGUAAUGGGUGACGGUAGGGGAACCUUACUAGUCAAUAAUGGACGACGAUGUGAGGAAUAGUCUGGGAACCGUUAGACGCAUAAACCUUAACCCAGCAUAUCGCAAGCCAUAUGAAUCUUGCUGAUCUUUUUAUAAAAAUAACCAAAAAUGGAUGAUAAAUGAAAAGCAUUUUCUUAAAAAUUUUUUUUUUCUUUACAUGUAGUUCAUUCAUUUGGUAAUUGUUCAAAUUUUACAAUUUCAUAAAAUAUUUUAGAAUAAAGUGAUUUUUUUUAAAAGCAUUAUCCAACAAGCCAAAAAAAAAAAAAAAGAAAAAAAAAGGUUUUCAAAAAAAAAAAAAGAUUUUUCUUAAAUUCUUUGUUUAUUGGCCCAAUAAAAAAAUCAAUUUUCAUGUCCUAGUUAUUUUGUUUUUUCCUCUAAAAUUUUUUUUUUAUUUUGUUUCAUCUUUUGCAUUUGAUACAUCAUAAAAAAUAAUACAUGUAUCACAUCCCAUAUGCAUCAUAAAAGGUAAUGUCAGUUUCACUAGGUUGGCAUAAUACAAGCAUUGCAUUCCAUGUAAAAAUAUACACAUGCACUUGAUAGGUUCAUGCAUUCCAUACAAGUAUGCUGUAUUAGUCAUAGGAAUGCAUCUCAUCAUUCAUAUAAACAUGUCAUUGCAUUUCAUGCAUAUAAAUUCAUGAAUGGUAGGGUCAUAUGGAACAAACAUUGCAUUUUAUAUCCCAUUAUCCCUACAACAUAAUAUUCCUUACAUGCACAUUCAUGGUUGAUAAAAAAUUUCAUUUGGGUCAUUUGUACAUAUAAAAAUUCAUUGUCAUAGGCAUAUACGCAUUUCAUGACAUUCUUUAGCUAUCGUAUUCAUGUAUUCAUACUUCGUGUGUCAUUAUUUUUGUGAUAUUCAUUCAAUAAGGGUAGUAAUCUAGAAUUUUUUAUCUAAGUCCUGGAAUAAAAUGUCUGUCUUGGUGGGAAUCAGAGUAACGAAAAUAUGGGAGAACAAUUGGAAGCAAGAAUUAGUGCUUUGGAAUUGAAUCAAGAGGAAUUAUGGCUUGAGCUUUGAGAGAUGAAAUAACAGAUGGCUCAAUUGAUAGAAAUGGUUAAAGGUAGUGAUGGAGUUGAGUUAGUUGCUCUUCAAAUACCGUUGUCACUUUCAUCAAGUCAAGGUCAAUUGGCUCUCAUUAGUUUCAGCACUCUGCCAGAGCAUGCUAAAGCAUUAGGUGAUUUGAACAAUGACCAAGGUUUGGGCGAACUCAAGAGAGGAAUGGGUGAACUGGCCAUGCAAAUGACUGAGAUCAAAAGUUUGACUUUCAAAAAUAAGCCAGCUGGCUUCAAACAACCUCCACAAACUAUCCUGAGUCCAAACUCAUACCCAAAUCCUUCUUAUGACCAUUUUCAACCCUUUUCCAAGUACCUAAGAUUAGGCCCCCAAUUUUCAUGCAACCACAAAGAAUUUCACACCUGAACCCAUAUCCACCAUCUCAUUGUCGUAACGGUUUUGUGUCCGCCCGACGAAUUUGGAAACGAAAUAAAAAUAAUGGAGUCGCCACCAAUCUUUUUUGGCUAGGUGCGAUUGGCCACCUAUUAAAACAUAUCCUUUUAAUGAAAUCUUAAAAUUAAUUAAAAUUUAUUAAAAAGAUAAUUUUACGGUCUGCAAAACAGUCUGGGUUCGGGAGUCGAUUACGUGUGGGGAAGGAUUAGCACCCCCACAACGCCCUGUAGACACCCAAUCAGGUCCGGGCCCGGAUCAAUUGGGCCUGACCCGGAUCAAUUGGGCCUGACCCAGAUCAUUUGGGCCUGGCCCAAAUGGGCAAGGCCCAAUUGAAUUUUUACCCGUAUUUUUUAUUUUUUAUUUUUAUUUUAUUAUUUUUUUUCUCUCUUGUGUAUUUUAUUAUUUAUUAUUAUGUAUUAAUAUAUGUAUAUAUAUAUAUAUAUUUUUUUUCAUUAGAAUAGAUUUAUAUGUAUAUAGUUAUAUAUUUAUUAUUAUUAUAUUAUUAUUCUUAUCUUUUUUUUUAAUUAUCUGUUCUGAUUUUUUCUGAUUUUCAGAUAUUAUUUGAAAAUUUUUUAUCUUUUGAUUUAUCUUUCCAAUUAUCUAGAUUUUUUUUUUUAUUUUAAUUUUUAUUUUGGAGGGCUAGGAUUCAAAGUUGAAGACUCCCACUCUGAAGGGGAAUUCAAUCAGAAGAGUCCAAUUGGAUUCAAAAAUUGAAUUCCCGUCCAAGGAGGAAUUGGGAUUGAUCAGAAACUCCUGAUCAAUCCCUAUAUAAAGCACCUCCUGGAACAGUUCAGAAAGACAGAGAAAACAGAAGCAAAAGCUACUGAUUGAGAGAAUAGGGGUGUUUAGAGAGCUAAGGAAAAGUUUAGGAGUGUUCUGGCAGUGAGAAAAAUUUUUUAGAAAAAUUUGGCGAAAAAAAUUUUCUGGAAAUUUCUGGGAAAUUUCCAGAUUCCGGCGAAAAUUCCGGCGACUUUUGAAUUUUCCGACGACAAUUCCGGCGAACUUUGAAGUUUCCGGCGACAGACCCAGUUUCCGGCGGAGAAUCCCAGAAACCGGCGACCAUCCGGCCAACUUCCGGCCAAUUUUCGGCGAAAUUCCCAGAUUCCGGCGAAUUUUCCAGAAUCCGGCACCGGCGUUCUUCAAAUUCUAGAGAGAAGGCAGAGAAGAAGGGAAGAAGAGAGAGAGAGGGGAGGAACGGUCUGCUGAAAAACGGAGGAAGGUGCCUUUUAUACCCUCCCAAAACGACGUCGUUUUGGCUUUAAGUUAAUAAGAGGAUCCGCGCGUUUUACCGAACCCGACCCGACCCGAGCGUCGACCCGAUUCUGACCCGCGCGUGCCCAGCCCCCCUCCGAGCCGAGCCGAGCCGAGCCGUUCUUCCCGAGCCGCUUCUCCGAGCCGUUUUUUCUUCCUUGAGCCGAGUCGAGCCGCAACCCGAGCCGCUCCAGGUUUUUUUUUUUUUUUUUUUUUUUGACUUUGAUUUUGAUCUUGAUUUUUUUUUCUUUUUUCUUUAAUUAAUCCGACGACGGAGCCUCUACAAGUAAAAACAGUAGUUUUUCUUGCAUACUCCUGAGGUGAGGGAAUUUUCUCAAUUUUCUGCUAAAAGUAUUAGAGUCAAUUGAGAAUAAUUUUCGAUAAUUAAUUACUUGGCUGAUUUUGAUUUUUUUUUUCUUUAAUUAAUCCGACGACGGAGCCUCUGCAAGUGAAACAGUAGUUUUUCUUGCAUACUCCUGAGGUGAGGGAAUUUUCUCAAUUUUCUGCUAAAAGUAUUAGAGUCAAUUGAGAAUAAUUUUCGAUAAUUAAUUACUUGGCUGAUUUUGAUUUUUUUUUUCUUUAAUUAAUCCGACGACGGAGCCUCUGCAAGUGAAACAGUAGUUUUUCUUGCAUACUCCUGAGGUGAGGGAAUUUUCUCAAUUUUCUGCUAAAAGUAUUAGAGUCAAUUGAGAAUAAUUUUUGAUAAUUAAUUACUUGGCUGAUUUUGAUUUUUUUUUCUUUAAUUAAUCCGACGACGGAGCCUCUGCAAGUGAAACAGUAGUUUUUCUUGCAUACUCCUGAGGUGAGGGAAUUUUCUCAAUUUUCUGCUAAAAGUAUUAGAGUCAAUUGAGAAUAAUUUUCAACAACUAACUACUUGGUAAAAUUUUAAGGCUUUUGGAUAACACAAAUUCAAGCUGGUACCAUCUUUUGAUGGGCGUUGUGAGGGUGCUAUAACCUUCCUCACACGUAACCGAACUCCCGAACUCUGUUCUGGUUAAGCAGACCCGAACCUAUUCUUUUAGGGACCCUUAAGCUUAGGUGUUCCCUGAAAGGACAGAUUCCUUAGGUGGCCAAUCACACCUGGAUAAAAAAAAGAUUGGUGGCGACUCCCUAAAGUCAAUGUCUGGCGAUAGAUCCCCGGAUCUAGACGUUAUGACAGCUUGGCGACUCCACUGGGGACCUUGAGAGUCAGGCCAGCAAAUAAUCUGUGUUAUCCAAAAGCCUAAUAAAAUUGAACCUUUUUGUAUAUAUAUGUUAUUGUUCAUUCAUGUUUAUUUACUUUGUUAAUUAUGUCAUUCAUGUGCAUGUGCAUAACAUGAGCUCUAUACCCGAGCUCCGUCCCUCUAGGAGGGAGUAAAGUACCUAUUGCUUUCGUGAGGUCUAAUGCCUCCGUAGUGGCUAGCGAAAUACUCCCACUCAAAUUGAACCUUUUCCGCUUGUAGCCUGUAAUGGGUGAGGAUUAGGGUGCCUUACUAGUCUGUGAUGGACAAGGAUGUAAGGAACAAUUUGAGGACCUUUAGACUCUGACUUUAAGACCACAUGUAGUGAACCUUAAGAGUGCCUAACCCUAGGAUAGAGUCCUUUCUACCCAAUGAUAGAUAUACCUUGAAAUUAGGACACAAAAAAGGUGUUUAUCUAAUCAUUUUGAUUGCUUAACUUUGUGUAUUAUUUUUUGUAAUGUUAUGCAUCAGCAUCACUUUCAUUUCAUUCAUGAAACUAACUAUGUUGUUUGUCUGAUUGUAUGCAUCCGCAUUACUUUCAUGACCAUGUUUUAACACAAUCAUUUGCAUUCAUUUCAUACUAGAUUUCAUUCAGAAAAAUGUACAUUUCAUUUGUAUAUCAAAGCAUCAUACAUAAGGCACAGCAUAACAUUUCUAAUCAUAAGUAUGGUACUCAAGGUCCCAGGAUAGCUCCAUCUAGCGAAAACCCUGCUCAUCCAUACAACACAAGGUCCAGAGCAAGGCAAAUGGAGGAAGAAAGUUCUCAUAGAUUUGAAAAGCUAGAAAAAGCUCAGGAGAAGAUUGAAAAUGAACUUAGCAAAAUUCUGGAGGCCCUCAAUAACAUGAAUAAGGGGAAAGGGUUGAAGGAAAAUACAAGCCAACAAGUUCCCCAUUUACAAGAAGUGGCUGACCCUUUGUACCCUCCAGGUUUUGGCCCACCUCAAGCCCAGUCUGCCCAAGAGGUCCCGCCACAACAUUUCGCCUAUCCUGGAAUGCCAUCAGCUUUCAACCCAGGGCAGUAUAACAGCUAUAUAAAUCCUGUCUUCACUGAAAAGGCAGCAGAACCAAUUCCUGAUCUAGAAGAGAAGGAGAAGGAAAAGAUGAGAGUAGAGGCUGAGGAAAGUUCCAAGAUUAGCAUGCUAGAGCAGAGGCUAAGGGCUGUGGAAGGAUUUAGCUGUUAUGGGUCAGUUGAUGCUGCUGGGCUCUGCUUAGUUCCUGAUGUGGUUAUCCCCUAUAAAUUCAAAGUACCGAAAUUUGAAAAAUAUGACGGUACAAAGUGCCCUAAAACCCACAUCACCAUGUAUUGCAGGAAGAUGGCAGCUCAUGCACAUGAUGAAAAACUCUUGAUGCAUGUCUUUCAGGAUAGUCUUACUGGUUCUGCUGCCAGGUGGUAUGUUCAGUUGGAUAGAACCCACAUUCGCUCCUGGAACGAUAUGGCUCAUGACUUCAUCAGCCAAUAUCGACACAUCAUCGAUUUGGCCCCUGAUCGUUUAUCUUUGCAAAACUUGGAGAAAAAGUCAAAUGAGUCUUUUAAAGAAUACGCCCAGAGAUGGAGGGAUAUUGCUUCACAGGUACAACCUCCACUGACAGAGAAAGAGACCACAGUGCUGUUUGUUAGCACUUUAAAACCUCCCUAUUAUGAAAAGAUGAUAGGGAAUGCAACAAAGAAUUUUGCUGACAUGGUAAUCUCUGGAGAAAUUAUUGAAAGUGCCAUAAAAAAUGGCAAGUUGAGAGGAGGAGAAACCAAGAAGACAUCAGAAAAGAAAGAAGCUGAAGCUCAAGCUGUGAGCUUUGAUAGACAACAAUUCAGGGGUUAUCAACCCUAUCCAUCCCAAGGUUACUCUUCAUACUAUCCUGCUGUGAAUAAUACCUCAUCCUACCCAUACCAGCUAGCUCCACAACCAUCUUAUUCAUCCACUUACCGCCUUAACAUUCAAGCUCCUGUAAGAACUCAAAUUCGUCCUACUCACCCAGCAAGUGGUUCACGAGAACAAAGAACUACUCGAGAAAAACCUGUAUUUGAUCCAAUCCCUAUGACUUAUACAGAGUUAUAUCGAGAGCUUUAUAAUAGCCACUUGAUUGCCCCCAGCCAUGUGGAACCUCUUAAACCACCCUACCCAAAGUGGUAUGAUCCUACAGCCCACUGCGACUAUCACUAUGGAAUUACUGGCCAUUCUACUGAAAAUUGCACUGCUUUAAAGUAUAAGGUGCAACGGUUGAUCAAUGAUGGAAUGGUAAGUUUUGAUCAAGGAAAAGCAACAACAUUCAAUGUUAACACCCUAAGUGAAAGUUAAGAACAGAAAGGAUCUGGAGAGUCACAAUGAAUUGAGGGGCAAGACGUCAAUGGGGAUUUCUUCACCUGAUCAUAUAGGGGGCUAAUUUUUAAUGGAGAUAAGGCGGGUUGAAAGUUUUUUUGUCACUUUAAGAUUUCUUUUCAAGUAAUGUUGGAUUUCUUUUUGCAAUAUGACUUUACUUGUUAUCAUUUUAAUAAAGGCAAGUCAAUGCAUUUCAUUACAUUUUUCUCUUUCAUUUGACCAUUAUUCCAUACCCUGCUACCUUUCAUAACUUCACAUUCCCAUUCUUAAAUUUCAGAUGAUGAAUAUUUAGACAAUGAUAACAAUAAUUCUAGGAUUUAAUUUUGAGAACUCAUCCACAUUAAUAUGAGAAGAUGAUUUGAACAGAAGUAAGCUAUUACUGGAGGAGAAACAGAUAUGUCUUGAAGAUGUGUAAUCUUUUAUACAGAUUCAUGAGCUUUGUUCAAUAGAUGAUGUUCAAGAAAGGUAUUCACAAUUGAGAUGAAAAAUGGCCACCUUUCUUUUACCAUUGGAAAAACCAUUUAUUGCUACCCCUUUGAGCCAAUCAUGAUUUUUUUUCUUGAAGAACCCCAACCAAGGAUCACCCUCUACACUGGAGGGUAAUUUUUGAAAAAAAAAAAAAAAAAAAAGAAAAAAAAAAAAACACCACAAAAGGUCUCAAAAAUGAAAAAAAAAAGAAAAACAAAUGCCACACAUGACUUGGGGCAAAGUAAUGAGAAUCCUUUGUGUGAUGAAAGAAAAAAGUAGUGAAAUGAUGUGGGGGCAAAAUGCCAAGCUGCAUCAAAUGAUCCUUUGGUUUUGAACCUUUUUAAUACAUGUUUUGAGCCUAUUAUAUCCAUUUCUUUUAUGACCCUUCCCCUUGGCCUACGUUACAACCUUGAAAAGUCCAUUUGGAUCAAGUGUGAAUACUCAACUUGAAUGAUCAUAUGUUGAGCGAAUGUAUGCUCAUGAUGAAGCAAUGAAAUCAUGCUACAUUGCUCUAAAGUUGGAUGUAUGAAAGAUAUCAACAAUGGAUGAAAAAUGAGAAAAAAAGAAGAUGAUGAAAAAAAAGAAAAAAAUAGAAAAAAAAGGAAAAAAUGAGAAAAUGAAAAAAAGAGAUUCAAAUUGAAAACCUGAAAGGGUGAUCUUGGUAGAAAAAAAGAUCCAGGGCAAAUGGCUCACAUGAAUGAAAGGUCAAAGACAUCUGAAGAUCCCUCAAAGACUGGGGCAAAGUUCGACAAGCUCAAGAUGACUUCAACUGUAAAUGGAAUGAGUUUUUGAAAAAGAAUCCUAGAUUAAUGUUGAGAAUUGUCUGAAUAUUCAUCAUUUGGACAUACCAUCCAUCUCAAUGACAUCCAAUUUAUUUUCCUUUCCCAUUUGUUUUGUACCAAAACAGAUCUUCAUUGAUUAUCUUUACCAUAAUUCACCUUGCGUUCUCUCAUUGUUUCACCCCUAGAAUGAAUUGAGAAAAUGCUUGAUUGCAUGGUAUUUGUCAAGAAUUGAAAUGAUAAUGAAUGAAUGAAUAUGCGCUUAAAAGAGUCUUGCAUUCAUUUGAAAAGAAAUCUAAGAUGAUGAAGAAAUGGUAGAAACCUAAAAGAGAUGAUUUAGAAGGAUGUAUGAUGUGACCAAAUAGAGAAUAUGAUGGGGCAAAUCUUGAAAAGCGAUACAACCAAGUGAUGAGUACAAGGAUGAAUUGGUCGAAUGGUGGGAACAAUCAGUGGACAGAAUUUGUUUUGGAAUGAUUGAUGCUGAGACAAGGACCCAGUGAUGGUGGAUGAAAUUUGUUUUGAAAUUUGCUAGUGCUGAGAAAUUCAUGGAUGAUGGUCAAGGGAUGAUCGAUUGAUGAAGCUUAUUCCGGAGUAUUGAGAAACUGAACAAGGAAGAAUGUGAGUGGAAAAGACAAUUGAGAGCUACACUGGUUCAAUCUUAGAAGAGCAGUGCAAUUGGAUCCUGAAAAAUCAAAGGGCUUGACACCCAAGAAAUAAAAAAAAAGAGAGCUUGAGAAACUUGAGUACCAUACAUUGAACAUGAAUUAAUUGGUCAACAUUUGCAUAGCAUGCAUUGAAAUUCAUAUGCAUUUGCACAGCAUACACUACUUUCAGGAGAAUAUAGUGUAUAAAUUCAAGAAGCAGGGGUGUUCCAACAUCCCACAUGGAGGAGACAGAUAUGAAAAGACUUUGCAAGUUUGAGAAGAAACUUGUCAGGUAAGUUCCUAAUCCUUGAAAUAGGAUGUCUUUUGGUAUCAGGGUUGAUUUAUAAGACCUUUGGGCAUAAUCUCCUGAAAUCCCUUCAAACACAGCUUUCAACUCCUUUGGACAUGAUUGUCAAGGAGCCUAUUAAUUUCCAAAGUUCCGUUGCCUCUGUUUAGAGGAGCAAUUUAUCUUUUCAAAGUCGUGGUGCCUCUGUUGAGAGGAGCAAUUUAUUUUUUCAAAGUCGUGGUGCCUCUGUUGAGAGGAGCAAUUUACUUUUCAAAGUCGUGGUGCCUCUGUUGAGAGGAGCAAUUUAUUUUUUCAAAGUCGUGGUGCCUCUGUUGAGAGGAGCAAUUUAUUUUUUCAAAGUCGUGGUGCCUCUGUUGAGAGGAGCAAUUUACUUUCCAAAGUCGUGGUGCCUCUGUUGAGAGGAGCAAUUUACUUUUCAAAGUCGUGGUGCCUCUGUUGAGAGGAGCAAUUUAAUUUCCAAAGUUCCGUUGCCUCUGUUUAGAGGAGCAAUUUACUUUUCAAAGUCGUGGUGCCUCUGUUGAGAGGAGCAAAUUUAAUUUCCAAAGUUCCGUUGCCUCUGUUUAGAGGAGCAAUUUAUUUUUCCAAAGUCGUGGUACCUCUGUUGAGAGGAGCAAUUUACUUUUCAAAGUCGUGGUGCCUCUGUUGAAGAGGAGCAAUUUACUUUCCAAAGUCGUCGGUGCCUCUGUUGAGAGGAGCAAUCUACUUUUCAAAGUCGUGGUACCUCUGUUGAGAGGAGCAAUUUACUUUCAAAAGUCGUUGAGUCUCUGUUUAGAGGAGCUUCGGCAAAAAAAAAACAAAAAAAACAAAAAAAAACAAAAAAAACAAAAAAAAAUCAAAAAAAUCAAAAAAAAAUCAAAAAAAUAAAAAACAAAAUAAAAAAAAUCAAAAAUAAAAAUGUUGAGUUGAGUCUUGAUUGGGUGUCUACGUCUUUGCGCAAUUUCUGUUUCACAGAAAAUGUGCAAAGAGGGGCAGCUGUAGACACCCAAUUGGGUCCGGGCCCAGAUCAAUUGGGCCUGGCCCAAAUGGGUAAGGCCCAUUUCAAUCCUGUAUAUUUUUUUCUUUUGUAUUUUAUGUAUUCUAUUAUUAUUAUUAUUAUGUAUAUCUUUAUUCAUUUAUUUAUUUUUAUUCAGAUUAGAUUUAUAUGUAUAUUAUUUAUAUAGUUAUAUAUUUAUUAUUAUUAUUAUUAUUAUUAUUUUUGUAAGAUAUUUUUGAAUUUAUCUUAUUUUAUUAUUAUUUUUUUUAAAUAUCUGUUCUGAUUUUUUCCUGAUUAUCAGAUAUUUUUUUUACUAUAAUAUCUUUUUAUUUAUCUGUUCUAAUUAUCUAUUAUUUUUUAUAUUUAUUUGAUUUUUUUUUUUGGAAGGUUGAGAUUGAAGCUGAAGAAUCCUACUGGGAGUGGGGAUUCAAUCUAAAGAGUCCAAUUGGAUUCAAAGACUGAAUCCCCGUCCAAGGAGGAGUUGGGAUUGAUCAGAAACUCCUGAUCAACCCCUAUAUAAAGGACCCUUUGGAACAGUUCAAGAACACACAGAAAACAGUCAGCUAGAGCUACUGAUUUGAGAAGCAAAGGCGUAGGGAAGAGUAUAGAAGGCUAGGAAAAGGUUUAGGAGAGUUCCAGAAAUUAUCAGAAAUUUUUUUGGGGAUUUUUCGAGAUUUUUUUUUUCUGGGAGUUUCUGGAAAAUUCCAGUUUCCGGUUGAAUUUUCCGGCCAACCUUGAAGUUUCCGGCUAAAAUUCCGGCCAACAUUGAAGUUUCCGGCGAACUGCCCAGUUUCCGACGAAGAAUCCCAGAAACCGGCAAAGAAUCCCAGAAACCGGUGAAUUUUCGGCCAACUUCCGGCGAAAAAACCCAGAUUCCGACGAAAAUUUCCAGAAUCCGGUGAAUCUUCCACCGGAGUUCUUCGGUUUUUUAGAGAGAAGGGAGAGAAAAAGGAAGGAAGAGAGAGAGGGGAGAGGAGCGUUCUGCCGAAAAACGGAGGAAGGUGCCUUUUAUACCCUCCCAAAACGACGUCGUUUUGGCUUUAAGUUAAUCAGAGGAUCCGCGCGUUUUACCGAACCCGACCCGACCCGAGCGUCGACCCGAUUCUGACCCGCGCGUGCCCAGCCCCCCUCCGAGCCGAGCCGAGCCGAGCCGUUCUUCCCGAGCCGCUUCUCCGAGCCGUUUUCUCUUCCUUGAGCCGAGCCGAGCCGAGCCGCAACCCGAAGCCGCUCCAGGUUUUUUUUUUUUUUUUUUUUUUAUUUGACUUUUGAUUUGAUCUUGAUUUUUUUUCUUUUUUUCUUUAAUUAAUCGACGACGGAGCCUCUACAAGUGAAACAGUAGUUUUUCUUGCAUACUCUUGAGGUGAGGGAAUUUUUUCAAUUUUCUGCUAAAAGUAUUAGAGUCAAUUGAGAAUAAUUUUCAAUAAUUAAUUGGAUGAUUUUGUAUUUUUUUAAUAAAUCCGACGACGGAACCUCUGCAAGUGAAACAGUAGUUUUUCUUGCAUACUCUUGAGGUGAGGAAAUUUUCUCAAUUUUCUGCUAAAAGUAUUAGAGUUAAUUGAGAAUAAUUUCCAAUAAUUAAUUGGAUGAUUUUGUUUUUUCUUUAAUAAAUCCGACGACGGAGCCCCUGCAAGUGAAACAGUAGUUUUUCUUGCAUACUCCUGAGGUGAGGGAAUUUUCUCAAUUUUCUGCUAAAAGUAUUAGAGUCAAUUGAGAAUAAUUUCCAACAACUAAUUACUUGGUAAAAUUUUAAGGCUUUUGGAUAACACAAAUUUAAGCUGGUACCAUCUUUUGAUGGGCGUUGUGAGGGUGCUAUAACCUUCCUCACACGUAACCGAACUCCCGAACUCUGUUCUGGUUAAGCAGACCCGAACCUAUUCUUUUAGGGACCCUUAAGCUUAGGUGUUCCCUAAAAGGACAGAUUCCUUAGGUGGCCAAUCACACCUGGAUAAAAAAAGAUUGGUGGCGACUCCCUAAAGUCAAUGUCUAGCGAUAGAUCCCCGGAUCUAGACAUUAUGACAAGCAUUUUGUUGAAGGAAUGUUAAUAUAUAGUUCUUUUUCUUGCCCCUCUCCUUUUAUUGCUCUGAGAACUAUAAACAAAUAAUUUAAUAAAUAAUUUAAUAAUUAAAUAAUUACACACAACUUAUUAAACCUGAGAUUAAUUGAAGGCAACUCAAUGUAAAGCACUCCUUCUCAAUAAUCGUGCUUUAAGCAACCAGAAAACUGAAUGUAGUACAUUACCUCAUUUUCUACCUAAAGCAUUCUAUAUCCGCUCUCUUUCAAAGACUACAGCACUUCCCAAACCUUGCCUGCUAAAACACUGAAAGAGGAGGAGGAAAUUUUUUAAAAAAUAUGUGAGAAAAGUUCAGUAUCACUAUCCUAAUUUGAUGUAUGAGAUGCUAAAAUAAGCCAUAAAAAAGCGAAGAGGCAUACAUAAAAUUUCUAUAAUGGAAUAAAUGGAACUUGUAAAGUUUUCACAAGUGCACCUAAGGACCUGGUUAGCAUGCUUGGUUGGAUAAGUAAAACAGCUAUUAAAUAAGUUAGAGCAAAAAAAGGGGUCUCAGAAAGAUAAAGGCAAGAACCUUGACAUUGGCAGAAAAUAGCACAAGAGAAGAACCAAUUUAUGGCAAUGAAAUGUGCUACAAGUUCGUGUGUGAAACAAAAUUUCUAAUUUGGUCCAUCAGAAACAAAUGGUUGUUAAUAGGUUGAAAAUUAAGGAAAACAUGGUAUUGAUGACCUCAAGAAAGUUUAAAAUAUACCCAAAUUUGCACUGAUUUACAGAACUUCUGAGAAAAGAAAUGAAAGGAAAUGCAGAUACAGUNNNNNNNNNNNNNNNNNNNNNNNNNNNNNNNNNNNNNNNNNNNNNNNNNNNNNNNNNNNNNNNNNNNNNNNNNNNNNNNNNNNNNNNNNNNNNNNNNNNNNNNNNNNNNNNNNNNNNNNNNNNNNNNNNNNNNNNNNNNNNNNNNNNNNNNNNNNNNNNNNNNNNNNNNNNNNNNNNNNNNNNNNNNNNNNNNNNNNNNNNNNNNNNNNNNNNNNNNNNNNNNNNNNNNNNNNNNNNNNNNNNNNNNNNNNNNNNNNNNNNNNNNNNNNNNNNNNNNNNNNNNNNNNNNNNNNNNNNNNNNNNNNNNNNNNNNNNNNNNNNNNNNNNNNNNNNNNNNNNNNNNNNNNNNNNNNNNNNNNNNNNNNNNNNNNNNNNNNNNNNNNNNNNNNNNNNNNNNNNNNNNNNNNNNNNNNNNNNNNNNNNNNNNNNNNNNNNNNNNNNNNNNNNNNNNNNNNNNNNNNNNNNNNNNNNNNNNNNNNNNNNNNNNNNNNNNNNNNNNNNNNNNNNNNNNNNNNNNNNNNNNNNNNNNNNNNNNNNNNNNNNNNNNNNNNNNNNNNNNNNNNNNNNNNNNNNNNNNNNNNNNNNNNNNNNNNNNNNNNNNNNNNNNNNNNNNNNNNNNNNNNNNNNNNNNNNNNNNNNNNNNNNNNNNNNNNNNNNNNNNNNNNNNNNNNNNNNNNNNNNNNNNNNNNNNNNNNNNNNNNNNNNNNNNNNNNNNNNNNNNNNNNNNNNNNNNNNNNNNNNNNNNNNNNNNNNNNNNNNNNNNNNNNNNNNNNNNNNNNNNNNNNNNNNNNNNNNNNNNNNNNNNNNNNNNNNNNNNNNNNNNNNNNNNNNNNNNNNNNNNNNNNNNNNNNNNNNNNNNNNNNNNNNNNNNNNNNNNNNNNNNNNNNNNNNNNNNNNNNNNNNNNNNNNNNNNNNNNNNNNNNNNNNNNNNNNNNNNNNNNNNNNNNNNNNNNNNNNNNNNNNNNNNNNNNNNNNNNNNNNNNNNNNNNNNNNNNNNNNNUGUUUUAAGUGGGUGUCGAAAAUCAAGUCGAGAAAAAAAAAAAGCUAGAAAAAGCAUAGAGAAAAAAGGAGAAGAAAAAGUUGGUUAAACGGAGUUGAUCCGUGAUCCGAUUGAGUUAGAAACCUUAUCAGGAGAUUUAUGUUCAGAGUUCUACAUUCUGAACGGUGAAGAUCGGGUUUAAAGCUCUUUAGGAACAAUCCAUGGUGUAUUUAUUGAGUCACUUAUAGUGAGAUUUCUCCAAUUAUUUUUUCUAGUUGUUGAUUAGCUUUAGUUUUAGCUAAAGAAGAACUUUAUAUACUUAUUAUUUGAUAGUGAAGAUUUUUCUGGUGAUCAAUGAUUUUUUUCCUCUACAUUGAAGAGGUUUUCACGUAAAUCUUGAUGUAUUUUAUUUUUUAUAUUUUUUAAUUAUUGAUUGUUAUCUAUUAUUUUUAUAUUAUUGUGAUUAUUACGGAACACUUCCUUCGAUGCCUUAAAACCUGAGGAAAAAUUGUGUUUCUGUACAAUGUAAGAUAUUCAUACCUUCAGUAGUCCUAUUAAAGAAAAAGGCCAAACCAUGCAGCUUUCUGCUACAGCUGGACUAACAUUAUGAAACUGAUUUGAUACUUUACGACAUACUGGAAAUAAGAAAACCAAUAACCUAGAUGUACAAGCCACAGCAACCAGUGAAAUUAAAUAUGGGUUGUACCAUUUGGAUCUCCAUGCUCCUCGUCCAACUCCCCAUUCCCUAUAGAACUUCUAAUUCAUCUUGUUGGUUUGUCCUGCAAAAGAUAUAAUAAGAAUGUUAUCUUUUAGACAAAGAUAAUUGUAAAACUUGAAGCAAAUACAAAUCUUUAUACCACAAUGAAAACAAUUAACAAAAACAACAUUUAGGACAUUAAAUUCAUUCAUCUAGUUUCUGCCAUUUAGUUUCAAUUAAUUCACUGAUUGAGAAUAAAUCUAAUUCAUCAAGGUCAGUCCCAUCACAUAAGUACGUUUAAGCCACACAUGCGUUUGAAUUUUUUCAAUUUGUACAGUCUCAACCAGAAACAGCGCAGUGGUAAUGAGCAACUCAAUUGUUACAAGCUUACAUAAGAUGUGGAGCAGUACAUACAUAAUAAUAUAUACUAACAGGGUAACUUAAAAUGGGUAUUAUUAGAGAGCUUAUCCAUCAUAAAGCAGCAGCAAUUACUCAACAAACUAAAAAAUAGCCCAAGGAAACCAUGGCUGAUUUAGACUAUGCAUCAGACACAAACUUCAGCCCAUCAUACAUUACCUAGAUUGUACAACUAGGAUGACAAACCAUUCAGAUCUAAAAAAAUCAGAUUAGUAGAUAAUCCAAGAAAAAAAUGAAAGAAAACUAGAAUCUUGCAACUAGAUAACAGCUGACGAAUAAAUCGACAAAAUUAGAUAGAUAUGUUAGCUUCUUACAGGUGUAGUUCGAAAGUUUCAAAUAUGUAAUAUUUGGUAAAAAAAAAGGAACAGUCGAAUCAUUUUCAUUGGUGAGCAAUAAACUUGUCUAACUUUAUGAUGUUAGGAAUAGUAAAUGAAAGCUGUUUAAGCGUCUCAAAAGGGGUUUCUUUUAUAUACUUCUAUGUAAAAUGAAAGCUAUGAGUGAUCAGCUUUCUAUUAUAUCUCUGGUGCGAAUUUCAGAAUCAAUACCUUUGCAGUAGGAUUGCACACAAUUUAACACGGAUGGGGACUCAUCCCAACCUUACCUCGAACUCUAUCCACUUCUAUCCCUACUAUAUCCUCCACAGUUUAUUUAUUAAUUAAAUUUGUAAGUUUCCCUGGCUGAAUCAAACAGAUAAUUUAGUCACAAAUUAUGCUUCAAAAAUUUAUGUAGCUAGAAAGAAAACUGAAAGGAUUAAAUGGGACGAAAUGAACGAAAUUUCUCUUCAACAUUGAAACUAUAAGCACAAUAACAGUAUAAUUAUAAAAACCAAGUAGUAUUUCAGCAUCUUAUGAAGAAUAUAAGCACGGAAGAAACCAUAGCAACAAUCAAAUAAGGAUAAAACACAAACACAAACAUGCAAUAAAAAUGCGACGUCAUACGGAUACGAAUAAAACAAAACUAAUUUUAAAAAAAGAGACAUAGAUGUGAUAAGACACGAUAAUAAAAUUUUUUAUAUAAUUUUAUGUUAAAAUACUCAAUAUAUAUGUAAAUAUCAAUUUUUAAUGUUUCUUUUUUUUCUCAAUUUAAAAUUUUAUUUUAUAAUAUAUAAAAUUUCUUAAUUACAUAAGAAAAAAUUUAUUUUUAAAUACAUACAAGAUAUUAAUUAUUUCAAAAUGAUGAAAUAACAAUAUAACUCAAACGACGAAAUUAUUUUUUUAUUUUAUGAUUUUAAAGGAGAUAAAGUUUUACAUUAAAAAAUAAAAAUAAAAAAAGCUGAAAUCGAACCAUAACGAAAUUAUAUAUAUAAUUUUUUAAGAAGAGCGACAAGUUAUAUUAUUUUUUAAUUUCAUUUUUUUUCUUUAGUACGAAUUGAUCAGCCACCAAAAACGUGAGGUAGGAAAUGUCAAAUCUUGAGACAGAGAGGCAUCCAAUGCCAAUAAAAUCUAAAAAGAAGAAAGCGACAUGUGAAAAAGAAUGGAGUUUGGGUAAAAGCCAUCCCUCAUUCUAAAUUUAGCUCAGAAUAGAUAUUGACAACUCGUGAAGAGAGUAGAAUUUCACAGUCGUACCUAUUGUCAGAAAGAAAAUGAAGUUUGCCGCUUAUUUAUAAUGACAUACAGCUGUUAAGAUAAGGGAAAAUCGAUUAUUUAAAUAUCUUAUGUAAGAAAUGAUGUAAAAAGUUUUAUUUUAAAUGGUUAUAUUAAUUUAAAAUUUAAUUUAAUUAAUUUAUAAAACUAUUUUUAAAAAAUAACACUCAAAACAUUUUUUUAAUUUCAAACGACAGCUUUGUUUAUAUUUGGAAUUUAUACGGUUAAUUUUUUUGUGAAAAAAAUUUAAAAAUAGAAGAAAUUAUUUAAAGUUAGCCGCUAAUCUAUAAAAAAAAUUACGAAUCAUUUAAAAUUUUUUGAAUUUACAAAUUAUCUAUCAGUAAAAAAUUAUAAAAAUUUAAAUUUAAAUAUUUUAUAUUUAUAUUUUAAAUUUUAAUCACUUAUAUGAACAUCUAUUUUAUAUUAAUACAGUUAAUUUAUAUUUACAUAUAACUCGAUUGUGACAAUUUUAUUAAAAUAAUAUAAUCAAAAUGUACUUCUUUUCAUUUCAUUUGUAAAAUCAAAAGAAAAGUUUUUUGCCAAUUAAAUUAAUUUUUAAUCAAUUUUUAACACCUUAAUAUUCAUUUAAAUUUUUUCAUAUUUUUAAUAUAAUAUAAUUAAAUUUAUCAUAUCAUUAAUUAAAUUUAAAUAUUAAUUUUAAUAAAAUUCAUUUAAUAUAAUUUUUUAAUUCACAAUUAUAAUAAUUUUUUAAUUAUAAUUAUAAUAAUUUUUAUUUUUAUUUUUAAUUUUACUAUAAUAAAUCCUAUUAUCCAUCCAAAUAAAAGUUUUAUUUUCUUUAUAUCAUAACGUUACUUUUUUUAAUAACUUAUUUUAGAAGGCAAGUCCUUUCAAGCUCUUUCCUAUGAUCCAUAACGGAUCACAAUUUUCUAUAUGUAGAAUAAAAGUGAAUAUGCAAUAAUUACAAUAAAAAGUUAAUAGUGAAAAAAAUUAAAAAUUGAUUUAAAAUCAUGAUGUUAAAUUUAGUUUCAAUCAAUUUUUUAUUAAAUUUAGUUCAAAUUUAGAUAUUAAAUGUAUAUAUUAAAUUUAGAUUGAAUUUAAAAUUUUAAUAUGAAAAACAAAAAAAAAUAACCAAAUCAAAUUAUAUAUAUUUAUUAAUUUUUAUAUAUAUUUAAAAUUUUUAUAAAAUAAAGAUAAUUCUUUAUAUAAAUUUAUUAAAAUAUAUUAAAAAUUAGAUUAAAAUAAUAUAUAAAAAUUUUAAAUUUAAAAAUUAAUAAAUCAAAUCGAAUUAGUAAAAUUUAAUUUUGAUCAGAUUAAUUCUAAAAAAAAAAUAAAUUAAAAUUCAGAUCAAAUUUUAAAAAUUUUUAAUAUUAUGCAUUCUAAAAAAAUAAACUAAAUCCAAUCAAAUCUAAAUUGUUAUCACUCCUAAAAAAAAUUAUUAUUACCAAAAAAAAAAUUUCACGCUAUUCCUUUAUAUAAAAUCCUUUAUUUGAAAUUGAAGUGCACGUUUGGUCAAAUUACCAGCUACUUUAUUUCUUAUCCUUUGAGAAGUUUACUAAGUAUAGAGUGAAAAUUUUCAAGCAAUUUCGACCAAAAAACCUUUUUUUCAAGUAAUUCCUUAAUUUGUCUCUUUUAAAGAAUGUUUAUGUUUGGUUUAGUCUCUUUAGGAUAUGAUCAUUUGUAAUAUUCCACGAUGAUAAAGCUAGAAAUGAAAAAGUACUUGUAAACUAAACUAGGAAGACUUACAUUAUAAGAAGUCUCUUUAGAAUAUCGUCUUGAAAUAUUCAAAGAUAAUAUUACAAAAGAACAUAUUUAAAGGAGACUUAACACAAUACAAGCAUUCAUUUAAAAAAAAUUAAGAAACUACAUAGAAAUUAAAACCAAUUCCCGGAACCUUCAGCAAUCAAAUCCUACUUUAGUUCCUGUACUUCAGAAGUUUACUAGGUAUUGAGUAAAAUUUUCCAAGUAGCUUCUUUGUCUCCUUUGAAGAAUGCUUUUCUUGUUCUUAAUCUCCUUAAAUAAAUACCUUUUGCAAUAUUCCAAGCUAAUAUAUAGAAUUUGGUACCGAAAACUACUUCUAAACUAUUACGGGAAAUGAAAUUUUCACCACAUAUGUUGACAAAAAAAUGCUGGAAUUAAAGAAUGUAUUAAAGUCUGUGCAAAGGGCAAUAAAAUAAUUGAGGACAGGAGUGAAAAUCAGUACAAACUGAUGAGUCACCACAAAAAGGAGGUACCAAAAGAUCCAAUGCCAAAGAUAACAGACGUCUCAGCAAGUCAAUCCAGGGCGAGGACAAAGCAAGUACAGUUUCUCAGAUUUACAAGAUAAUAUUUAUGUAAAAAACAAAAGUAGUCUGGAUAAAAACAAUCCCUCAGUGCAAAUUUAACUCAGAAGAGAUAUUGCCAACUAAUGAGGAAAGUAGAAUUUCACAGUCCUACCUAUCGUCAGAAAGAAAAAGGUUGUUUGGAGCUAUUUGAACCAUUCAUUUAUAAUCACAUACAGCUGUGAAGCUAAGAGAACUAAUUAUUUAAAUAUCUGAUGUAAGUAAUAAUAUAAAAAAUUUUCUUUUAAACGAGGAUAUUAAUUCAAAAUUUAAUUUAAUUAAUUUAUAAAAUUAUUUUAAAAAAAUAAUAUUUAUAACAUUUUUUAGUUCAAACUUAAACUUUGCUUAUAAAAAAACCACUGUUUGUAUUUUGAAUUUAUGCAGUUACUUAUUUUUGUUGAAAAAAAAUUAAAAAUUAAAAAGAUUAAUUUAUUUUUAAAAUUAAGAUAAAUCAUCAAUUUAUAAGAAGAUUUAUAAAAUUUGUAAAUAUUUUUAAAUUUACAAAUUAUCAUUCAAUAUAUCAUAAAAAUUUCAAUUUGAAUAUUUUAUAUUCAAACCUUAAAUUUUAAUUUCAAACCAAUUUUUUUGAAAUUUAUUCAAUUAAUUUAUAUUAACAUAUACCUCCGGUUAUAACAAUUUGAAUAAAAAAAAAAUCAAAAUGUACUUCUUUCAAAUUUAUUUACAGAAUCAAAAGGAAAGUUUUUGCCAACUGAAUUAAUUUUUAAUCAAUUUUUAACACCUUACUUUUUUAAUAUCGUAAUGUUAUUGUUUUUAAUAAUUUAUUUUGGAAGGCAAGUCCCUUUAGACUCUUUCCCAUGAUUCGUCCUUGGUCACAAUUUUUAUAUGUAAAAUAAAAGUGAAUACUUAAUAAUUACAAUAAAAAAGUUAGGGCUGAAAAAAUUAAAAAUUAAUUUAAAAUUAUAAUAAUUAAAUUGAUUUAGAUUAUUUUUUAUUUAAUUUAAAUCAAAUUUAAUUAUUAAAUAUAUAUAUUAAAUUUAGAUCGAAUUUAAAUCUAAAUAUAAGAUCUAACUUGAUCUCAAUUUAAAAAAAAAAAAAAACUUUUGACCUUAUCUAAAAUUUUUAAAAACCCGCACGUAUUGAAUUGAAGCAAAUCAAAAAUUCAUGAGAUAAAAGGUUGUUUUGGCAACCCUACAUCCAUAGAUUUUUUUCUUACAACAUUUAUCUAAUUAAAAAAAUAUUAAAAACGUAAUAGAAAAGAAAUGACAGGAAAAAUAAGUUAAAUAGAGAAACAACGUAAUAAUUUUAUUAAUAUAAUACAUAUAUAAUUAUAAAUUAAAAUAAAUAAUAAAAUAUAUAUCUGAACUAAAUAAAAUACUCUAAACUUGCAUCUAACUUAACGAUGAUUUUUGAAAAUACCUCAAGGUGAUCCCAAAUUUUAAAAGAACAUAUUUAUUGGAUCCAAAGGAAUCAAAACCUAUUACGUUAGGAAUAGAAUUGUAACCAUAUUUGGCUGCAGGAUUAUUUUAAUUUUUUUAAAGUUAUAUUUCGAAUAUGUGAGAAUUAAAUUUUUCAUGUCAUGUUUUAAAGGAAGACAACAUAUAGAUAAAUAUAAGAGUAUUUAUUUUUUAUUAUAAAUCAUAAAUUAAUUAUAUAUAAAAAUAUGUCUUUUAUUAAAUUAAAAUAUUAAAUAAUAUCUUUAUUGAUAUAAUAUAUAUAAAUAAAAAUUAAAUAAAUAAUAACAAAUAUUCUUUAUAUAUCUUUAAAAGUGUCGGAUAGAGCGCCUCAAACAUUAUUUUAUCUUGACUCAAGUUGUUUAAAAAAAUAAAACUUAGCUCAAUUUUUAUUUAAAGAAAAAAAAAUGAAUGAUUGGAUUAUGACGAAUUAAAAUCUAUAUCCAAGUUCAUUUUUCUUUCUUGAUGCUUUUCGUCUUUGACUAUCUUUGUUUGAUUAUUAGACAAAAAUUAUUGUAAUGCCCAACUUUUUUUUUUGUAUUUUUUUCCUUUCAUUAUAAGUUUGAUUAAUACUGUAGCAUGGAGAAAUCAAAGAAAUACAAAUGGUAAAGAAACUAUAAAAGUGAGGAUAAUCACACAAUUCGCAUUUACUAAAAUUAUUAUUAUUAUUAUUAUUAUUAUUAUUAUUAUUAUUAUUAUUACAUCCAUGUUUUGAAUGAUUUUUUAAAUUUUCGUGCAAUAAUAAAAAACUUGCCAUAUUAUUUUUAUUUAAUUAUAUUUUUCUCUCUUCCACCCACAUAUGGCAUGAAGGUAAGAAAAGCUAUUAGUGUUAAAUGUGUACGAUUAGAUAAAACAAGAACCAGCAACAACUCUGAACAUUUAAAGAUUUAUAUUUGACGCAUUAUGUGUAUAAAUGUUAUAUAUUAGAAGUGAAUCACACAAUGAUAUUUUAUAAAAAAUUAAUUUUAAAUAUAUAUUUAAAAUUAAGUGUAUUUGUUUUUUAUGAUUUUAAAAUUUUAAAAUUAAUUUUUUUGAAGUGUCAUACAUAAAUAAAUAUAGUUCUAUAUAAUGAUAAUGUAUCAAAUAUAAAUUCAAUAUCUUGUUUUUAUUAUUGACUUUUACGAACCCGAUAAAGAAAAAGAGUUUCCAUCCAAGGUCAGGUUUUCUCUUGUCUAUCAUUUUUCCAUUGAAAUAUAACUAAAUUUCCUUAGGUAUUUUAGUUUUGAGAUAAAAACUAUUGUACCCAUAAUUUGACUUAAUUGUUUGGUGCAUUAUCCUCCAUUUAAAAAACAAGAUUUGAAUAUCCGCUCCCCAAUUAAAAAAAAAAAACUACUUCUGUAAAAACAGAAUUUAUUAUAUUUUAUAUAAGGAAAAAAUUAAUAGAACAAUAAAAAAGUAUAAAUUCUUUUUUUGGUUAAAUAACUCCUAAAGUAAUUGUAGGUUGUUUAAUUUUCGUAGAUGUAUGGGCACAAUUCCAUCAGAAUUUAAAAUCUUUUAGUUUUUUUGUUUUUCUUUUGUAACCAAUAUAUAUAUAUAUAUAUAUAUUUGAAAGGAUUCAUUUGCAUUGAUAUAAAACUUUGUAGUUUUACACAUUUUUUAAUUAUUAAUUUCAAUAAAUCUAAAAAAAGAAAGACAUAAUUCAAAAAAAGAAAAAUGAUUUAAUCUCAUCAUUAGAUUUAUUAAAAUCAAUAUUAGAAACUAGUGUAAAAUUAAAAAUUUUUAUACUAUAAUGAUAACUCAAAAAGAGAAAAAAUGAUUGAAUCGCAUCCCCUAAAUUUAUUAAAAUCAAUGAUUAAAAAAUUAUGAAAAUUAAAAAAUUUUAAACUAGAGUAAAUUAAUUCCUUAUAUAUAUAUAUAUAUAUGAGUAGGAAUUAAUUUAUAAUAAUGUAAUUCUUAUACUUUUUUGGAACAUUUAAAUCAAAAUUAUUAUAUUUAAAAACAUUAUUUUAAUUCAAAUGAGAGUCAAAUUUACGAAACAAUACAUGUGCAUGCGGGAUGGUUAUCAUGCACGAAUCUGCAGCUUAUUGUUUGUUUCCUGAAAUGUUUGGACACAUUUAUCGGCUAAAGUCUGUAUAAGGGAACACUCUUCAUCCAGAUUUUCACAAGUUGGUCAAAUAUUGAGUGGAUUACUCUAAAUUAGAAAUUUUCAAUGGGAUUGUCACUUUUCUUUGUUCUUCUAUUCCUUCCUAGCUUCAUCCUCUUCUUUCUCCAAAAACAUAGAAACAAAAAUGCUGCCAAGUUUCUUCAUCCCCCUGGCCCACCUGGUCUUCCCUUGAUCGGCAGCUUACUCCAGCUUAAUAGCUCAGCGGCUACUCAUAUUUAUCUUUGGGAGCUCUCUCAAAAAUAUGGUCCUUUAAUGUCCUUGCAACUUGGUCAUAGACAAACUCUAGUAAUUUCUUCGGCAAACAUGGCCAAAGAGAUCAUGAAAACCCAUGACCUCGAUUUUUGUAGCAGGCCUACUUUAUGUGGCCAGCAAAAGUUAUCUUAUAAUGGCUUAGAUUUGGUUUUUUCACCUUAUAAUUCUUAUUGGAGAGAGAUUAGGAAAAUAUGCGUCGUCCAUCUCUUUAACCCUAAUAGAGUGUUACUUCAUCGUCCCAUUCGAGAAGAUGAAGUUGCUCAAAUGAUCGAAAAGGUAUCCAAAGCAUCAGUCGGUUCGAAACCAAUCAAUUUGAGUGAGGCAUUGAUGUGUCUUACGAGUAGAAUAAUUUAUAGAGUAAGUUUCGGCAAGAGAUAUGAAGAAGGAACUGAAAGAUGUAGAUUCGAUGCGUUGCUUAAGGAAACUCAGGCCAUGCUUGGGAGCUUCUUCUUUUCUGAUUAUAUCCCUUUCAUGGGUUGGGUCGAUAGACUCUCCGGUUUCCUUGGUCGUCUAGAAAAAAAUUUCAAAGACUUUGAUACCUUUUAUCAAGAACUCAUUGAUGAACAUCUUGAUCCAAAUCGGCCAAAACCCAAGCAAAAGGAUUUUCUUGAUGUUUUACUACAAAUAUGGAAGGAUCGUGUGUUUCAAGUUGAUCUCACUUUCGAUCACAUAAAAGCUGUGCUGAUGGUAAUCGAUCUUCACUCAAAACUUAUUUUAGUUAUUUUUUAGUAAAUUUUAUUCAUAUCACGAUUUCUUAAAAAAUGUUUCGUGUUCAUCAUUAACCUAAAAAUCUCCCUUGACAUUUUAAAAUUGUUUCAAAUUUCAUUUUUUUUGGCAGUCAAAUGUUAGAAGCUUGAUGCAAUUAGGCACUUCUGUUCCAUGUGAAUGUUCAAAUGAUCAAUCAAUCCACAAUUUAAAUACACAUGGCACUAAUUGUCUGUUAAAUAUUGUCAAGAAUUUAAUGUCACAUUAAUUGAUGGAGGAGGAAGCAUGUAUUUGGAAUAAUUUAAAAGAUCACGGAUGGAAAUUCGAAAUUUAAUUAAGUUGAUUUACAUAAUUAUUUAUUACAAAUUUGAGAUUUAAAUUUCAGUAUAUAAUUUAACCUUUUUUCUCAUUUUCAAACUACAGCCCUCUUUAAAAAAAAAGAAAAAGAAAAACAGAAUUAGUAAUGAUAAACAUGAAAGUUUUAGUUUAAGGCUGAAAUGAAACAAUAUAUUUAAAAAGUCUCAAAUAAAAUGUACUCAUUUAUUCAGGGUUAUCAUUAAUUUUCUAACUUCCUAGUAGGAGUACGAUUGUUACCCAUUUUGUUUUCUUUUUAUGUAGAAUGUAUUUGUUGGUGGGACCGACACCAGUGCUGCAACCGUGAUUUGGGCAAUGACCUUCCUAAUGAAGAAUCCUAGGUCUAUGAAAAAAGUUCAAGAGGAAAUCAGAAAUCUCAAUGGAAACAAAGGUUUCGUAGAUGAAGAUGAUAUUCAAGGUUUGCCAUAUCUUAAAGCUGUGAUAAAAGAAACAUUCAGAUUGCAACCAACGGCUCCAUUAUUAGUGCCACGAGAAACAAUUGGGAAGUGCAAUAUAGCCGGGUAUGAAAUACCUGCCAAAACACUAGUUUUCGUGAAUGCAUGGGCAGUAGGAAGAGAUCCUGAAGCUUGGGAAAACCCUGGAGAGUUCUAUCCUGAGAGAUUCAUUGGCAGCUCCAUCGACUUCAAGGGACAUGACUUUGGGCUCAUACCAUUUGGUGCUGGAAGAAGGAGCUGUCCUGGAAUACAUAUGGGAGUUGCAACUGUAGAGCUUGCCCUUGCCAAUCUGCUUUGCAAAUUUGAUUGGGAAAUGCCGGUUGGGACGGACAAGGAUGACUUAGACUUUGAUGUGAUACCUGGUCUUGCUAUGCACAAAAAAAAUGCUCUUUUCCUUGUAGCUAGGAAGUUUAAUGUUUGAUUCGAUGCAUGUAAGGUUAAAUUAGUUUGCUACUUGCUAUGGUUUGGAGUGUUUCAAUUACAUUUUGUGUUUUGAGUGUAUUUUAUGAUAAAAUCAAUGUCCACAUGUGUUGGUUAUGAAGAGUUAUGGUCUCAUAGACUUGAUUUUGUGGAAGUUAUUACAGAAUUUUGAAGUAGUUAAACCACAACCAAAAAAAUACAAAUUGAGAUUAGAUUUAUUAAUAAAAACCAAAUUUAACCAAUUGAUAUAUUUAAAACAAAAUUCUAUCUAUUUAUUAGGAGUUACAAUUUUGUGACUAUGAUUAAGUCACGUAAAAAUUCCAUUGUAACUUCCACCAAACUGAAUCAAUGGGAUAAAAACUCUUGAAUGAUAAUUUUUUUCUUACAUAAUAUAAUCUACUCUCCUAAUUUGAUUCAAAUUAAAUGAUAAUAUUCUAAAUUGUACUAAGUUUCAGGCACAAGGGCAAGUGUUUUGUUAAUAAUGAAAAUUUUCAAGCAUAUGAUUACUUUAUAUAUAUAUAUAUAAUAAGAUAUAGAAGUUGUCUGAUAAAAUAUGCUAACGUAGAUGCUUAUGUCAAUAAUUUAUUUUCAUGAUACAUAAGAUAACUAAAAUUAUGUAAUUUAUGAAAUUUUAUAAAUACCUAAUUUUAUUUAAUAAUUUGUGAGCGUGUUUAAAAGUUCAAUUGAAUUUAUCUAGGUUCUAAUUGCAUCAGAUUAUUUAUAUAGAUGUUUAGAUUUAAAAGAUCCGUAAUUUAAUUUAUUUGAGCUUGAAAACCCGAAACCCAAUGUAUAACCCAACAUUCGAGGACCCAAGUUUUUAUAUUAAUUAAGUUUUAUUCAUUUAAUUUUAAAAAGUAAAUAAAAAGGAGGAAAAUUGAAAUAAAAAAUUGGUGGCAGUGAUGUGAUGCUGCCGUGAAUGGCACCAUCCGAAGAGAGCGGCUGGCUGUCGAUUUCAUGCUGCCAGCCUCCCUGCAGCUUCACUCUUCCCUCCCGUGAUCACCUUGUUCAGGGUCAUGGUGGCUAAUCCACCAUCCUAAGCAACCAAAUUAGAGCUUAACAGGAAAAUCAAAAUUUUUAAUUAAAGUGGAAGUUUGAAAACCAAGAACGCAGAAGAUAGGAUAGCAAAAAUUAUGUAAUUUAUGAAAUUCAAAUAAAAGAUCAAAUAUUUAAAUUUGAAAUUUUAAAAUUUUUAAAAUUAUGAAACUUACCAAAGACAUAGUGGAAUAAGAGACAAUCUUUUUAAAUUAUUACUAUAAUUUUUUCCGUUAAAUUUAAUUUGUUUUUUAAUAUUUUAUAUUCAAAAUUAUAUGCAUUUUUUUUAUCAAAAUUAUAUCCAAUUAAAUAUAUAAUAAUAAGAUAUAUUUCUCUUAUUAUGAAAUUUUAAAAUUUUUAAAAUUAUGAAACUUACCAAAGACAUAGUGGAAUAAGAGACAAAUCUUUUUAAAUUAUUACUAUAAUUUUUUCCAUUAAAUUUAAUUUGUUUUUUAAUAUUUUAUAUUCAAAAUUAUAUGCAUUUUUUUAUCAAAAUUAUAUCCAAUUAAAUAUAUAAUAAGAUAUAUUUCCUAGCAAAAAUCUUUUUAAAAAAUUAAUUACAUUAAUUACAUGAAUCUUAAUUAUAUAUUUGAAUAUUUAUGGCUUAUGGAAGAGAGGUUUGUACUUAUUUGUGUUUGUGUAUUAUCACUUUGUGAUUUGAUUGAUAGAUUAUAUGCAUUCACUUUGAUACAAAUGAUAAAAUCCAAUCUUGGGGUAUGAGUUAGAAAUUGAUUGAGUCCAUCUGUUUUAUGCUGCAUCUACCAACUAUGGUUGUCUUGAGAGGUCAUUUGAUCUAUUAGGCUAUAGUUGUGGUAGUAAAAAGCUGAAAUUGCUUCGUGUCCUGAAACUGAACUUCACUUCUAUCAUCCAGACUAGUAUAACUAACUGCCCAUCAUCUUUCUAAGGGGUAAAAAUUCCAGACACUUGUUUUUUAUUUUUAUUAAGUUGUUCUUAUGAUUUAUUUUACAGGCAAUGUUUGGAAUCCUACGAAGCAUAGACACGGACAUGUUUACGAUGUAAUAUGUAUAUGGUGACAUCAUGACAAUUUGUAAAAAUUAAGGAUGCGAAUAUGGCAAGAUAGAUAAUAAAAAAGAGUAUUUUUUAUAUAUUUAAUCAUAUAUUAAAAAUAUAUAAUAGAUAUCAGGUUGAUUUUCAUCUUUUUCCUUUUUUUUCAUCGCAUCCGAUCAAGUUCGAUAUGUAAUGUAUUCUGACAUGGCCCGCUGGUACGUAUGUCGAAAGCAUUAAAGUGUUACAAAUGUAACACAAAUAUGCAAGAGGUUCAAACGUAUCCUUACUUCAUAAUUGAAAUCUAACCCAUCCAUGACAAAGUUUUACCAUGUAUAUUUAGAAGUUUGAGUGCUUCCCGUUUUUCCUGCCAAUUUAUUUUAUGUUCUGUUAAUAGAAGUUAUAAGUUUCGGUUUACAGGCAUUCGGUUUAUAAAAAUGAUAUGUUUCAGUUCACAGGCAUUUGGAUAGGUUACAUUAUUUGUGGAGACAACAUAACUUUCCAGUAUUUAAAUAUUUAUGGUUUCUUUUUGUUUCAAGUUCUGGUAACCCAGUUCUUGUACUGAAACAGAAUGUGAGCAGGGAAAAUAAAGAGAGAAUGAAAAUUACUAACAGAAAACAAAAGUUCUGACGCAAUGGAAAAAUUCUAAGCUUGUAAGGGAUGGUUUUCCUCCAUUAUUGAGCAUGAUACAUGCUAGAAUUGUGAUCCACUGUAGCCAGUUGACAAAUACUGAUAUCCCGACUUAAGAUGUGCAGUUGUUUGAACAUAACAAUAAUUAUGAGUCGCAUAAAAAAAUCAAGCUACAAAAAUUGCCUAAAAUAAAGCUGUGAUGUUUUUUGCAUUCAUUUUGAAGGAAGAACAACGCAGGUUUUGCAUAAUUUAUGAGACAAUAUUUGGAGUAGCAUGCUGAUUCAGUUUAGACUCCUUAAAGAAACACAGGCCUUUUUCUCAGGCUCGAUUCACAUGAAGAAGUUGAUCUGAAUUCUGCGGAAUAAAUUGAGCAUAGUUAUUUAUAAGCUUCUGCAGAAUAAAUGGAUGCUUGAGUUUGUGUUCUUUUAUGUCAAGACAUAGGACAUCCCCCUGAUUUGAUGAUUGAAAUGAGCUCCUCAAACCAAUACUUGUGCUUAGCAGCUCGAACACAUUGUCUCGAUCAACGUAGAUGUUUCUUCAUGCCGACCCAGAAUGCUUAUAAGGAUCUAAGAAGCAUAUAAAAAUGUUUAGUGCCUACUAUAAAUAGUUAAAAAUUCAUACAUAAAGGCAAACGGUUCUCAAAGCAAGCAUAAAAGAAAACCACAUGAAGCUCUGUCGCUUUACAUUGUUUAUCAUAAAACCUCAUGUUCGUCAAAAGCUCAAUCCAGGCAAAGAUUUUCAUUUGUGGCUCCAACAAGCUGAAAGAAACUAUCAUCGGAUAAAACAAAGACUUUUGAUCAAUGUUUUAUGGAUCGGAUAUGUUAUGGCAUCAAUAUGAAGAAUUGUGCUAGAGUGGAAUGAACUUCUAAACAUUAUUGCACAACAGAAUAAUAUUACAACGAAUUUUAACACUGUUACAUUUCGAAUAUCAAUUUUGCAUUUAUAGAAGGCCCUCGCUCAGCCAAUUUUACCUGCUUGAUGCAGUUCUUACCCUAUCUUAUCAUUUAUGCUUGCACCACUGACACGGACAAAGAUUUCUGCUGUAGGUAAGGAGCUGCUGCCCUAAGAACUUCGAAACCACCAAUGAAUUGAAUUGAAGUUAUUUCGUCCUGUCAGACAAGUUCCACAACAUCAGAUUUUUGUUUUGAAGCAUUUGGGAUAAAAAUGGUAGUACCAAAAAGGGGAGAAAAAAAAGGAAAGGAAUCCUAACAAGGCUGGAAAUUUUCAUUAUGCUAAGUAUUAUGAUUUCUUAUAAUAUAUGGUUUCUGAUCAUAAACAAGGAACCUAUAUACUCAAAGAGUAUGAUAUAUGGGUUAUGAAUGGUGGAACACGAUUCACGGAUUUGGAAUGUUCAAGGCACUUAUUGCUGGUUCUGGAAGAGCACCUUAUGCAGUUUAAAAGACAAAAUUAUGGUAAAUUAAACAUAAAAUAUAAAAGAUUUUCCUUCACUAUAAAAGAAGAACCUUUCAAAAUGAUUUCAGAACCCUGGAAAUAACUAAUUUUUUUGGCAGUCUGUGUAUAGUUGUAACAUUACCACUUUCAUAGGAAACAAUGUUUCCCUUGAGGGAAUUUUGGCGCCACUGACACUGUCCUCACUCCCAAGUCUGGCAAUAAAUCUUUAAUAUCUCAUCAUUUAAAAGAAAUUGAGUUCUCAAUGGGUUUGAGGCAGAGAUUUUGGGACUGACUCAUUCAGGCUACCAUAUGGUCAAUUUGACAGCAAUGAAGGCAAUGCAUGCUUCAGCUAAGUAAACAGCAUUCUUCUUUUUCAGGUCUUUCCAUCUGCUUUUGCAAACCACUUUGUGUGCUCCUAUGAAGGCACCACUCACUAGCCUCUGAAACUAUUCUUGAAUGAUUCUGCAAAAAGAAAAAAAAAAUCAGAAGUCAAUGAAACAAAAUGAUUAAUAGAUAUAAACAUUUCACACAUCUGUUCUGUUCUGUUCUUGAAAUUGUCCUAUAGGGAAUUUUUACCAGAAGACUGAAAGAAAUACGUUUCAUAGACUACAAAAAAGAAUUUUCUAAAAUUUUCUAACUUUUAGUAAACAAUCCAAUGCCAUAGUCUUUUCUGUGACCAAACAUAGGUAUGGCAGAAAGGAAGUACACGUAAAGAACAGCCAAAGACAUGAGGAUAUCAUGAAUGAGUCAUUAACACAAGAAAAAAAAAUAUAGAAAUCAGCUGAUAAGACCUACUCAUUCUGAAACUAUUCUUAAAUUUUCUUUUAAAAUGGUAGCAAAACAUUGAAUCUAUGUAUCAAACCUGGAGAGAACCAUCUGCAAGUUCCAAUAACUUCUAAAUUAAACCAUUAUACUCCAUGAUGGAAGGAAGAACUUCUUUCUCAAUUCUGCAAAUAUAGAUUACACUACAAUCAAAAGUUUUGCAUAAAAGAGAUUCACUCGUUUCUAACAAAUGAGCUUCAAAAAUACCUGUCCCCAAUUUAAUAACCAGGAUUUUAUCAAUAGUUAAACUUAAAAGGUUAAAGUCUGAAUUUGAUUCCUUUACUACCUCAAUCCUAUCGGUUUAGUCUAACUUCAAUUUUAAUGAAUUUAGUCCAUGUAGUUUUGUUAAACAUAGAUUUUUUUAUAUAUAUUUCAUUUCAUUCUAAAACAAAAAGUUGUGUAAUGGAUUGAACUAAUGAAUAUUUUAUUAUGAAAUAAAAAAAUAAUAAUAAUCAAGAAUAUAAAUCACUUGAGCACUUGAUUUAAUAGUAUGUUAAUGUUCUUCAAAUAAGUAGCAUAUAACCGCAAAGUUGACAUAUACCUGAUUUCUGGGCGUUCCUUCCGGUAACAAAUUAGCAAUUAGAAUGCAAGGAAUGUGGGCUAUUUGGGGCCACUCUUGUCCUUCAUCCUCCUUGCAUCGUUCUCUUAGCAGUGGACAGUCAACAAUAUCUAGUUGCAAAAGUGAGUCAAACAUCUCCUUUUCCGGAAGGAAUUUUAUCCCGGGGCAGCUUCGGAUUUCCAAUGAUUCAAGAAAUUUGAGAUUUUGAAAGCCUUUGGAGGAUAGAGUUUCCAGGUUUGGAAAACCGAAGAUGGUGAGGGAGGUGAGAGUGCGGGGCAGAAGCAUUUCCUCACAUGGGAAAGACACCACAUCUAGAGAAGCACCGUUGAUGGACAAAUGUUUAAGGCAGGUGAGUUUGUGCAAACCGCACUCGAUCACUGACUUGCAAAUAUUGGGUUGCCACAUUGUAACUGAAGUGAGAUUGGCAGGGAACCCCUCUUCCGGAAAUGAUGUCACACUUGGACAAUCAAAUAUGAACAAUUCUCGCAUAGAGACGAUGUUGUGGAUGCAGUUAGGUAAGGCAUGGAGUUUUUCACACCGAGAAAGGCUAAGAUAUCUGAGCUUGUUUGAUUCACGAGGCAAAGAUCUCAAAUUAUCACAACUGCAGAUAAUUAUCGAUUCAAGGGAACAGUUCUCUUCAAUUUCUUGAGCUAUGGACUCUAGUGCUCUGCAUCUCCUUAUAUCGAGGUAUUUAAGCCCCACAGGUAACUUGCCAUUGGAUGACAAGGAUGUCAACUUUUCACAACCAUAAAUGUCAACAUGUUGAAGCCUAAUAGGUAACUCGGCCCUUGAGGAUAAAGAUAUCAGAGACUUACAAUUUUCAAUCACCAAGUGCUUUAGAAGAGGCGUGCUGUUGAUGUUGUUAUUUACUCCAUCCAGCAAGUACUGCAAAUUCUCACACUCCUUAAUGGUUAAACGUCUUACGUUUGGAGGCAAGUUUCCAUUUGAAAUUGAAAUCAAUCUUGGGCAUCCUUCAAUUCGUAGCACCGUAAGGGAUCUGUAGCUGUGUAGGCUUUCUGCUAGCCUUUCUAGCCUUUCACAACAGUGUAUGCUCAAAUGUUCAAUAUGGCAAGGGAUUCCUAACUGCAUAUACUCUUCCUUUUCGUCCUCUGCCCCUAUGGAAACAAGUCUUGAGCAAUUAUGAAUUUCCAAAAAGCGAAUAGGCCUCAAAUGUGUUGAGGGUCCUUCCUGGUUCUGCCAUGAAGAAAUUAGCUCCUCACAUCCACGUAUAUAAAGACGUUCAGCUUUUGUCAACCCUAACAUCAUCCCCUCCAUUGGGGAAGUGAAUUUUGAAAUGUCUGAAAGAGAGACUCUUUCAAUGAAUGAGCCAGAAUUUGCACAACUUGUAGACGCCACCUCUUGGCACCCAUUAAUUUCCAAGUCAGACAACUUUGGAAGGCUUGAGAGUGAAACUACCAACUGCUCACAUUCUUGAAUCACAAGUUCCUCCAAUGAAGGAAGACAACCAGGUAGACUUCUCAGUUGUUGACACAAAUUAAUCUUUAGCUUCUUCAAGGAAGGAAGACGAUUAGGUAAACUUCCUAACAACUUGGGGCAAUUUGAAAUGAUGAGCUCAUGAAGGUGUUGGAAACUCCUUACAUUUUCAUCAACUUCACAGGGAUCCCAUUCCUCCGAUUCUGGCAGGUCCUGAAAACGUAAUCUCUCUAGUGACGGAAAUGCAUUAAUCGACAGAUCCUUUCCAAAAAAAUUAGCACCCACAUUUUUUACCUUACUCAUCCUCUGGAUAAGAAGUGAUUUUAGCGACGGUAAUCUUCCAACAGCUGGUAAUAAUGUGCAAUUUGGACAGUAACACAGAUCCAGAAUCGAUAGCUUUUCAAAUGAAGGAUCUCCGAACCAAUUUGGGAAUGUUUCACCUCCAUAACAUUCGAUGGUAAGCCUUUCAAGCAUUUUUGGAGGUUGGAGUGAAUCCAACACGUCCUUGUGAAUUUCUUCGCCGGUGAAAUUAUAACUCCACUCCAAAGCUAAAUCACGAAGGUUCGACUUAUAACAUAACCCAGCCACCCAUGCAUCUUGAGCUUUGACAACAUUCUGCAAUUCUGAAAUAACAAGUCCACCCUUAAGAUUAGACAAAUUCUCCAUCUCCCUUAUCUGACGGCCAUUGUCUUGACUGACAACAAAAUUUGUCAAUGUUUGGAGAUUGGUUAGUUCACCGAUUCCCAUUGGCAUCAUUUUUAUUGAAUCUGAACCUCUAAUGUCAAGAUGCCUUAGGUUAAUUAAAAAUCUCAUUUCAGAAGGAAACUCUUCAAGACGAGAACACCCCCGCAACAGCAGGGUCUCUAAAUUGUAAAGCUUGCACAUUGAAUUCGGCAGAGUUUUGAUUUGAGUGUAAGAAAAAUUUAGAUAACGUAGAUGCACCAAAUCUCCAAUAAUAUUGGGAAACUCCGUCAGGUAGCACCCUUGUAAAGAAAACACCCUUAAGUAUUUAAAUUCUGGCAACAACUCACUGAGAACUUGAUUAGAGAUAUACCUCCACCCUUCGGGCAUCUUCAACGGUAGGAAGGUUCUUAAACCCUUCUUUCCGUAAAAGACUUGGAACUUUUUAAUUCUGUCUUUCCUACCGCCAAUGUAAGAUGAAUGGCGAGCAUGACUGGAAACGUUCAAUGCCUUGUCAUCCUCCACUCUGAAGCAUAUAUCUUUGGCAACUGAUUGAGCCAAAUCAUUAAUCAGAUCAUGCAUCAUAUAUCGAGACUCAUCCUUGUUGGAUAUUUCAAAAAAUGACCUUUGUACAAGUUCUUGAAAGUACUCAUGACCCAAAUCUUCAUUUUGCUUUGUAGCUUCCACUCGCAGAAAGCCUUCUGCCAUCCAUAACAAGACUAUUUCUUCCUCGGUAAAUUCAUAGUCUUUGGGGAGUAUGGCACAGUAAGCAAAACAUCGCUUUAGAUCUGCAGGAAGAUGAUGAGAGCUUAAUCGUAAAGCUGGAAAUAUGUUACUCCUCUCUUCUGGUAAAUUCCAAAUCUCACUUUUUAGUAUCUCUUCCCAUUUACCAAUGUCCACCUUAUUGCGCAAAAGGCCUCCAAUGGUCUUAGCUGCCAAGGGCAAACCCUUGCACCUUUUCGCAAUCUGUACAACAAAUUCUCCUAAGUUUGGAUGCCCACUAAAAUCUUUUGCUCCUAAUGCAUGCUGAGUUAAUAUAGAAAUGCAAUCAUCAUCUGACAACGUUGGCAGCUUAUAAUCUGGGAUAGUACCCACCAUUGAUGAAACAGUUUUAUCACGUGUUGUCACAACAGUCGUAGUUCCUACGCCAAAAGGGGAUAUUAGACGACUCCAAUCAUCAUAGUUUUGAUGCCAAAAAUCUUCCAAAAUCAGAGGUAGUUUUUUCUCCACCAGCUUCUUCUUCAAUUCUGUUUGAAGCUUAUUCAAAUAAUCUCCAGCAUUAGAAGAUUCAGAACUAACAGAUCGCAAAAUUGAUUUCGUUAUCUCCUCCAUCUUAAAGUCUUCAGAAACACAGACCCAUGCUUUAAGAUCAAAACGAUUAUCUACACGACUAUCAUUGUAGACAAGCUGAGCAAGCGUUGUUUUGCCAAUCCCUCCCAUGCCAACGAUGGGAAUCACAGAAGCUCCAAAAAUAUUGCUAUUAUCACUCCCAAAAUCAAUUCAAGGAUUGCUUCCUAGUCUUUUUCCGACCGCAGAUUUGAGUUUCAUUCACCAAGCAAGUGGUUGAUCGCCAUUCCGAUGCUCUUUUUGGCCUCCCACCACCACUUUUAGUCAAAGCCAAGACACUUUUUUGUGCUUCUAAAUUUUGAAAUCUAGCAGUGAUUUCUUUUAUCUUGGACAUCAUUUCCUUAUUAAAUGAUAAAUGACUGCUGAACCUGGUAACGCAAGUAUGAACGAGCUUUUGUACCUUACUGGCGCUGUGAUCUUGAUGUUCCCUCUUUAACUUGAGUCGCAAAGCUUCUGUAGCAAACUCAUCCAAUAUGUCAUCCGCAUCGUAUGCCAAGUCUUGAAGCUGGACCAACCAACUUUUCACAUGCCGGUCCUUCUCUGCAUCAUCUAGCACUGCAUGAAUAUUGCGCAAAGUCUUUUCCAACUUCUUGAGUUCCUCGCAAACUUCCUUCUCAGUUACAAAGUUGAGAAACUCAGAAGAGGCCAACUUACUAAACAACCCUUCAAAGAAAACAGAUAAAGCAGCUUCAACGACGGACAUGGCUCUUGACCUGCAAAAACACAGAGAUUAUGUGUAAAAACUUGAAACAGAUGAGGGAAAAAAAAGGUGGUGCAUCUAAAAAGAAAGAGAUGCUCAAUCAGUAAUUUAUGAAGGGCAAUGGGUAGUAGGCUUUACUCUACACCAUUCUUAUCAGAUGAACUAAUUUUACUAUCUAACCAUACAUAACUUCUUUCAAAGGCCUUAUCUUUAUUAACCAAUCCCACAAUUAACCUUUCAAGCAAACCUUUGCCUUCAAACAAUUCCACUUACUCUCGUCUCUUUAUCUAUUAUCCAACCAAUGAGUAACUAAAGAUGACCAAGAAACAAUCAAGAAAAAUUUUCAUUCUAAUUCCUGAUCUUUUGCCUUUACUAGUAAAACAUCAGUACAUUACCCUAUGCCUUUGAAAAUAACUCUAAAUCCAUCAGUAGAGAGUUGUGAUCCAAAUAAUAAAUGCAAUUAUCAUAUGAGAUACAACCAAUUGAAAGAAAGGAUUUAAGCACAUAUCAAUAGUUGCCCCUUCACUCAAAGAACUUAUAGAACAAUGGAAAUAUGCUUUGAUAUAGAUUAAAUUUCCAUUAUGAAAUUUGAGGAUGUGGAUUGUCAUCUCAAACAUUCAAUUUGUAGAAACAUUACAUAUUUUUUAAAGUUUGCAUUUUAAUGUUAUAGGCAAUAAAUCAUUAGUUCUCUUAAUUUUGUUUGUAAUUGUUCAAAUAUAAAUUCCCGCAUAACUUAUUUCCCAAAUGAAUUCUAAGCCUAAAGCCUCCAAAUUUUCAUUCAACACACCUCAAGCAAUUCUCUUGUCCCUCUUUGACAAACUCAAUUCUAAACCUUCUCCAAAAUUUUUCUUUAAAUCUAGAGGAAAUCUCAUCAUCUCUCCGAUUUCGAACGUCCAAAACACCUCCCUUAUCCAUCCAUAACCACCGAAGUAGCCUAAAACCUCACUUAAAGCUUCCAACUUAUUACAAACCUCUAUCUAACUUUUCACGAAAACCCUGAAGAACCUAAAUCCACAUCACUUGCCACAUCACUAGGCAUAUCAUCCAAACCACGUCAUCUCAACCAUAUCAUCUUUCCAAAUCCAACCAAAACUCUAUCUAAAAGGUCAAAGUCCAACCUGUUGGACUAAAAGCCUUCAAUCCAAUCACACCAGCGAAAGCGAAAUCAAACAAUAAAUCAAACACAUAAGAGACAACAAUUUAACGUGGUUCGAUUCAACUGACCUACAUCCACGGAUGAGAAACAAGAUCAACUAGUUGUAGAGAAUUACAAACAUACAUCAUAUCAUCAACCUCACUCAACAAUCAAUACUCAAUAAGACACUCUCAAUCUCCUCUAGUCCUAUGGAGUAUUCUCAACCCAAAUAAACACAAACCCAAACCCUUGUGCACCCUUUCAACAUAACCAAACACAUACCCAUAUGCUCCCAUACAUCAUACCUAUGUGGACCCUCUCAAUCUCCUCUAGUCCACUAAACACAAACCCAAAUCCUUGUCCACCCUUUCAACAUAACCAAACACAUACCCAUAUGCUCCCGUACAUUAUACCUAUGUGGACCCUCUCAAUCUCCUCUAGUCCACUCACAAACAAACAUACACACCCAUAAGACGUAGAGCCCCAAUACUUCUAUGGGGUGUCUAUCCCACAAAAUCCUACAACUCUCUUACAUCUUUUUUCUCAUACCUAACCCUGUAGAGACUUCGUAUAUUUAUAACCAUACAAACUUGCCCAUUAAGAAUCCCUCUCCUCUUAGAAUUCUUUUUCUGUAAGUCAAACUUGCCUAUUAAGAAUCCCUUUCCUUUUAGAAUUCUUCUCUUGCAAGUUAAACUUACCUAUUAAGAAUCCUCUUUCUCUUGGAAUUCUUCAUUUGCAAGUCUUCUUGUCCAUCAAGCAAUAUCUGACAAAUCUCAAAUAAAUUUUUAACAAAUCUCAAACAAAUCUCUUACGGGAUUUGAGUCAAUAUUCUCAACAAUCUCCACCUUGACUCAAAUUCCAUCAAUCAUCUGUCUUUAUGCUAGACAUGCUUGGCUCCACCUGCAAUGGAACUCUUACAAUCAUCUUCUCUUCUCUUGUGUCUUCACGCUUCAUACAAACCAAUCCUCAAUCUUCAAAACUUGAACUUGAACUCUUUUCCUGAAUCGAGCUUCUCUGGACUUGCUUCUUCCCAUGUCUCAAAUCUCUUAUAGGAUUUGAGUCAAUAUUCCCAACACAACCAAAACUCUGUCCAAAAAGUCCAAUCAAAUCAAAACUCUACUCAAAGAGUUUAAGUCCAACCAAAACUUAACCUUAAAAGUUAUUGUUUCACCAAAGUGCUCUAAAAGAGUCCCAACACCCAAAUUUUGUUUGAAGAGUUCUUACCAAUCUAAAAUUCUUUCAAAGGGCUUGAUCUAGCUAAAGCUUGGUCUUAACCCGAAAAGUUCUAAUCAAGAUAAAACACAGCUACAUUAAACCCAACUCACAAGCUCAGACCUAUAGUUGUCUUAUUGGAUCUUGUAUUAAGACAAUCUACUCAGGUAUAAUUCCUAAAAUCUUUAGGCAUCUUAGACUUCUCAUUAAAUUAUGUGCAAGUGACAUAUCCUCCAUGAUCAAAUAUCAUGUAGUCUUAGGAAUGCAUAAUGCAUACCAUUUAGUUAUAAUUAGGAUUUUUUUUUUUUGGGUUAUAGACGGUGAAAAUUUUUACAAUGUAAACUCAUGUCUAGCAUGUGAUGUAAAAUCUUGCCAUAUAGAUUAGGCAUAAAACGGAAUGUUCUAAAUAUGCCCUCGAGGCAUAUUCUUGUACUAUCAUCUAAGUAUGUCAUUUAUACUAGAUCACAUUACAUGUUUCUUUAGUUAGUCUUUAUUGUCUUUGUAAUAUAAUGGGAUGAACUACUUAAUUUAAUACAAUUGUUCGAUAACACAUUAUUUGCAUUAUUUAAUGAUUGAUAAAGAACUCAAGGUUAUCAACCCACAGGUAUUUUUCUAGAUGCAUGCAUUAGAUGUAUGCAUGACUGCACGUAACAUAUAAUUUCUUUAUACAAAUUGCUUGUCAUCAAGAAUAAAAAGGAAAGGCAUGCUCUUUAAUCCAUAAGCAAGUCAGGAUGUUGGUUUGAAAUGGAUAAGUAAAUGCUAGGUUUAUCCCUAAUAAGGUUUAGAGCUUUAAUUCUUCUAAUAUCUUGUUUACUAUUUUCGAACUAAGCUUUUUGAUAAAUACGAUUGUGAUAUUGAAAUCAGUAUUGAUUCCUGAAAUAUAAAUAAAUCGAUUAAUGACUCAUUAUCAAUCUUAGUUUUCAACACUAAGAAGAGUACUAGAGGUGAAACCCACAUCACUCACACCUUUGUUUAAAGGAGCAUUAAAAAAUAAAAUAAAAUAAAUAAAAUUUUAAAGUUCUUCAGACAAACCAAACCUCAAUGUAAUAAUUGUUUAUAUGUCUUCACACAAUUUCUAUUUCACAAAAAAUAUACGAUGAUAGACAAUUGUAAACACACCAUUUAGUCCAAGGAUGAAAUUUUAAGAAAUUCAAAAGUGUGCAAUUUUCUAAAAAAUUUCUAAAUGAGAAUUUUUCUAAAUUUCAUCGAAGUGUUGGAGAAUUUAGAAAAUUAUUUCAAUAUUACGAAUUUUCAUUUAUUUCUAAAAAUAAAAAUGAAAAAAAUUAAAUUGAUAGAAAAUUAAUUGUUAAAAUAAAAAAGGGAUAAAAGAGUUGAGAAUGUAAUUGAUAAUUGUAUAUGCAUUUUAUCACAUAAUGCUUAAUAAAUUUUGAAAUAAGUGGGGAAUUUGACUAAUGAAACUUUUAAGAAAUUUGUGAGCGUAAAAUUUUCUUAAAAUUUUCUAUGUGAGUAAACAAUUUAAAAAAUUAGAAUGUCAAAGAUUUUCAUUUUAUUUCCAAAAUAACAGAAUUAAAGGAAAAUAUUAAAAUUAAUUUAAAAUGUUUUAAAAAUAAAAAUGAAUUAUUUUUAUAAAAUAUUUAAUUAAUCUAAUGAGGAAACCUCUUGAAAAAAACAGAAUUAUUUUCUUGAAAACUAUUGAAGGGAAAAAAUUAUUUAGAGGUUCAAUGAAAAUGUUGAAGAAAAUUUAAGAAAAUUUUUAUAUUUAAAUAAUAAAAAAAGCAAUAAAAAUAUUAAAAAUAGAGAUGAAUUUAAUUAAGGCUGUUAAAGAUAAUAUAAUAUUAAUUAAUAUCAUCCUUUGAAUGAUCACUAUGAGAAUGUUAAUACUAUCCCUAUAAACUUAAUUCUGUAAUGUAAACCAAAACCUAUUCUUUUAAGAUUUUUUAGUUAAACUUAAAGUCAUUAAAAAAAAUAGAUUUAAUUAAGUAACAAAUCACACUUAAUUAAAAAUUUCUUGAUAAUUACUUCAUUGAUAUUUAAUGGUCAAAUUCACAGAUUUGCACAUUACAGAUAUAAUCAUUAUUGGUUUAAUAAUUAUAAUACUACCUACUAAUAGAAAAGAGAAUUUCUUAAUACAAGAGAUGGGAAAAGUGAUUGUUUUGAUCACUAAUGAUUUUGUAACAAGAAGAUUUGCAUCUCAUGAAUCACAUUGGGGUCAAUAGUUAUCAUUUCUCCAUUUCAUGGGUAAAAAUUCUAUCCAAUGAGUUUUAUUUUUUUCAAAAUAAAUGUGUUUGAUAUGAUUCUCAUGCUGAUUUUUUACUCUCAAAAUUAUUUUAUCCAAAGUAAAGAGAUUUGGAAGUGUUAAUAACGUUAGCAUCAAUUUUUAUAAUAAGCUCAUAAAUACUCUUCUCCUUCAAGGUCACUCUUUGGUAGUCUAGUUCUCCAACCUUCAAAGGACAUAAAGGACAGAACUAAUCAUCAAUUCCAUGACUCAAAUACUAAUGUCAACAAAAUGAUUUUAAUUUCUUCAGUCUCACAAAUCCAACCCUUUGGUCAUUGGCUUAGUGUGAAUUCUAUAUAAAAACAUAUAGCAAACUAAAAUAAAAUUCUUCAAUUCAAAUCGAGAAGAAGCAAAAAGAAAGACAGAAAAAGAACCUAAUGAAGAGGAAAAAUAGCCUUUCAAACAAGAGAAAUUUUACCAUUAAAUCCUAAAUUUCUUGGCACACUAGUUAAGUCCGAAAACUUAGAAGAUUGUAUUCCAAUAGCUCCUCUUCUGGUAGCAAUGAUACCUGAUAUUUACUAAAAAUUUAAACGUAAUAGUCAGAGAUAAGUAUUCAAAGCAUAGAGCAAAAUAUAUAUUUAGCAAGCAUUACAAAAUAAAACAGUAACAAAAACAUGAUGAGGAGGAAAAAAUCUUCUCACACAAAGGAAAUUCUGUUGUUUAACUCCUAAAUCUCCUGCUAUAAUGAACCCUAAAACUCUUUAAAGUUAAAGUUCAAAAACUCAAAAGAUUGUGUUGCCAAUAGCUCAUCUUUGUUGCAAUAAUACCUAGUAUAAAUUAGAAAUUUAAACGUAAUGGUCAAAGACAGGUAUAUAAAAGAUGAAGCAACAUAAAAGUUUAGUAAGCUUACACAAUAAAGCAGUAACAAUAACCUAAUGAUGAGGAAAAAGGAACUUUUCACAUAAAGGAAAUUCUGCCAUUAACUCCUAAAUCUCCUGCCAUAAUGAACCCUAAAACUUUUCCAAGUUAAUUCCUAAAACUCAGAAGAUCGUAUUGCCAACAGCUCUUCUUCUUGUAAUAAUACCUAAUAUAAACUAGAAAUUGAAACAUAAUAAUCACAGAUAGGUAUUCAAAGCAUGAAGCAAAAUAUAUGUUCAACAAGUAUUACAAAAUAAAACAAUAACUAGACCUACCUUCGUUAACAAAAUGGAAGUACCAUGCAAAUGGACAACAUAGCCAAAUAUGGAUGAAAUAUAUAUUCAAAAAUAAAUUUAUAAGUAUUAAAAAACAAACAAAAUUUAUUGUUAUAAGGAAACCAAGUUUUAUUGUUGCUAAUUCAUUUGCUCUCGUGCUUCAUUGUGAGAUUUAUUGAUUUCUAAAUUUUUAUAAGUAAAUAGGUACAAGGAUUAAUAUACUAAAAUAAAGUAUAAUCGAUUUCUCUUUUUGCAUAUUGUUUUUGUUUAGAUUUUUUUUUCCCUAUAAUGGGAAACAACUUCAAUUAUGACAUAUAAUACACUUUAAAACAGGAAUACGAACAUGCAAUAAAGAAGCGAUGCUACACAAACACGAAUAAGACAAUAAAAUAAUUUUAAAAAAAGACAUGGAUAUGAAUAAUAAAAUUUUUUUAUAUAUUUUAUGUUAAAAUACUCAAUGUAUGUGUAAAUAUCAAUUUUUAAUAUUUCAUUUUUCAAUUUAAAAUUAUAUUUUAUAAUAAAUAAAAUAUUCUUAAUUAUAUAAGAAAAAAAUUAUUUUUAAAUAUAUAAAAGAUAUUAAUUAUUUCAAAAUGAUGAAAUAUCAAUAUAGCUCAAACAAUGAAAUAAUGUAUAUAAUCUUUCAGGAAAUGCGACAAGUUAUAUUACUUUCUAAUUUUAUUUUAUUUUUUUUUACUUUUUGGUUUAUAAAAAAAAGUCAAAAAUCAUGUUUGGUCUUCUAAAACAUGCCUUACCGAUUUUUGCAUUUCUUCUUUUUCUUGCUUUUUUUUUUUUUUUUUGUUAUUUUCCUGCUUUCUUUCCCUGCUCAACCGCUCUAUCAUCAUCACUGCUAUCGGUUGUUGCCCAUCGAUAUUGAAAAAUUAUUAAAAAAUUAUAGGUAAAUGCAUCUACUCUUUUUUUUCUUAUCUAACAAGAUUUUCAAAAAAAAAAAAACGGAAAGUUAAAUCUAAAAAAAAACUUGUCGAGAUGGUGCGCAACUAGAUUUUUAUUUUUUUUUAUCGUGUCCUAGCUUGGUUAGUAUGUAUUUUACUGUAUCGAUGAUAUGUUCGUGUCAAACACGAAUACAACAUUGAUACAGAAAGAGUAGCCGCAUGUCCGCGCUUUAUAGACAAACAGUGGGUGACGCCAUGAGACGUGGGACUAGAUCGCUCCCUUCUUCUUUCUCUCCUCCUCUACUCUGUCAUUACAGGUGCUGCUAUUCUUUUAGCUCACAUAUCACUUUUAAUGAGUUAGAGCAUUAGAGUCAUCUAAUCGAUGAUCAAUUUAAAUUUUUUUAUAACAAAUAUAUGAUUUCUAUUUUAAUAUUUUAUUCACUUCAACAAAAGCAAAACACCUCUUUAAAACAAUUUUAGAAAAUUUUGCGACAUUUAGAACUUUGAAAAAAUAAAACCUCUCCUCGAAGCGAAACUUUAAAUUAUGAUAUGAUAUAUAAUUUUUAAUAAGAUUUAAUUUGUUUCGUGAAAAAUAUUUUUUAUAUUUUUAAAUGUAUAUUUAAUGAAAAAUUGAUUAAUAAACGAAAAAUAAUUUAUUAAUAAAUAAAUAAUAAAUUACUUUUGAAAAUUAUCUUAUAAAUUUAAAAAAUAUAUAUUUAAAAAUAUUUAUUAAUAUAAUAUUAUUUAUAAAUAAUAUUAUAUUAAUAAAUAAUAUAAUACCAUAUCAAUAAAUAUUAUUAUAUUAAUAAAUAUUAUUAUAACAUAUUAAUAAAUAACAUAUUAUUAAUAUAAUAAUAUAAUAAAUAUUUAAAAAUAAUGUAUUAAUAUAUUAAUAAAUAAUAUAAAAAAUAAAUAGUUUUAUUUUAAAUAUUUUAUAUUAAUGUAAUAUUUUAAUAUUAAGUAUUAUUAUUAAAAUAUAAUUAUUUUUUAAUAUUAAUAAUUUUAAUAACAAAUAAUUUUUAAUAUUUUAAUAAUUAUAUUAAUAUUAAUUAAAAAUAAAAUUAAAAAACAAAAAUAUAUUUCACUAAUUUAUUCAAACAAAAAAAGUUUUUCUUUCAAUUAAAAAAUAUAAAUUAUUUUCAAAAAUUAUUUUUCAAAAAUUAUUAUUUGCAAAACAAUAGGAGCCUAAAUCGAUAAAAAAAAAACCAUAAAUAAAAGAAGUUGGUAACUAGAGAAAUUCCAACGUACCAUUGAAAGUAUCAAUUAAAUACAAAAAAAUUAAUAACUAGCAAUUAUCUUGUAAAUGGAAAGUAUCACAUGCUUUCAAGCAAGUUUUACUAUUAUACCAAGAAAAAAAUAUAUUAUUUUAAAAUAAAUUGUGAAUGAAAAGGAAAAAGCAUUCAUGAAGCCAGAAAAAGAGAGAAGAGAUUACAGUUUCAAGAGGCUUAAGAGAAUUUUUCUCACGAUCGCCAGUGAAGAUAGAUGGAUCGACAGGGAAAUGGUGAAAUAUGGAAGAACAAGUAAAGUCUCCGGCUUAUGGAGGAUUUGGGUGGAGAAGGUAGAAAAAACAAGAGCUAAGGAAAGAAAACGAUAAGGCAAAGAAAGUUAGAGGAAGUUUGUUGCUCAGAGACUUAGAUGGCCGUCUUUGGAAUUUAAUAAAAAGUUUUAAUAAAGUUUCAACAAAUUAAUUUGAAAGUGUUAUGAUAAAAAAAAUAAUAAAAUUGAAAUACAGUGAAAAAAAUUUAAUAUUGAGUUUUUGGGAUUAAUUAAUUGAUUAAUUUUAUCAAAUUGAGCACAUUUGACCUAUAUAAUAAAAUUUUCUAAUUUAAAUUUUUAUUUAACUAUUUUUAAUAAAAAGUUUUACAAAUUUUAAAUAAUUUUAUCUAAAUUUUUUUCAAAGACUCUAUCAAAUUAUCUGACUUCUUUGAUCACAAUUAUGGACAUUUAUUGCCAACUAAUGAAGAAAGUAGAAUUUCACAGUCGUACCAAACCUAUAGUCAGAAAGAGAAAGGUGGUUUAGCGCUAACCACUUAUUUAUAAUGACAUACAACUGUGAAGAUAAGAGAGAAUCAAUUAUUUAAAUAUCUGAUGUAAGCAAUGAUGUAAAAAGUUCUCUUUUAAACGAAGAUAUUAAUUCGUAAUUUAAUUUAAUUAAUUUAUAAAAUUAUUUUUAAAAAAUAAUAUUUAUAUAUUUUUUUAGUUCAAACUAUAACUUUCUUUAUACAAAAAUUACUGUUUAUAUUUUGAAUUUAUACAAUUAAUUUUUAUGGUAGAAAAAAUUUUAAAAUAAAAAAAAUUAUUUUAUUUUUAAGAUCAAAAUAAAUUGUUAAUUUAUAAAGAAAUUUACUAAAUUUCUUAAAUUUUUUGAAUUCAUUGAUUGUCUAUUAAUAAAAGAUCAUGGGAAUUUGAAUCCAAUACUUUACAUUUAAAUUUUAAAUCUUAAUCAUUUAUAUUAAUUUUAUUGACAUUUAUAGAGUUAAUUUGUAUUUACAUAUAGCUCCAGUUGCAACAAUUUCAUUAAAACAAAAAAGGAAAGUCUCUGUCAACUGAAUUAAUUUAUAAUCAAUUUUUAACAGCUUCUCUUUUUUAAUGUAUAAUGUUACUUUUUUUAAUAACUUACUUUUUUUUAAUAACAGUUUCCAUGAUCCAUCUCGGGUCACAAUUUUUAUCUAAAAUAAAAGUGAAUAAAUAAGAAUUAUAAUUAAAAAGUAAGAGGUGAGAAAAAAAUUAAAAAAAUUAAAAAUUGAUUUGAAUUUAUAGUAUUUGAUUUGGUUUGGAUAAAUUUUUUUUUUAUUUAGUUUGAAAUAAAUUUAGAUAUUAAUUAUAUUUAUUAAAUUUGGAUUAAAUUUUAAAUCAAAAUAUAAAAAUUAAAAAAAAUGAUUUAAAUUAAAUUAAAUUAAAUAUUUUUAUUAAUUUUUAUACAUGUUUUAAAUUUUUUAUAAAAUAAAAAUAAUCAUUCUAUAUAUAAAUCUAUUUAAAUAUAUUAAAAAUUAUAUUCAAAUAAUAUAUAAAAAUAAAAAAUUUAAAUUUAAAAACUAAUAAAUCAAAUUUUUUAAAAAUUAGUGAUUUAUAUUCAAAUUGAAUUUUAAAAAUUUAUAAUAUUAUAUAAUAUUUUAAAAAAUCAAAUUUAAUUCGAUCCUAUUCAAGCUGACAUUACUAUAAAAAAAGUUAUUAUGAAAAAACAAAAUCCAUGCUAUUGCUAUAUAUAAAAUUCUCUAUUUGAAAUUAAAAUGUAUGUCUGGCCGAAUUGUGAGCUACUUUAUUUAUUAUCCUCUAAGAAGUUUACUAAGUAUAAAGUGAAAAUUUUCAUAUAAUUUCGACCAAAAACAAUUUUUUUAAAGUAAUUUUUUAAUCUGUUUCCUUUAAAAAAUGUCAUGUGUUUUGUUUAGUCUCUUUAUUUUAUGAUUUUUUCUAAUAUUCCCCUAUUAUAAAGUUUGAUAUGAAAAGUACUUGUAAACUAAACUAAAGAGACUUACAUUCUAAGAAGUCUCUUUAGAAUAUCAUCUUGAAAUAUUCAAAGAUAGUAUUGCAAAAGAUCAUAUUAUUACUUUUUAAAAAACUGAUAUUUAAUAAAUUUAAAUUUUACUAUUUAAUUUUUAUAAUUUUUUUAUUUUUAUAGUGUCAUUUCUUUAAUAUAAAAUAAUCACACUAAUUGCAUAUUGCUUGGAGUGUAACAACCCCAUUCUAAUAUACUAUAUUUUAAGGGUAUACUAUAGACAAUCACUUUUGGAUUUUUUUUCGUGGUGGGUUUUAGAUAAGGUUAGUAUAAUUUAAUAAAUAAAAGUGAAAUUUCAAUCAUGGUAAAAUUUUAAGAUUAAAAGUUUAAAAUUUAAAAAAUCAAGAUUAGGGAUUUGAUUUUUGAAUGGGGGAUAAACGAAUCAGAUGAAAGGGAAUUUGAUUUUCAAAACCCUCAUUUAACCUAGUACUCGGCCUUAUAUAAAUUCCAGCAAUCACAUAGAAAGGGACACAGAGGAAAAAAGGAAAGAAAACAAGAGUGAUUCAAGUAAAAAAUUUUUUGAAAAGUUUUCAAGGAAUUUGUAGUUUAAUUGGUUUUUUUGAGAUUUUUUUUUAAUUUUCUAAGAAUUUUUUGAAAAUUUUCAAAAUUAGAUGAAUUUUCUGGUGAAAUUCAAGUUUUUCAAUGACUUUUUCUACUAAAAACUAAGUUUCUGGCGAUAAAACCUAAAAACCAACAAAAAUUUCACCUAUGUUCUUUGCGUCUAGAGAGAGACACAGAGAAAAUUGAAUGGAAGAAAGAGAAAAGGGAAGGAGCAUCUAAGAAAAAGAAAAUUUUUUGCCUUUUAUACCCGAGCAAAACGACGUCGUUUUGAGAUACCAGAAGCAUAUAGGAUUCGCACGUUGCCCUAGGUCUGACUCGACCCGUAGCGCAUCAACCCGUUUCCCGCUUCACUCAACCUCUGGCGAGCCGUUAAGCUGAGCCACACACUAAGCCGAUCUAGCCGUGUCCCUUUUUGGAGCUACAUCUCAGCUGAACCUAGCUGAGCCGUGCUAAGGUUUCAUUCAUUUAGUUUUAUUAUUUAUUUGUUUAUUAACAUUAUUAUUAGUAUUAUUUUUGUUUAUCUAUUUAUUGAUCAAAUUAAAAUAAUUUAUUUACUUAAUUAAAUAUCCUUAAAUUUUCAAUGAUUUUUAAAAAAUAAAAAACUUCAAAAACAUGUUUUUGAAGAAAAGUUGAAAGUAUUAAUUUUUCUUGAAACUAAAGAUUUCAAAAAAAUAUUUUUGAGGAAAAGUUGAAAGUAUCAAUUUUUCUUGCAAAUAAAGAUUUCAAAAAGGGAUUUUUGAGAAAAAGUUGAAAGUAUCAAUUUUUCUUGAAAAUAAAAAUUUCAAAAAAAUAAUUUUAAGGAAAAGUUAAAAGUAUCAAUUUUUCUUAAAAAUAAAAAUUUCAAAAAAAUAAUUUUAAGAAAGAGUUGAAAAUAUCAAUUUUUCUUAAAAAUAAAAUUUUCAAAAAAUAUAUUUUGCAGGGAAAGUUAGAAGUAUCAAUUUUUCUUUAAAAUAAAACUUUCAAGAAAUGUUUGUUUGAGAAAAAGUUGAAAGUCCCGAUAUUUCUUGAAAAUUUUUAGUGUAAAAUAAUUCGACGUCGAAGCCUCUGUAAGAGAAAUUAUAAUUUUCUUAUAUACUCUUGAGAUGAGAGAAUUUUCUUAAUUUUCUACCAAAAGUAUUAGAGUCAAUUAAAAACAAAUUUCGAUAAUUAAUUACUUGGUAAAGUUUUAAGGCUUAAUGGAUAACAUGAAAUCGAGCUAGUACCAUCUUUUGAUGGGUGUUGUGGGGGCGCUAUAACUUUACUCACAAGUAACCAUACUCCGAGACCUAGUUUUAGUUUCGUAGGCAUUGAAUCUACCUUUUAAAGAUACCUAAGUCAAACUUAAGAUUUCUCUUUAAAAAGGGAUAGAAUUAGUCAGAUGACCAAUUGCACCUAAAUAAAAAAGAUUAGUGGCGACUCUUCAAGUCAAUGUCUAGCAAUAGAUCCCCAGAUCUAGAUGUUAUAAUAGUUUGAUGACUCCACUGGGAAUAAGUCGAGAGUUAGGCCAAUAAAUAAAUUUGUGUUAUCCAAAAAGCCUAAUAAAACUUAAUUCUUUGUAAGGAUUUUUUUUUUCAUUCAUUUUAUUUAUUUAUGUUGCUAACUAUGUCAUUCAUAUUCAUAUGCAUAACAUGGGCUCUAUACCUGAGUUUUGUUCCUCUAGGAAAGAGUAAAGUAUCUAUGUUUUUGUGAAGUUCUAAAACCUUCGCAGUGACUAGAGAAAUACUCUCACUCAAAUUGAAUUUUUUUUGCUUUAGCCUGUAAUGGGUGAGAAUUAUGGUGCCUUACUAGUCUUUGAUAGACAAGGAUGUACGAAGCAAUUUGAGAACCUUUAGACUAUCAACUUUAAACCAUAUAUAGUAAGCAUGAGGAACCUAAUCCAUAGUUAGAGCCUUACCUUUUCUUUCCAUAGAAAAAUCCAAUAGCUAAGUUACAUUUUUGCAAUGAUUGAUUUUUCUUGAGUGGAAAUUAACUGUUGUUGUCAUGUUCUAUGAAUUGUCAUGAUAAGAUGCAUGUUAGUUAAUUUUUUCUUUUUUCAUAUAUUUUCUUUCACUUAAAGUAAAAUAACAUUGGGCUGCAUAUAUUUUUGGCAUUCAUUUCACAUAUGUUAGCUUGAAAUCGUAUUGAGAUUAUUUUUAUAGUCUUUCUUUCAUGACAUGAGCAUGUAAUAAUGCAAGCAUCUUAAUUUAUGGUAAUCAAAGGUUCAAAGAUAGCUUGACCGUUGGCAAAUUCAAGUUAACCUACACGUUACCCGUAUAAUACUCGAUCAUGAGCAAGAUAAAUGGAACAAGAACAAAAUACUCGUAUGGACAAGAUCGAGAAGGCUCAGGAAAAGAUAAAAGAAGAGUUGACCAAGAUGAUGAAAAUGUUAAAAAAAUUAGAUAAGGGUAAAAUAAUAGAAGAAACCCAUAAUUUGAAUGAAAGACAAGAUAUUGUGGAUCUUUUAUACCCUCCUAGGUUCAGUCCAAACCAAGGUCAAUCUUUUUAGGAGACAUAAGCCCCACACAUACCAUUUUUUAGGCUUGGGGCAUAUGCUUACACCUAUCCUGAAGCACCAUAUUAUAGUUAUACUAACCCCACAUUUAGGGUAAAGAUAGCAGACCCAAUUAAAGUUCCUGAUUUUGAUGAUCCUAAAGAGAAAGAAAGAUUGAAAAUGAAGACUUCUAAGGUCAUGGAAGACCUGAGCAUGCAAAAAAUGAACCUUUUAGAAUAGAGAGUGCAAGCUAUCUAAGGAAUGGAUUAUUUUGGCUCUGUAGAUGCAGCUAAACUAUGCUUAGUUCUAGAUGUGGUCUUUUCACCAAAAUUUAACGUCCUCGAAUUUGAAAAAUAUGAUGGGAUAAAAUGCUUGAUAACUCAUGUUACCAUGUAUUACCAUAAAAUGGCUACUCAUGCUCAUGAUAAGAAGCUAUUGAUGUAUGUGUUUUAAGAUAGUCUCACUAGCUCAGUCAUGAGGUUGUAUGUCUAGUUAGACUGAACUCGUAUCCAGUCCUGAAAUAAUUUGACAAAGGCAUUCAUCACCCAAUUCGACAUAUUAUAAACUUAGCUCAAGAUCAUCUAUCUCUACAAAGUAUGAAAAAAAAUCUUCUAAAACUUUCAAAGAGUAUGCACAGAGGUGAAAAGAUGUAGCUGCUCAAGUUCAAUUACCUCUCAUUGAAAAAAAAAUGAUCAUCUUAUUUGUAAUUACUCUGAAGCCUUCAUAUUAUGAGAAAAUAAUUGGAAAUGCCACUAAAAAUUUUAUCGAUAUGGUGAUCUCCAGGGAAAUGAUAGAGAAUACAAUUGAGAGUGGCAAGCUUGAGGAGGGAGAGACCUCAAAUAUAAAGAAAGGUGGGAUGUCCAAAAGAAAAUAAAGUGAAGCUCAAGCUGUGAGUUUUGAAGGACAGCAGUUCAAAAGUUAUGCCUCAUACCCACAGCCAGUAUAUCUUAUCUAUUAUCCAGCUAUUAAUCAUGUUACACCAGUAUCUUACUAUCCUAUUCCACACCCAGUCUUUCUACCAACUUUUCAAACACCUACGUAUAGGCCUAGUCCUAUUACUACACUAGAUUCAAUGCUUAAUAACCAAGUGGAUGGUUUAAAGAGAUCCCAAAAUAAUUAAGAAAGAACACAUAUUGACCCCAUCCCCAUGACUUACAUUGAGUUAUUCUCAAAAUUGGUUAAAAAUAACUUAGUAUCUCAUGUUAUUCUAGAACCAUUAAAGCUACCUUAUCCUUAAUAAUAUGAUGCUAAUGCCACAUGUGAUUACCAUAAUAGGAAUGUGGGCCAUUCUAUAGAAACUUGCCUUGCUUUCAAGCAUAAGGUGUAAAGUUUGAUCCAAAAAAGCUUGGUAAGUUUCGAUGAAUGAGAAAAAUUAGAUGGUAGUAAAAAUCCUUUACUUGAUCAUACGGAGGCAUAGUUUUGGCAAGACAAGGAUGUUGGUACUGGCUAAAAGUUGCUUGGAUUUUUUUUAGAGAAAUGCUAAGAUUUCUUUUAUGUAAUAAGAUUUCACUUUUUAUUAUUUUAAUAAAAGGCAAGUUGAUGCAUUUCAUUACAUUUUUUCUUCCAUGCAAGUCAUUAUUUUUGUUACCUUUCAUACCCAUUUUAUCCAUAUUCUCAAAUUUCAAAUGGUGAAUGCUUGGACAAUGAUAAAUAAUAAUUCAAGGAUUUAAUUUUGAAAACUCAUUCAUAUUGAUAUGUAGAUAUUAUUUAAGCAAAAAAGGUAAUUUGUGAGCAGAUAUCAUUCAUGAAAAAUAUACAUGUCUUGAAGGCAUCUAAUUAGUUUGUCUUUGUUCAAAAUAUGAUCUUCAAAAAAGGCAUUUAAGAUAAAAAAUGAUCAUCUUUUUUUACCAUUUAAAAAAUCAUUCAUUACUAUCCCUUUUGAGCCUGUUAUGAUUUUUUUUUCCUAAAGAACCCUGACCAAAGAUCACCUUUCACACUAAGAGCAAUUUUUUUAAAAGAAAAUGAGGCAAAAGAUCGUAAAGGGUCUCAAAUUGAAAGAAAGAUAAAGAAAAAAAAGAAGAAAAAGAAAAUGAAUGUCACACAUGAUUCAGGGUAAAAUAGUGAGAAUCAUUUUGUGAAGAAUAAGAUAAAUGAAAAAAAAGUAGUGAAAUGAUGAGAAAUGGGGCAAAAUACCAAAUUGCAUCAAAUGAUGAGAAAUGAUCAUUUAGUUUUAAACCCUUUAAACACAUGUUUUAAGUCUAUUUUAUCCAUUUCUUUCAUGACCCCUCACCAUGGCCUACAUUACAACCUUUAAAAGUCUAUUUGGAUCAAAUAUAAAUGCUCGAAUUGAAUGAUCAUAUGUUAGACUAAGGCAUACUUGUGAUGGAAUGACAGAAUUAUGCUUUAUUACUCUAGAGAUUGAAGUGAAAAAGAUAUCAAUGAUGGGUGAAAGAAUGAAAGAAAGGAAAAAGAAUGAAAAAAGAAAGAAAAAUGAGAAAAAAAAGAAAAUGAAAAAAAUGAAAGGAUAAGAAAAAUAAAAAAUAAAAAAUGAAAGAUGAAAAUGGAGAAAAAAGGAAAACUUGAAUUAAAAACCCAAAAUGGUGAUUUGGGUAGAAAGUCAUUUAAGCUGAAAACCAAAAUAAUAGCUCAAUAUAUAUAAAAGAUCAAUCUCAUCUGAAGAUGUUUUAAAAUUAGGGCAAAGUGUGAGGCUUCAAAAUGAUUUUAAAGGUCAAUGGAAUGAGUUUUUGAAAAAGAAUCCAUGAUUAAUGUUAGAAAUUAUUUGAAUAUUCAUUAUUUGGAUAUUAUUAUACCAUUUAAAUACUUACCCUAGUGACAUGCUUUGAAUUUGUUUUUUGAUCCAUUUAUUUUUAUACCAGACUUGUUCUUGUAUUGAUUCCCUUUUCUCUUAAUUCACCUUACCCUCAUUCAUUUUUGCAUCUCCAAAAUAAAUUAAGAAAAUAUAUGAUUGUAUUGUGCUUGUCAUGAAUUGAAAUGAUAAUCAAUGAAUGACAAUAUUCAUAAAAGAUUCUUUGAAAGGAAAUUCAAGAUGACAGGGAAAACAAUGAAAAAAUGAAAACUAUGAAGGAAGGCUAAGAAGUUGAUUUGAAAAGACAAAUGUGGUACCCAAGUGGUGAAUAUAGUGAUGGAUCAACCACUAUAAUAUGUGAGUUGUGAUCAAAUACUGAAAAUAACAUGGAUCAGUUAGCGAAAUUGAUGAAUUGAUUUUGAAAAUGUUACUACUGAGAAGUUAAAAAAGAAAUGUGAAAUGAUGGAGUCUUGAGAACCUUAUUACCAUAAUCAAUUAGAAUGUCAUGGUGUUGAUUUUAGUGACAUUUGCAUUAUAUUGCAUUUGCAUCAUGGUUUAAUCAUGCAUUUUUAUCAUGUAGUGAACAUGUGAAUCAUGGUUUAGAGUAUGGCAUCUGCAUUGUUGUAAGAAAUUGGGUUGUUGCAUUGGCAUCAUUAAGAAAGCAAUUGUAUCUCUAAUAAUUUAAAUAAGAAUAUUUGAGUUUUAAAAUUUUUUUGAUAUGAAUACUCAAAGUUUUUGAAUCAGAAUCUUGAAAAUUUUGAAUGAAAUUCUAAAAUUUUUGAAUGAGAACCUUUGAAAUUCUAGUUGUGAAUCUUUAGAAGUUUUUUCAACUUAUGAAUCUAAAAACUUUGUGAAUCUCAAAUUCUUGCGAAUCUGAAGGUCUUACAAAUCUUCAAUUCUUACGAAUCUGAAAACUUUACGAAUAUUGAAUUCUUGCGAAUUUAAAAAUUUUACGAUUGUUCAAUUCUUACGAAUCUGAAGGUUUUGCGACUCUUCAAUUCUUGCAAAUCUGAAAACUUUGUGAAUAUUCAAUUCUUAUGAAUCUGAAAAUUUUACAAAUCUUCAAUUCUUGCGAAUCUAAAAACUUUGCGAAUCUCUAAUUCUUACAAAUUUGAAAGCUGUGCGAAUCUUCAAUUCUUACGAAUCUGAAAACUUUGUGAAUCUCCAAUUCUUGCAAAUCUAAAAACUUAGUGAAUCUCUAAUUCUUGUGAAUCUAAAAGCUUUGUGAAUCUCCAAUUCUUGAGAAUCUGAAAGUUUUUACGAAUCUUCAAUUCUUGCAAAUCUGAAUGUCUUGCCAAUCUCCAAAACUUGUGAAUCUGAAUGUUUUACGAAUAUCUAAAACUUACGAAUUUGAAAUUCUUGCAAAUUUUUGAAUCCUGCGAAUCUUUGAAUUGCAAACUUUUGAAUUUCAAAUUUGUGAUUUUUUUGAGCUCAAUUGCGAAUCUUUGAUGUCAACUUGCAUUGGGAAUCUUCGAUAAUGAAAUUUUUGAAUGCUUCAAAUUGUGAACCUUUAAAGUUUUGAAAUUUCGCAAUUGCUGUAAAGAUAGACUUUGAUUCAAUCCAAGUCAUCUUGUUUUCGAAUUUUGACAUAUGCCUAAUUUUUCUUUGGCUCAGUCCAAGUUAUUCAUUUCAGACUUCGAUUCAAUCCAAGUCGUUUUGUCUUUGGAUUUUGACUUAUGUCAAAUCUUUCUUCAGCUCAAUCAAGUUAUUCAUUUCAUAUUACGGUUCAGUUCAGGUUAUUUUAUGUUGGAUUUUGACUUGUUUUAGAUCCAUUUUCAGGUCAUUCCAUUUCAAACUCGAUCCAAUCUAUGCUAAAGUGUUGUCUUUCUUAAAUAAGGUCAUGAUGGGUGUCUACGUUUUUGCAUAAUCUCUGUUUCAUAGAAAAUAUACAAAGAAGGGCAACUGUAGACACCCACUUUUGGAUUUAGUUCCCGAUGAGUUUUAGAUAAGGUUAGUAUAAUUUAAUAAAUAAAAGUAAAAUUUCAAUCAUGGUAAAACUCUAAGAUUAAGAGUUUAAAAUUUGAAAAACAAGAUCAAGGAUUUGGUUUUUGAAUGGGGGAUAAACAAAUUGAAUGAAAGGGAAUUUGAUUUUCAAAACCCUCAUUUAACCUAGUACCCUGCCCUAUAUAAAUCCCAGUAAUCACAUAAAAAGGGACACAGAAGAAAUAAGGAAAGAAAACAAGAGUGAUUCGAGUAAAAUUUUUUUAGAAAAGCUUUUGAGGAAUUUGUGGUUUAAUUGGUUUUUUUGUUUUUUUUUUUUAAUUUUAUGGGAAUUUUUUAGAAAUUUCCAAAAUUAGAUGAAUUUUUUUGGUGAAAUUCAAGUUUUUCAAUGACUUUUUCGACAAAAAACCUAGUUUUCGGUGAUAAAACCCAAAAACUGAUGAGAAUUUCAUCGGUGUUCUCUAGACGCAGAGAAAAUUGAAGGGAAAAGAGAGAAAAGGGAAGAAGCAUAUGAGAAAAAAAAUUUUCUACCUUUUAUUCCCGGGUGAAACGACACCAUUUUGAGAAGCCAAAAGUAGAUAGGAUCCGUGUAUCGCCCCAAGUUCGACCUGACCCGUAACGCAUCAACCAAUUUCUCAUUUUACUCAACCUUUGACGAGCCGCUAAGUCGAACUGCACAUUGAGCUGGUCUAGUGGUGUCCCUCUUUGGAGCUGUGUCUCAACUGAACCCAGCCGAGCCAUGCCAAGGUUUUAUUCAUUUAGUUUUAUUAUUUAUUUGUUUAUUAACAUUAUUAUUAGUAUUAUUUUUGCUUAUCUAUUUAUUGAUCAAAUUAAAAUCUUUUAUUUACUUAAUUAAACAUCCUUAAAUUUUCAAUGAUUUUUAAAAAAUUAAAAGCUUCAAAGAAAUUUUUUGAAGAAAAGUUGAAAGUAUCAAUUUUUCUUGAAAAUAAAGAUUUCAAAAAGGGAUUUUUGAGAAAAAGUUGAAAGUAUCAAUUUUUCUUGAAAAUAAAGAAUUCAAAAAAAUAUUUUUGAGAAAAAGUUGAAAUUAUCAGUAUUUCUUGAAAAUAAAAAUUUUAAAAAAAUAAUUUUAAGGAAAAGUUGAAAGUAUCAAUUUUUUUUAAAUAAAAUUUUCAAAAAAUAUAUUUUGGAGGGAAAGUUGGAAGUAUCAAUUUUCCUUUAAAAUAAAACUUUCAAGAAAUGUUUGUUUGAGCAAAAGUUGAAAGUCCUAAUAUUUCUUGAAAAUUUUUAGUAUAAAAUAAUUCGACGACGGAGCCUCUGCAAGAGAAAUAGUAGUUUUCUUGUAUACUCUUGAGAUGAGAGAAUUUUUUAAAUUUUCUUCCAAAAGUAUUGGAGUCAAUUAAAAAAUUUUUCAAUAAUUAAUUACUUGGUAAAGUUUUAAGGCUUAAUGGAUAACAUAAAAUCAAGCUAAUACCAUCUUUCGAUAGGUGUUGUGGGGGUGCUAUAACCUUAUUCACAUAUAACCGUACUCUCGAACCUAAUUCUAGUUUCAUAGGCAUUGAAUCUACCUUUUAAAGAUACCUAAGUCAAAUUUAAGAUUUCUUUUAAAAAGGGAUAGAUUCGGUGAAGUGGGCAAUCGCACCUAAAUAAAAAAAGAUUAGUGAUAACUCAUCAAGUCAAUGUCAAGCGAUAGAUCCCCAGAUCUAGACGUUAUGACAUAUACAAGAAAACUAAAGCCUAUAAGAUGGAAAACAACUUAGGUUAUGUUUUGUAAAAAAAUGAAAGAAUAUGUGUUGACAUAUAAUUGCUGUGAAUUGACCUUACUUUAAUUGUGAGUAGGGAUAUAAUUGAUCAAGUUCAAAUUGAUAUAGUAUUAAACUCAAGUUCAAGCUUGAUUUCAAAUUUAAAGCUCAAAAUUAAACUCGAACUUGAUCAAGUUUUAUCUUUUUAGCUUGAAUUCAAUUCAAGAUAGAAAUUAAGCUAUUCGAGCUUACUCGAUUAGGUUGAUUAACAUGUAAAAAUAAGCUUGAUUCUUAGAUUCGAUAAAAAUUCAAUUAUUUGUACUGCGAAGUCGAGUGUAAAAUAUUUUAUCAAUUAAAAUAAUUAAAAUUUAUUAAAAUAUAAAAGCUAGAUUAGGCUUACGAGUAACUCGAGUCAUGCAUAAAAAUGCUUGAACUCGAUUCAAUUGAUAAGUUAAGUUACUCAAGUUUUAGCUCGACUCGAUAAUAAGAAGUCGAAUUUAAGUUUUAUUCGAAUCGAAUUCAAGAAACUUACGAGUACCAAUAUAUCAUUUACACUCCUAAUUGUGAGUGGCUUCAUCGCCUCUUCCUUAAGCAGUCCUUGACAAAUGGCACAUCAAGAAUACUGAUAUUCUCUACUUUUUACGCUAUUUGAUUAAAAAAAAAGAAAAAAAAAAAGAAAAACACUUUUACUUAUAACAUAUUAAUUUGAUAGUAAAAGUUGUUUAGUGGCAUAUAAAUUAUAUUAACCACAGAGUGACAAGGCCCAUAGAUUAUAAUUAUAUAUUUAUAUUCUAAAUUGAAUUAUUGUGGAUGACUAACAAAGGAUUUAAAAAUUUUUAAGUUUAAUUCAUUUGAUUUUCUUUUAUGCAAUUAUUUUAUGAGAUUAAGUUUAAUAAAUCAAAUUCACACUUUAAUUUUUAUAAAUUUUUUAUUUUCAAAUUGUAUUUUUUUUACUAAAAAAAUCACAUUAUUUGGCCUUUAGACUCCAACAACUCACCACUAUAAAAAAUAAAAAAAAAUUAAUGGCAUAAUCAUUCAAGAAUUCAUUUUGAAGAUGAGAAACAAAAUUCGCACUAACAUUUGGUGCUACUUGAUAUUAAGAAGUCCAAGAAAUUCCAAAACCAAUCAUUAUUUAAUAACUUGUAAUAAUUAAUAGUGAAAAGUAAAAAUAAAGUAAAUUCUUAUAUAAAUUCAUAAAUAUUCCCUCCAUCCCAAAUUGCUUUAUGGUAUUGAACUUCAGGAAUUUUUUUUAAAAUUUGAUUUUAAUGUAUUUAAUAUUAAAAUAAAUUUUUUAUAAAAUUAAAGUUUCAUGAUUUUUAAUAUUAAAAAUAAAAAAAUUUUAAAUAUAAAAAAAUAAAUAUUUUAAAUAUUCUAAAAAAUAGAAUAUAAUUUUAAGAUAUUACAAAAAGAAAAUAUGGAUAAAGAAAGUGAAACAGAAAAAGUAUGUAAUAAUUCUAAUAGAAAAUUUUUUACAUAUAAAAUAAUUAUUCUUUAAUACCUUCUAAUUAUUUUAUUAAUUAAUAUAUCAAUAAUUAUGUUAUUAUUUUUAUUAAAAAACUUGUAACUAUUUUAUUAAUCAAUAUAUCAAUAAUUAUGUUAUUUUUUUUAUUAAAAAACUUUCAAGUCUUUAAUGAUAUUUUUUCUUUCAUUUCAAAGUCACAAAUGUUUUUGACGCAUUUGUUUCAUCGCUAGUUUCAGUCUUAUCUAUCAACUCUCAAUAUCAUCGUUGAAUGAUCAAUCUCAAUAUCACCACUGUAUUCAAUUUCUCUACAGUGAAUUUCGUUGCUAUGCUGAAUAAGAUCUAAGGGGCUUAGGUUGUGACUUUCGCAACUAUUACCUUAUUCUUAUUGGUAGGAUUGAAAAUAUAAAAAUAAAAAAGUCGAUUGAAAUUAUAUUAUUUGAUUCAAUUUAAAUGAGUUUUUUUGUUGUAUUCGUUUCAGCUUCUAAUCUUGAAUGCUUUUGUUCGAUUUGGUUUUUGAUUCAUGGAGUAAAAUUUGAAAUUAUUCAAAUAAAAUUAUAUUUUAUUAAAUUUUACAUUAUUUUUUAAUUUUUAAAAAUUAUUUUAUUUGUAAAUAGAUGUAAAUAAAUAUAAAAUAAUAUUAAAAAUUAUAUAAAAUCUAUAAAAUUUUUUAUUCAUCAUUAUAUGCAUAUUUUUUCUCCAUCAAUUUAAUUGUAAUAUUUUAUUAUUAAGCUUUUUCUAAAUUAAACAAUAAUAUUUUUAUUUAUUUUCAUAUAUAUAUUAUACUCUUUUUAAGAUCAAUUUUAGUAUUUCAUAUCUAGCUAGAACCCUAAUUAAUUUUAAUACAAGUAUCUAUGAUUUUUUUUUAAAUGUUUAACUAUAUAUAAGUAAAAUCAAAUACUUACCAUUAAACUACGAUUUUAGUUCAACUAUUUAGAAUUGCUAUAGAAAGUGUUUUUUUACCCCUAACUUCUAGUUUCUACUAAAUUAGUUUAUUUAUUUUAAACACAAAAUGAGACAUAUUUUUCACUUAAAAAUAAUUUUGCUUUUUUAAAAUUAUAGAAUUCAAUUAAAUAAAUAUACAAGACUUAAUUAUGCUAAUUUUAUACUAAAAAAAUAGCAACUAAUACAAUAUAAUAAACAUACUAAAGUUUUAAUCGAUCUUAAAUAUGAAUCCCAAAGAUGACUGAUAGAAAUUGAUAGGUUACAAAAAUAUUCAAAUCCAAUUGAACACAUAACAAUAAUAUAUGUUUCCUAGCAAAAAAAUUAAUUACAUUAAUUACAUUAAUCUUAAUUAUAUCUUUGAAUAUAUAUGGCUUAUGGAAUAGGGGUUUGUACUUGUGUUUGUGUAUUAUCACUUUAUGGUUUAAUUGAUAGAUUAUAUGCAUUCACUUUGACAAAAUGAUAAAAUCCAAACUUGGGGUAUGAUUGUAUUGUUAUAAUCAAAAUGAUAAUUAAUUAGAAAAUGAUUGAGUCCAUCUGUUUUUUGCAGUUGGUUGUCUUGAGAGGUCAUUUUAUCUAUUAGGCAAUAGUUGUGGUAAUAAAAAGCUGACAAUGCCUUGUGUCCUGAAACUGAAUUUCACUUAUAUCAUCCAGACUAGUAUAACUAACUUUUCCUUCCUCUUUCUAAAGGGUAAAAAAUCCAUACAUUUAUUCUUGAUUUUUAUUAAGUUGUUCUUAUGAUUUAUUUCACAGGCAAUGCUUGGAUCUUAUGCAGGGACAUGUUUACGAUACGUUACGGAUAAAACAACAUCAUGAUAAUUUCUAAAAUAUAAGAAUAGGACUACAGCAAGGCAUGAUAAUAAAAAAAUAUCUUUUAUAUAUUGUAAUCGUCAGUUAAGAAUACAUGAUAAAUAUUGGGAUGAUUUUUAAAAAUCAAUUACCUUUAUAAAGAAAAACUAAUGUAAAUAUGGCAAUAAAAGAACAUAGAAUGCCGUUACCCGCAUGGAAAUUUUCUUUUUCUUCUUUCUUAAUCUUUGCCGUAUCUGGUCAAAUUCAAUAGUAUUCCAACAUGUUCUGGUAUGUAUGUCAGAAGCGUUAAAGUGUCGAACACGAAUACAGCAGGAGUACGCAAGAAGUUCAAACGCAAGAGGUAUAAAGUAUUACCUUGUACAUUUAGAAGUUGAGUGCUUCCUGUGUUUUCUGUCAUUUUAUUUUAUGUCCACUUGAUGAAAGUGAUAAGUUUCGGUUUACAGGCAUUCGGUUUAUAAAAAUGAUAUAUUUCGGUUCACAGGCAUUCGGAUAGGUUGCACGACUUGUGAGACAACAUAACUUUCCAGCAUUUAAAUAUUUAUGGUUUCUUUUUGUUUCAAGUUUUGAUACUCAAUGACAUUUUAGAACCCAGUUCUGUGCUGAAACAGAACGUGAACAUGAAAAAUAAAGAGAGAAAAUGAAAAUUACCAACAGCAAACAAAAGUUUAGAUACAAUGGAAAAAUUUUAAGCUUAUUAAGGGAAGGUUUUCCUCCAUAAUUGAGCAUGACAAAUGCUAGAAUUGUGAUCCAUUGUGGCCAGUUGACAAAUACUGAUAUCCCGACUUAAGAUGUUCAGUUGUUUGAACAUAGCAAUAAUUGUGAGUUGCAUCAGAAAUCCAAGCUCCAAAAAUUGCCUAGAAUACGCUGUGAUGUUUUUUGCGUUCAUUUUGAAGGAAUUACUAUGCAGGAUUUGCAUAAUAUAUGAGACUGUUACUGGAGAAGGUUGAUGAUUCAAUUUAGACUCCUUACGGAAACACUGGCCUUUUUUGCAAGCUCGUUUCACAUGAAGAAGUUGAGCUGAAAUUCUGUAGAAUAAAUUAAGAAUAGUUACUUGGAAGCUUCCGCAGAAUAAAUGGAUGCUUGAGUUUGUGUUCUUUUAUGUCAAGACAGUACAUACCCCUGAUUUGAUGAUUGAAAUGAGCUCCUCAAACCAAACUCGAGCUUAGCAGCUGAAACACUUUGUCUCGAUCAGCGUAGAUGUUUCUUUAUGCCGAGCCAGAAUGCUUAUAAAGAUCAAAGAAGCAUACCAAAAUGUUUAGUCACUACUAUAAAUAGUUAAAACUUCAUACAUAAAGGCAAACAGUUUUCAAAGCAAGUAUAAAAGAAAAACACAUUAAGAUGCAUUGCUUUACAUCUUCAAAAGCUCAAUCCAGGCAAAGAUUUUAACUUGUGGCUCCACCGAGCUGAAAGAAAUGAUCAUCGGAAAAACAAAGGUUGCUGAUCAAUGUUUUACUGAAAGGAUAUGUUAUGCAUCAAUAUGAAGAAUUGAGCUACAAUGGAAUGAAACUUCCAAGCAUUAAUGCACAACAGAAUAAUAUUACAAAGAAUUUUAACACGUACAUUUAGAAUAUCAAUUUGGCUUUUACAGAAGGUCCCAGCUCAGCCAAUUUUACCUGCUUGAUAAAGUUCUUACCUUAUCUUAUCAUUUAUGCUUGCACCGCUGACAUGGAGGAGAAAAAAGAUUUCUGUGGUAGGAAAGGAGCUGCUGCCAGAACAACUUGGAAACCACCAAUGAAUUGAAGUUAUUUCAUCCUGUCAGAUAAGUUCCACAAUAUCAGAUUUUUGUUUUGAAGCAUUUGGGAUAAAAAUGGUAGUACCAAAGAAGGGUAGAAUAAAAAAAGAGAAAGCAAUCCUAACAAGCUUGGAAGUUUUCAUUAUGCUAAGAAUGAUGAUUUCUUUUAAUAUAUGGCUUCUGAUCAUAAACAACGAAUCUAUAUACUCAAAGAGUAUGAUAUAGGGAUUAUGGAGGGUGGAAUAUGGUUCAAGGAUUCGGAAUGUCCAAGGCAAUUAUUGCUGGCUCCGGAAGAGCACCUUAUUCAGAGUAAAAGACACAAAUAUUAUACAUAAAACAUAAAGUACAAAUGAUUUUCCUUCGCUAUAAAAGGAGAACGUUUUGCAAAGAUAUCAGAACCCUGGAAAUAAGUAAAUAACUAAGUAAUAACUUACCACUUUCAUAGGAAACAAUGUUUCCCUUGGGGGAAUUUUUGCGUCACUGACACUGUCCUCACUCCUAAGUCUGGCAAUAAAUCUUUAAUAUCUCAUCAUUUAUAAGAAAUUGAGUUCUCAAUGGGAUUGAGGCAGGGAUUUUGGUAUUGACUCAUUCAGGCUGCCAUAUGGUCAAUUUGACAGCAGUGAAGGUAAUCCAUGCUUCUGCUGAGUAAACAGCAUUCAUCUUUUUCAGGUCUUUCCAUCUGCUUUUGCAAACCACUUUGUGUGCUCCUAUAAAGGCACUACUCACUGGCCUCUGCAACUUCCAACUGACUGAAACCAAAAUUAGAUAUCAAAUUAAUCUUCACGCAUAUAAGAAAAUAACAAGCAUUUAAUAAUUGAAACCAUUCUUGAAUGAUUCUACAAAAGAAAAAAAAAAUCAGAAGUCAAUGAAACAAAAUGAUUAAUAGAUAUAAACAUUUAACACAUCUGUUCUGUUCUUGAAAUUGUCCUAUAGGAAAUUUUUAUCAGAAGACUGAAAGAAAUAUGUUUAGACUAUAAAAAUGAAUUUUCUAAAAUUUUCUAACUUUUAGUAAACAAUCCAAUGCCAUAGUUACUCAUUCUUCUCUGUGAAAAAUCAUAGGUAAGGCAGAAAGGAAGUACACAUAAUGAACAGCCAAAUACAUGAGGAUAUCAUGAAUGAUUCAUGAACACAAGAAAAAUAUAUAUAUACAGAAAUCAGCUAUAAGACCUACUCAUUCUGGAACUAUUCUUAAAUUUUCUUUUAAAAUGGCAGCAAAACAUUGAAUCUAUGUAUCAAACCUGCAGAGAACCAUGUGCAAGUUCCAAUAACUUCUAAAUUAAACCAUUACACUCCAUGAUGGAAGGAAGAACCUCAUUCUCAAUUCUGCAAAUCUAGAUUACACUACAAUUAAAAGUUUUGUAUAAAUGAGAUUCACUCGUUUCUAACAAAUGAGCUUCAAAAAUACCUGUCCUCAAUUUAAUAAGCAGGAUUUCAUCAAUGGUUAAAAGGUUAAAGUCUGAAUUUGAUUCCUUUACUACCUCAAUCCUAUCGGUUUAGUCCAACUUCAAUUUUAAUGAAUUUAGUCCAUGUAUUUUUAUUAAAAGUAGACUUUUCUUUUAUAUAUUUUCCAUUUCAUUGUAAAACAAGAAGCUAUGUGUGGAAUGGAUUGAACUAAUGAACAUUUUAUUAUGAUAUAAAAAAUAUAAAUCACUUGAGCACUUGAUUUAAUAGUACGUUAAUGUUCUUCAAAUAAGUAGCAUAUAAUUGCAAAGUGACAUAUACCUGAUUUCUUGGCGUUUCUUCCGGUGACAAAUUAACCAAUUAGAAUGCAACGUAUGUGGGCUAUUUUGGGCCACUCUUGUCCUUCAUCCUUCUUGCAUCGUUCUCUUAGCAAUGGACAGUUAAUAAUAUAUAGAUGAAAAAGUGAGUCAAACAUCUCCCCUUCUGGGAGGAAUUUGAGCCUGGGGCAUCCUCGGAUAUCCAAUGAUUCAAGAAAUUUGAGAUUUUGAAAGCCCUUGGAGGAUAGAGUUUCUAGGUUUGGAAAACCGAAGAUGGUGAGGGAGGUGAGAGUGCGAGGCAGAAGCAUUUCCUCACAUGGGAAUGACACCACAUCUACAGAAGCACCGUUGAUGUACAAAUGUUUAAGGGAGGUGAGUUUGUGCAAACCCCACGCAAUCACUGACUUGCAAAUAUUGGGUUGCGAGAUUUUAAGUGAAGUGAGAUUGGGAGGGAACCCCUCUUCUGGAAAUGAUAUCACCCGUGGACAAUCCAAUAUGAACAAUUCUCGCAUAGAGACGAUAUUGUGGAUGCAGUUGGGUAAGGCCUGUAGUUUUUCACACCUAGAAAGGUGAAGCUUUCUGAGUUUAGUGGUAAAUGACCCACUUCCAGGGAAGGAAAUCAAACUUGGACAACCCCAAAUAACAAUCUCCCCAAGAUGGUUGAGCUUGUUUAAUCCAUGAGGCAAAGAUCUGAAAUUAUUGCAACUGCCGAUAGUUAUUAAUUCAAGGGAAGAGUUCUCUUCAAUUUCUUGAGCUAUGGACUCUAGUACUCGGCAAUUAUUAAUAGUGAGGUAUUUAAGCCCCAUAGGUAACUCGCCCCUUGAGGAUAAAGAUAUCAGAGACUUACAAUUUUCAAUUACCAAGUGCUCUAGAAGAGGCCUGCUGUUGAUGUUGUUAUUUACUCCACCCAGCAAGUACUGCAAAUUCUCACACUCCUUAAUGGUUAAACGUCUUAAAUUUGGAGGCAAGUUUCCAUUUGAAAUUGAAAUCAAUCUUGGGCAUCCUUCAAUUUGUAGCUCCCUAAGGGAUCUGUAGCUGUGUAGGUUUUCUGAUAGCCUUUCUAGCCUUACACAACGAUGUAUGCUCAAAUGUUCAAUACGGCAAGGGAUUCCUAACUGCCUAUGCUCAUCCUUUCCGUCCUCUGCACCUAUGGAAACUGUUGAACAAUUGUCAAUUUCCAAAAAGGGAAGACGCCUCAAAUGUGUUGAGGGUCCUUCCUGGUUCUGCCAUGAAGAAAUUAGCUCCUCACAUCCAUGUAUAUAAAGACGUUCUGCUUUUAUCAACCCUAACAUCAUCCCCUCCAUUGGAGAAGUGAAUUUUGAAAUGUCUGAAAGAGAGACUUUUUCAAUGAAUGAGCCAGAUUUUGUACAACUUGUAGACGCCACCUCUUGGCACCCAUAAAUUUCCAAGUCAGACAACUUUGGAAGGCUUGAGAGUGAAACUACCAACUGCUCACAUUCUUCAAUCACAAGUUUCUCCAAUGAAGGAAGACAACAAGGUAGACUUCUCAGUUGUUGACACAAAUUAAUCUCUAGCUUCUUCAAGGAAGGAAGACGAUUAGGUAAACUUCUCAGUUGUAGACACCAAAUAAUCUCUAGCUUCUUCAAGGAAGGAAGACAACUAGGUAAACUUCUCAGUUGAUCACACAUAUUAAUCUCUAGCUUCUUCAAGGAAGUAAGACGAUUAGGUAAACUUCCUGACAACUUGGGGCAAUUUGAAAUGAUGAGCUCAUGGAGGUGUUGGAAACUCCUUACAUUUUCAUCAACUUCACAGGGAUCCCAUUCCUCCCACUCUGGCAUGUCCUUAAAACGUAAUUUCUCUAGUGACGGAAAUGCAUUAAUCGACAGAUCCUUUCCAAAAAAAUUAGCACCCACAUUUUUUAUCUUACUCAUCCUCUGGAUAGAAAGCGAUUUUAUCGACGGUAAUCUUCCAACAGGUGGUAAUAAUGUGCAAUUUGGACAGUCAUACAGAUUCAGAAUCGAUAGCUUUUCAAAUGAGGGAUCUCCAAUCCAAUUUGGGAAUGUUUCACCUCCAUAACAUUCGAUGGUGAGCCUUUCAAGCAUUUUAGGAGGUUGGAGUGAAUCCAACACGUCCUUGUGAAUUUCUUUUCCUGCGACAUUAUAACUCCACUCCAAAGCUAAAUCACGAAGGUUCGACUUAUGACGUAACCCAGCCAUCCAUGCAUCUUGAGCUUCGACAACAUUCUGCAAUUCUGUAAUAAAAAGUUCACCCUUAAGAUUAGACAAAUUCUUCAUCUCGCUAAUCGGACGACCAUUGUCUUGACUCACAACAAAAUUUGUCAAUGUUUGGAGAUUGGUUAGUUCACCGAUUCCCAUUGGCAUCGUUUUUAUUGAAUCUGCACCUGCUAUGUCAAGAUGCCUUAGGUUAAUUAAAAAUCCCAUUUCAGAAGGAAGCUCUUCAAGACUAGAACAGCCCCGCAACAGCAAGGUCUCUAAAUUGUAAAGCUUGCAUAUUGAAUCCGGCAGAAUUUUGAUUAGAGUGUAAGAAAAAUUUAGAUAACGCAGAUGCACCAAAUCUCCAAUAAUAUUGGGAAUCUCCGUCAGGUAGAAACCUUGUAAAGAAAACACCCUUAAGUAUUUAAAUUCUGGCAACAACUCACUGAGAACUUGAUUAGAGAAAUUCAUCCACCCUCCAGGCAUCUUCAACGGUAGGAAGGUUCUUAAAUUCUUUCUUUUAAAGACUUGGAAAUUUUUAAUUCUGUCUUUCCCACCAACAAUGCAAGAUAAAUGGCGAGGAUGACGGGAAACGUUCAAUGCCUUGUCAUCCUCCACUCUGAAGCAUAUAUCUUUGGCAACUGAUUGAGCCAAAUCAUUAAUCAGGUCAUGCAUUAUAUAUCGAGACUCAUUCUUGCUGGAUACUUCAAAAAAUGACCUCCGUACAAGUUCUUGAAAGUACUCAUGACCCAAAUCUUCAUUUCGCUUUGUAGCUUCCACUCGCAGAAAGCCUUCUGCCAUCCAUAAUAGGACUAUUUCUUCCUCGGAAAAUUCAUAGCCUUUGGGAAGUAUGGCACAGUAAGCAAAACAUCGCUUUAGGUCUGCAGGAAGAUGAUGAUAGCUUAAUCGUAAAGCUGGAAUUAUGCUACUCCUCUCUUCUGGUAAAUUCCAAAUCUCACUUCUUAGUAUCUUUUCCCAUUCACCAACGUCCAGCUUAUUGCGCAAAAGGCCUCCAAUGGUCUUAGCUGCUAAGGGCAAUCCCUUGCACCUCUUCACAAUCUGUACACCAUAUUCUUUUAAGUUCGGAUGCCCACUAAAAUCUUUUGCUCCUAAUGCAUGUUGAGUUAAUAUAGAAAUGCAAUCACCAUCUGACAACUCUGGCAGCUUGUAACCUAGGAUAGUACUCACCAUUAAUGAAACACUUUGACCACGAGUUGUCACAACAAUCGUAGCUCCUAUGCCAAAAGGGGAUAUUAGACGAGUCCAAUCAUCAUAGUUUUCAUGCCAAAGAUCAUCCAAAAUCAGAAGUAGUUUUUUUCCCUCCAGCUUCUUCUUCAAUUUUAUUUGAAGGUUAUUCAAAUCAUCUCCAACAUUAAAAGAUUCAGGACUAACUGAUUGUAAGAUUGAUUUCGUUAUCUCCUCCAUCUUAAAGUCAUCAGAAACACAUACCCAUGCUUGAAAAUCAAAAUGCUUAACUACACGACUAUCAUUGUAGACAAGCUGAGCAAGCGUUGUUUUGCCAAUCCCUCCUUUGCCAAUGAUGGGAAUCACAGAAAAUUUAUUGCUAUCAUCACUCCCAAAAAUCAAAUCAAGGAUUGUUUCCUUGUCUUUUUCCCGACCGUAGACUUGAGUUUCAUUCACCAAACAAGUGGUUGAUCGCCAUUCCCAUGUUCUCCUGGGCCUCCCACCACCAUUUUUAGUCAGAGCCAAGAGACUUAUACCUGCUUCUAAAACUUGAAAUCUAGCAGUGAUCUCUUUUAUCUCGGACAUCAUUUCCUUAUUAAAUGAUAAAUUAUGACCCCUGAACCAGGUAAAGCAAGCAUCAACAAGCUUUUGUAACUUCCUUGGGCGGUGAUCUUGAUGUUCCCUUGUUAACUUGAGUCUCAAAGCUUCAGUAGCAAACUUAUCCAAUAUGUCAUCCACAUCGUAUGCCAAGUCUUGGAGGUGGACCAACCAACUCUUCACACGCCCAUCAUUCAUUUCCUUCUCCUCGGCAUCAUUUAGAACUGCGUGAAUAUUGCGCAGUGUCUUUUCCAUCUUGUUGAGCUCCUCGCAAACUUCCUUCUCAGUUACAAAGUUGAGAAACUCAGAGGAGGCCAAAUUACUAAACAACCCUUCAAAGAACACAGAUAAAGCAGCUUCAACGAUGGACAUGGCUUUUGACCUGCAAAAACACAGAGAUUAUGUGUAAAAAUGAUAUAGGGAUAAACUCAAAAAGACUGGAACUAGAAGUAGAACACAACCAACAACCCCACCAGUACUGAACCCCAUCUUGGUAUAUUUCUUUGUGGCUUAUAUCUCCGCGUUAAUUUUUUCUAAUACUCCUAUUACUAAUUAAGAAAGUUAAUUAAUUAUUCCAAUCAGACUAUUUGUUAGACUAUAGAUGAAAAUUGGAAUAUCGGAAAACUUAAACAAUGUAUUUAUUUUUUUCAAGUGUUUUAGAAAUUAAAACCAAAACCGUGAUUUGCAACUUGCAAGUUGUUUUUAAAAACCAAAAGUAAAAUUUUAAAAAGUUUUGAAAAUUAUUAAAAAUACAAAAAUAAUAUUUCUAAUAUUUUGAAAAUAUUUUCGACAUUAUUAUCUUAAUACUAUUCAUCUAUUCGAUUAUAAUACUUGUUAGAGUUAAAAAUCUAAUGUUUGAAAAUUAAAAAAAAAUUAUUCUUGAUAAGAUUUGAACUCAUAUCCUCUUACAAUUUAAAAUUUUAAUCACUUUUUUUAUUAAAUUUCUCUUCUUAAAUUUUUGGAAAAAAAUUAUAUCAAAACACUUUUUAAAAUUUAAUAAAAUGAUAAAAACUAAAAUAAAAUAAAAUAUUCAAAAACAUAAAAUUGGCAACAAUACAAAACCACCCUGUUUCAAAAUUUCAACUUUUUUUUUUCCUUAAAGUAAAUGUAUUUGUGUCGAUUUGACAUAAGGGUAAAUCCAUUUCUACUAGCAAUUGGCUGAACAAAAAAAAAAAGGUAGACCAUAUAUCAGAAUUUUUUUCUUUUUAUCAAGCAAACUUUAAAAAUCUUUAAAAGGGUGAAAAUCUUUGAUCUACCAAUAGUAGCAAACAAAUUGGAACUCCGAAAUCUAAAAAAAAAAAACAAAACACUUUUUAUAGCAUUCUGUUAUUAAAUAUUUAAUCAGAAAUUUUAAAUUUCAAAAGUUUUUAUCUAACUUUUAAUUUUGAGUCCAAAUUAUUAUUUGUCUUUAAUUAUUUAUUUAGGGUUUCAAUUGAUUAAUAAGACUCAAACCAAUAGUUCAUUCUUCCUUCUUAUAAUAUACCAUGUUAUUUUAUUUCUCGUCUUAUUUCUUUUAUCAAAGUUUUAAAUAUUUUAUUAUUUUUAAACAAUUGGAACAAAAAUAAAAAUAAAAUAAAUACAAAAAAUAAAAAAAUAAUUAUGAAAAUCUGGAUAAACAAAAGUAGAUAAAUCAUAAAUUUUUUAAAGAAAUAUCCUAAAGGAAAAGAAUCAAAUUAAAUUCCUAUAAUGAUUAAAUUUUCGAGAUUAAGAUAAAAGUGCAAAGUAUUUUCUAGAGCAAUUUUUUUUCUAAUAUGGAAUUGCACUUCAAAGAAGACUAGUUCCAUAUUUAAACAAAUGAAAAGCAAUCACAAUACAGAAAAUGAACACAAAACAACAAGAAUCGUCAAAAGCAACAACAAUUAGCAAAAAAAAAAAAAAGGGCAAAACAUUUUUAGUCACUGAGUGUUUUCAGUUUUAGAUUUGAUUAAUUUUUAGGGUUUUUUUGGAGUUUCUAAGUUAAUAAGAAGAAAAAGAAAGUUUUUUGGAGGCCUGUUUUGGGUUGUAGAUGUAGACUUUUGGAUGAAUAUUUUGUGAAGUCUAACUUAAAAUAAGCAAAAAGGAGAUCAUAAGAAAUUAAAAAGAAGAUUUUUGAAAAAUUUUAUCACUAGUAUAAAAUGACAGACAACAUCACCGAUGAAGUUUUCAAUGACUUUUUUUGGAUUUUAUGAUUUGAGGGUAUUAUUUGACAGAUUGAAUUCUUGAACACCAAACAUUUAUACUGUUAGGAAAAUGGGGUCCAAUCCUAUGUAAGUGGUUUUGGACCAAGUAAAGGCCAUGGGCCUUGAUAUUUUAUUUUACACAGAGCCCUAGCUACUUAAUAAAAAAAGAGGUGGGGUUGUUUUAGGUGUGUGUCGAAAACCAAGCUAAAAAAGAAGAAAAGCCAGGAAAAACAGAGAGAGAAAAAAAAGAAGAGAGAGUUGGUUGAACGGAAGUCAAUCCGUGGUCCGAUUGAGUUGGAACCUUGUCAGGAGGUUUAUGAUUCAGAGUUCUACAUUCUAAACGGUGAAGAUCGGGUUUGAAGCUCUCUAGGAACAAAUCCAGGGUGUAUUUGUUGAGUCACUUAUUUGGUGAGAUUUCUUCAAUUAUUUCUCUAGUUGUUGAUUAGCUCUAGUUUUAGCUAGAGAAGAACUUUGUAUAACUAUUAUUUGAUAGUGAAGAUUUUUCUGGUGGCCCGUGGUUUUUUCCCUCUACACUGGAGGGUUUUUCACGUAAAUCUUGGUGUGCUUUAUUUUUCCUGCGUAUUUGAUUAUUGAUUGCUGUCUAUUGCUUCUGUAUUGUUGUGAUUAUUGCUUCAGGUGCAACAAGUGGUAUCAGAGCGAGGGUUAUUUUGAGACAUCGAUACAGAAGCAACCCAGGAUAGAAGUAAAUUCUAUUUAAGAUCAUGGAGGGUGAUACAGGUUUCAUGAUAAAAUUGACAGCAUCGAAUUAUUCAAUUUGGAAGCCUAUGAUAGAAGAUCAUCUAUACUGCAAAGAUUUGUAUGAGUCAGUAUUGGGAAGAUUCGGCUAAACUAGCGGAUAUGAAAGAUGAAAACUGAAAGAAGCUAGGUAGAAAAAUGCUGGCUACAAUCAGAAAAUGGGUUGAUAUCAGCGUGUUCCAUCAAGUAGUGCAGGAAUCAGAUGCUUACAUUGUUUGAGAAAAAUUGGCAGCAUUGUAUGAGAAAAAUAGGUAUGAAUAAAACUAUACUUGUUAAAAAGAUUGCAACUUUACAGUACAGGGAUGGACGAUCUGUUACAGAACACUUGAGUGAUUUUCAAGAUAUAUUUAAUCGAAUGACUACUAUGGAGCUUAAGAUGGAUGAUGAAAUGAAGGCAUUAUUUCUUUUGGGUUCAUUGCCAGACAGUUGGAAUACUCUAGUUGUGACUGUUCUUAAUUUAGCUCCUGAUUAUAAGAUGACAUUGGAGAUGGUAAAUGAUAGUAUGCUUAAUGAAGAAGCGAGGCGAAAAGAUGUAGACCUUGGGAAUCAAGCUCUAGUCAUAGAGAAUAGGGGUAAAAACAUCGACAGAGGUCAGGACUCAAAAAGUCGUGGUAAGUCUAAACAUAGAUCCAAAUCUAGAGGUAAAGUGAAGUGUUUCCAUUGUGGUAAGACGAUUCAUAUAAAACGAAACUGUAGAAUCUUAAAGCAAGAGCGAAAAAAUGAGAAAAGCAAGAGUUCAGAUGAUGGCAAUGUUGCAGCAGUGAAUUCAGAUAGUGAUUCAGUUACUUUGAUUUGUACACAUGGUGAUUGUAAUCAUGUUAGUGAUCCCGACAUUAAGUGGAUAGUUGACACAGGAACGGCAUAUCAUUGUGUUUCUAAGAGAGAGUUGUUUACAACUUACAAAGCAGGAGACUUUGGUUGUACCAAGAUGGGAAACAAGAGUGUGUCGUAGAUUGUUGGGAUUGAUGAUAUUAUUGUACAAACUAGUACAGGCUGCAUGUUGACUUUGAGGGAUGUCAGACACAUUUCAGAUAUGAGAAUAAACUUGCUUGCUAUUAAUGUCCUUGAUAAGGAGGGAUAUAAAAGCCGACAAAAGAAUGGACAGUGGAAGCUUCUCAAAGGAUCUAUGGUAGUUGCAAGGGAAAAACUAUGGUACACAAUGUAUAAGACAUGGAUGCAAUUGAACGAUAAUCAGGUAAAUACCGUUGAAAAUGAUGUUUCAGCAAACUUGUGGCACAGGAGGCUAGUACACAUGAGUGAAAAGAGGUUACAGGUUUUGGCAAUGCACUCUCUCAUUCCCUUGACCAAAGGUAUGUCUCUCGAUUCAUGUGAUUAUUGUUUGUUUGGUAAGCAUCAUAGAGUUUCUUUUCGUAAAAGUUCUCAGAGAAAAGAAAAUAGAUUGGAAUUAAUUUAUUCUGACGUAUGUGGUCACAUUGAGGUUGAGUCAUUAGGUGGUAGCAGAUAUUUUGUUACUUUUAUUGAUGAUGCUUCACGUAAGACUUGGGUGUAUAUGUUAAAAUACAAAAGUCAGGUACUACAGUAUUUUUAAAAAUUUUAUGCCAUGGUUGAAAGGAUGACAGGGUUACCCUUGAAGUGUAUUCGAACUGAUAAUGGUGAGGAAUACACAUCUAAAGAUUUUGAAGAGUAUUGCUGAAAGCAUGGGAUCAGGCAUGAGAGGACAUAACCUGGAACACCGCAGCAUAAUGGUAUAGCUAAAAGAAUGAAUCGCACCAUUGUGGAAAAAGUCAGAUGUAUGUUGAGGAUGGCAAAAUUACCAAAGCCAUUUUGGGGUGAAGCAGUCAAGACAACUUGUUAUUUACUUAACAGGUCACCAUCAGUUCUUUUGGGCUUUGACAUUCCAGAAAGAGUGUGGACAAGAAAAGAUACUUCAUACUCUCACUUGAAAGUUUUUGGGUGUAAAGCAUUCAUGCAUGUGCCAAAAGAACAGAGGUCAAAGCUUGACAGUAAAGCUACACAGUGUGUGUUUGUAGGAUAUGGUGAUGAAGAAUUUGGUUACAGGGUAUGGGAUCCAGUAAAGAGAAAGAUAGUCAGAAGCAAAGAUGUAGUCUUUCAUGACAAAGAAACCAUAGCAGAUCUUGAGAAAAAUGAGAAGACUACACGAGUUACUGUUGAGUGUGAUGUUUCAACACCGACAGAGAUUUCACAAGAAAGAGCCACAGAUGGUGAAAAUGAGCCAGAAACAGAACUUGGGGAUAUGAAUGAGCCAACCACAAUUGGUGAUGAGCUAGAUGCUAUUAUUUUUUAGCAGGGGGAGCAAUCCUCUCUACCUGAGAGUGUUGAGCAGGGGGAGCUACCUUCAGCAUCAAGUGAUGUAGAGUCUCAGCCCAGGAGAUUUACUAAAGAGCGCAGGCCAUCUACCAGGUAUCCAAGUUCAUAUUUUAUUUUAGUUACCAGUGAAGGGAAGCCAAAAAGCUUUCAAGAUGUGCAGGCUACUCCGGAUAGAAAGCACUAGUUAAAAGUAAUGAAAGAAGAGAUGGAGUCAUUACGAAAGAAUGGUACUUAUGAUCUUGUUAAACUUCCAACAGGGAAGAAGCCAUUAAAAAAUAAAUGGGUGUUCAAGUUGAAAAAAGAUGGUGACAAACUAGUAAGGUACAAAGCUCGAUUGGUAGUAAAAGAUUUUUCUCAGAAAUCAGGCAUCGAUUUUGAUGAGAUUUUUGCUCCAGUUGUAAAAAUGAGUUCUAUUCGAGUGGUAUUGAGAUUGGCAGCUAGUUUGAAUCUUGAACUUGAGCAACUUGAUGUUAAAACUGCUUUUUUGCAUGGUGAUUUAUAGGAAGACAUUUAUAUGAAUCAGCUUGAGGGUUUUGAAGUGAAAGGGAAAUAGCACUUAGUUUGCAAAUUGAAGAAAAGCUUGUAUGACUUGAAAUAAGCUCCGUGACAGUGGUACAAGAAGUUUGAUUCUUUUAUGGUGAGUCAUAACUAUAAAAGAACAGCAACGGAUUCUUGUGUGUAUGUUAAACAAUUUCUUAAUGGUAACUUCAUUAUCCUAUUAUUAUAUGUUGAUGAUAUGUUGAUUGUAGGACAAGAUGCUAGUAUGGUUUGCAGUUUAAAAGAACAAUUGUCUAAGUCCUUUGAUAUGAAAGAUUUAGGUCCAGCAAAGCAGAUUCUUGGUAUGGACAUUAUCCGGGAUAGGAGAGCUGAAAAGCUGUGAUUGUCACAGGAAAAGUAUGUUGAACGAGUGCUUGGUAGAUUCAACAUGCAACAUGCUAAAUCAGUUAGCAGUUCACUUGUCAACCAUUUUCAUCUAAGUAAGAAAUCUUGUCCAGUGUCUAAGGAAGAGCAACUAGCUAUGUCUAGCAUUCCUUAUUCUUCUGCAAUCGGUUCUUUAAUGUAUCUUAUGGUUUGUACAAGGCCUGACAUUGCUCAUGCAGUUGGUGUAGUGAGCAGAUUUCUUUCUAAUCCAGGGAAGGUUCACUGGGAAGCAGUGAAAUAGAUUUUUAGAUAUUUGAGGGGUACCUCAAAAAUGUGCUUGACUUAUGGAGUUUCACAACCAGUUCUAAAAGGGUUUACUGAUGCUGACAUGGCAGGCGAUCUUGAUGGUAAGAAAUCUACUUCAAGGUAUUUAUUUACUUUUACAAGAGGAGCUGUAUCUUGACAGUCUAAGUUACAGAAGUAUGUUGCUUUGUCAACUACAGAAGCUGAGUAUAUUGCAGCAACUGAAGCAUGUAAAGAAAUGCUUUGGAUGAAACGUUUUCUUCUUGAAUUGGGUUUGAAUCAGAAAGAGUAUGUGGUAUUUUGUGAUAGCCAGAGUGCUUUAGAUUUGAGUAAGAAUACCAUGUACCAUGCUAGAACAAAGCACAUUGAUGUUAGAUAUCAUUGGUUACAUUCAGUGAUUGAAGAACAGCAGAUGUUAUUGAAGAAAGUCCAUACUGAUAAGAAUGUAGCAGAUAUGUUGACGAAGAUACUUCUCAGGAAAAAGCUUGAGCUUUGCAGUAACUUGGCCGGAAUGAGUUCCCUAGCCAAGGUAAGUUCCAAAUGAAAUUGCUAUGGUGAUGAAUUUCCUUCUAAUGGGACUGGAGGGGGAGAUUGUUAGGAAAAUGGGGUCCAGUCCCAUGUAAGUGGUUUUGAACUAAGUAAAGGCCAUGGGCCUUGAUCUUUUAUUUUACACAGAGCCCUAGCUACUUAAAAAAAAAAAGAGGUGGGGUUGUUAUAGGUGUGUGUCGAAAACCAAGCAAAAAAAAAAAAAAAGCCAGGAAAAGCAGAGAGAGAAAAAAGAGAAGGGAGAGUUGGUUGAACGGAAGUCAAUCCGUGGUUUGAUUGAGUUGGAACCUUGUCAGGAGGUUUAUGAUUCAGAGUUCUACAUUCUGAACGGUGAAGAUCAGGUUUGAAGCUCUCUAGGAACAAAUUCAGGGUGUAUUUGUUGAGUCACUUAUUUGGUGAGAUUUCUCCAAUUGUUUCUCUAGUUGUUGAUUAGCUCUAGUUUUAGCUAGAGAAGAACUUUGUAUAACUAUUAUUUGAUAGUGAAGAUUUUUCUGGUGGCCCGUGAUUUUUUCCCUCUACACUGGAGGGUUUUUCACGUAAAUCUUAGUGUGCUUUAUUUUUCCUACGUAUUUGAUUAUUGAUUGCUGUCUAUUGCUUUUGUAUUGUUGUGAUUAUUGCUUCAGGCGCAACAUAUACUAUGGUCGAAAGUUGCAAACUAUUGAAGUUUUUUAUGCCAAAAUCUAUAAAAACUUUGAAGUUUUGGCAUCUUAUUCUUAAUGCCCUUGUAAAAAGUGAGUUUUAAAGAGAUAAAAAGAGAAAAAAAGAAAAAAAUAUUGAUGAAUUACAAAAAUUCUUUGCUUUUUACUAUCCAUACUAAAUAUUGAAUUAAGUCAUUUAAGAGGUGCCUACUCAUGACAACCCACGCCUCAACCCAGAGAGACUUGAAUCAUAAUUAACCCAAGUUGUGUAACAAGCCAAUUAAGCCAUUAACCAAGCCGAAUAAGCAAUUCAUGUAGUUUUUUUUUUCUCUUUUUUUUGUUAUUUAUUUUUAUGUAUAUUGAAAUUUUAAUUUUUAGAUAUAUAUUUUAAUUAUUUGAUAAAAAUAAAAUUUUAAAAUUUUAUUUUCAUAAUAUUAAAUAAUAUUAAAUAUAAAUUAAUAUUAUUUUUAAUAAUUUUAAAAUAAGUAAAAAUUGAACCAAUGAUUAAAUUUCAAAAAAUUUUAGGCAUGCAAUUUUUCUUGAAAGAUUUUGGGCGAGAACUUCUUUAAAUUCCACCAAAAUGAUUGAGAAAUUAAACAAUAAUUUCAAUAUCAAGUAUUUUCAUUUAUUUUAAAAAAUAUAUGAAAAGAUUUAAAUUAAUAGAAAAUUAAUCGUUAAAAUAGAAAAGGAUAAAAGGGUUAAAAAUGUAAUAGACAAUUGUAUAUAUAUUUUUACUCCAUAAUAGUUGAUAAAUUUUCAAAUAAAUCGGGAAUAUGACUAAUGAUGGAAUUCAAAAAAAAUUAACGGACUUGUAAAUUUUUAGAAAUUUCAAGGCAAAAAAACUUUUUAAAAUUUCAUCAAAAUAUUGGGGUAUUUAAAAAAUAAUAUUUUAUUUCUAAAAUAACAAAAUAAAAGAGAAAAAUAUUACAAUUAAUUUAAAAUAUUUUUAAAAUGAUAAAAUAAUUAUUUCUAAAAAUAUUUAAUUAAUUCAAUGAUGAAACUACUUUAAGAAAACAAUAAUGUUUUUUUUUUUUUUUCGCAUACUCUUGUGGUAAAAAAAUAAAACUAGUAAUUGUAGACACAUCAUUUAAUUUAAUGAUGAAAUUUUAAGAAAUUCAAAGGUGAGCAAUUUUCUAAAAUAUUUUUAAGUGAGAACUUCUCUAAAUUUUACCAAAGUAUUGGAGAAUUUAGAAAAUUAUUUCAAUAUUACGAAUUUUCAUUUCUUUCUAAAAAUAAAAAUGCAAAAAUUAAUUUGAUAGAAAAGUAAUCAACAAAAGAAUUUUCAUUUAUUUCUAAAAAUAAAUAUGACAAAAAUUAAAUUGAUAGAAAAUUAAUUGAUAAAAUAAAAAAGGAUAAAAGAGUCAAGAAUGUAAUAGAUAAUUGUAAAUGUAUUUUAUCACAUAAUGUUUAAUAAAUUUUGGAAUAAAUGGCAAAUUUGACCGAUUAUGGAAUUUUAAGAAAUUUAUGAGCAUGAAAUUUUCUUAAAAUUUUCUAUGUGAGUAAACUUCUUUAGAUUCUACCACAACAUUAAUCAAGUUAAAAACAAAUUAGAAAAUAAAAGGUUUCCACUCUAUUUUCAAGACAAUAAAAUUAAAAGAAAUAGUUAAAAUUAAUUUAAAAUAUUUUUAAAAAUGAAUUAUUUUUUAUAAAAUAUUUAAUUAAUCUAAUGACGAAACCUCUUGAAAAAAAAAACGGACGUAUUUUUUUUAAAACUAUUGAAGUGAAAAAAUUAUUUAGAUGUUCGACUAAAGUGUUGGAGAAAACCUAGUAAAAAUUUUUAUUUUUAAACAAUAAAAAAUGAAAAAUAUUAAGAAUAGAGAUCAUUUUCAUUAAGUCUAUUAAAGAUAAUAUAAGAUUAAUUGAUAUCAUCAUUUGAAUGUUCAUUGUGAGAAUGUUAAUACCAUCCCUAUAAACUUAGUUCUGCAACAUAAACCAAAAAUCUGUUCUUUUAAAGUCAUUUAAUCAAGCUUAAAACUAUUCUAAAAGGAUAAAUUUAUUUAAGUAACCAAUCACACCUAAGUAAAAAAUUUGUGAUAAUUACUUUAUUGAUAUUUAGUGGUCAAAUUCAUAGAUUCGCAUGUUAUAAAAGAUAUAAUCAUCAUUUCUUUAAUAAAUAUAAUAUUGAUUACUAAUAGAAAAUAGAAUUUAUUGAUACAAGAGAUGGUAUUAUUCCGAUCUUUAAUGAUUUUGAAAUAAGAAAAUUUGGAUCUCAUGAAUCACAUUGAGGUCAAUAGUUAUCAUUUCUCCAUUUCAUGGGUAAAAAUUCUAUCCAAUGAGUUUUAUUUCUUCAAAAUCAAUGUGUUUGUUAUGAUUCUCAUACUGAUUUUUCAAUCUUAAAAUUAACUUAUCCAGAGUGAAAAGAUUUGAAAGCCAUAAAUAUUUUUCUCCUUAAAGGUCACUCUUCAGUAGUCUAGUUCUCCAACCUUAAAAGGAUAUAAGGGAUUAUAAUGAUCAUCAAUUCCAUGACUCAAAUUUUUUUUCAAAAUUAUUUCUAAAAAUAUUUAAUUAAUCCAAUGCCAAAACUUCUUUAAAAAAACAAGAAUGUUUUUUGAAUACUCUUAUGAUGAAAAACUUUUUUAGGGAUUCAACCAAGGUGUUAAAAAAAAUCUAAGAAAAAUUUUUAAUAUUUAAAUAAUAAAAUAAUAAGAAAAAAGUAAUGAAAAAUGUUAAUUAUAGAUAUUAUUUUAACUCAGGCUAUUAAAGAUAAUAUAAACUAAUUCUAAUGAAAUAGUAAUUUCUAAAGAGAUAAUAGAAAAUACAAUUAAGAGUGAAAAACUUGAAAGAGAUGAGGCAAAAAAAGGUGUUGCAUCUAAAAAGAAAGAGAUGCUCAAUCAAUGAUUUGUGAAGGGCAACGGGUAGUAGGUUGUUACUCUACACCAUUCUUAUCAGAUAAACCAAUUUUACCAUCAAACCAUAUAUAACAUCUUUCAAAAGUCUUUAUCUUUAUCAACCAAUCCCACAAUUAACCUUUCAAGUAAACCCUUGCUUUCAAAUAAUUACACUUACUCUUAUCUCUUAAUCUAUUAUCCAAUCAGUGAGUAACUGAAGAUGACAAAGAAACAUUCAAGAAAAAUUUUCAAUUCCAAUUCCUAAUCUUUUGCCUUUACUAGUAAAACUUCAAUACCUUACGUUGUACCUUUGAAAAUAACUCUAAAUCCAUCAAUAAGUAUGAGCCAAAUAACAAAUGCAAUUAUCACAUUAGAAACAACCAAUUGAAAGAAAAGAUUAAAGCACCUAUUAAUAGUUGCGCCUUCACUCAGGGAACUUAUAAAACAAAGGAAAUUUGCCCUGAUGUAGAUUAAAUUUCCAUUAUGAAAUUUGAGGGUGUGGAUUAUCCUCUCAAACUUUCAAUUUGUAGGAACAUUCCAUAUUUUUUAAAGUUUGCAUUUUAAUGUUAUAGGCAAUAAAUCUUUAGUUCUCUUAAUUUUGUUUGCAAUUGUUUGAAUAUAAAUUCCUGCAUAAUUUAUUUCCCAAAUGAAUUCUAAGCCUAAGUCCUUCAAAUCUUCAUUCAACACACCUCAAGUAAUUCUCUUGUCCCUCUUUAAGAAAGUCAAUUCUAAACCUUCUUCAAAUUUUUUCUUAAAUUUUAGAGGAAAUCUCAUCAUCUCUCCCAUUUCGAACCUCCAAAACACUUUUCUUAUGAGUCCAUAGCCACCGGAGUAGCCUAAAACCGCGAUCAAAACUUCCAACUUAUUACAAACCUCCGUCUAACUUUUUGUGAAAACCUUGAAAAACCUAAUCUGUCAUAGUCAGUCAAUAAGCAUACCCUACUAUCACUCACCACAUCACCUUGCCUUCUCACCUAAAUUCACAUCACUUCCCACAUCACUAGGCAUAUCAUCCGACCACAUCAUCUCAACCAUAUCAUCUUUCCAAAUCCAACCAAAACUCUGUCUAAAUGGUCAAAGUCCAACCAAAACUUUGUCCAAAAAGCCCAAUCAAAUCAAAACUGUACUCAAAGAUCUUAAUCCAACCAAAACUCAACCUUAAAAGUUACUAUUUCACCAAAACGCUCUAAAGAGUCCCAACACCAAAAUUUUGUUCGAAAAGUCCAUGUUAGACUAAAAUUCUUUCAAAAGGCUUAAUCUAGCUAAAGCUCGAUCUUAACCUAGUCAAGAUGAAACAUAGCUACACUAAACCCAAUUCACAAGCCCAGACCUCUAGUUGCCCUAUUGGACUUUGUAUUAGGACAAUCUUCUAAGGUAUAAUUCCUAAAAUCUUUAGACAUCAUAGAGCUCUUAUUAAAUUAUGUGCAAGUGACAUAUCCUUUAUGAUCAAAUAUUAUGUAGUCUUAGGCAUGCGUAAUGUAUACCAUUUAGUUAUAAUUAGGACUUAUUUUCUUGUUAAAGGCGGUGACAAUUUUUGCAAUGUAAACUCAUAUCUAGAAUGUGUUGUAAAAUCUUGUCAUAUAGAUUAGGUAUAAAUAAAAAUCAUUUAUUUCUAUUACGAAUUUAGAAUUUUAAUAUUACGAAUAUUAAAUUGAUAGAAAAGUAAUCAACAAAAGAAUUUUAAUUUAUUUCUAAAAAUAAAAAAAUUUUAAUUGAUAGAAAAUUAAUUGAUAAAAUAAAAAAGGGAUAGAAGAGUUAAGAAUGUAAUAGAUAAUUGUAAAUGUACUUUAUCCCAUAAUGCUUAAUAAAUUUUGGAAUAAGUGGGGAAUUUGCCUGAUUAUGAAAUUUUAAGAAAUUUCUGAGCGUGAAAUUUUUUAAAAAUUUUUUAUUUCUUAAAAUUUUUUAUGUGACUAAACAAUUUAAAACAUUAGAAUAUCAAAGAUUUCCACUUUAUUUCCAAAAUAACAAAAUUAACGGAAAAAUAUUAAAAUUAAUUUAAAAUGUUUUAAAAAUAAAAAUGAAUUAUUUUGUAAAAUAUUUAAUUACUAUAAUGAUGAAGCCUUUUGAAAGAAACGGACGUAUUUUCUUGAAAACUAUUGAAGUGAAAAAAUUAUUUAGAGGUUCGAUCAAAAUGUUGGAGAAAAUAUAAGAAAAAUUUUUAUAUUUAAAUAAUAAAUAAAGUAAUGAGAAAUAUUAAGAAUAAAGACCAAUUUAAUUAAGGCUAUUAAACAUAAUAUAAGAUUAAUUAAUAUCAUUCUUUAAUGGUCACUAUGAGAAUGUUAACACCAUCCCUAUAAACUUAAUUCUAUAAUGUAAACCAAAACCUAUUCUUUUAAGAUCCCUUAGUCAAACUUAAAAUCAUUUUAAAAGAAUAGAUUUAUUUAAGUAAUCAAUCAUACCUAAUAAAAAAAUUCUUGAUAAUUACUUUAUUGAUAUUUGUGAUUAAAUUCACAAAUUCACAUGUUAUUACAGAUAUAAUCAUCAUUGGUUUAAUAAUUAUAAUAUUGCUUACUAAUAAAAAAGAGAAUUUCUCAAUAUAGAUGGAAAAAGUGAUUAUUCUGAUCUUUAAUGAUUUUGAAGCAAGAAGAUUUGGAUCUCAUGAAUGGGGUCAAUAGUUAUCGUUUCUCCAUUUUAUGGGUAAAAAUUUUAUCUAGUGAGUAUUUUUUUUCUUCAAAAUAAAUGUGUUUGAUAUGAUUCUCAUGCAGAUUUUUUAGUCUCAAAAUUAAUUUAUCCAAAGUGAAAAGAUUUGGAGGUGUUAAUAAGGUUAGCAUCAAUUUUUAUAAUAACCUCAUAAAUACUCUUCUCCUUAAAGGUCACUCUCUUAGUAAGCUAGUUCUCCAACCUUAAAAAGAUGUAAGGGGCUAAACUAAUCAUCAAUUCCAUGACUCAAAUAUUAAUGUCAACAAAAUGAUUUUAAUUUCUUCUAUCUCGCAAAUCUAACCUUUCCGUAAUUGGCUCAUUGUGAAUUCUAAAUAAAAACAUAUAGCAAACUAAAAUAAAAUUCUUCAAUUUAAAUCGAGAAGAACCAAAAAGAAAGAGAGAAGAAGAACCUGAUGAAGAGGAAAAAUAGCUUUUCAAACAAAAGAAAUUUUGCCGUCAACUCCUAAAUUUCUUGCUGCACGAGUUAAGUUCAAAAACUUAGAAGAUUGUAUUCCAAUAGCUCCUCUUCUGGUAGCAAUGAUACUUGAUGUAUACUAAAAAUUUAAACAUAAUAAUCAGAGAUAAGUAUUCAAAGCGUAAAGCAAAAUAUACGUUCAGCAAGCAUUACAAAAUAAAACAGUAACAAGAACUUGAUGAGGAGGAAAAAAGCUUCUCACAUAAAAGAAAUUCUGCCGUUAACUCCUAAAUCUCCUGCUAUAAUGAACCCUAAAACUCUUUCAGAGUUAAGUUCAAAAACUCAAAAGAUUGUGUUGCCAACGACUCUUCUUCUGGUUGUAAUAAUACCUAAUAUAAACUAGAAAUUGAAACAUAAUAGUCAGAGAUAGGUAUUCAAAGCAUGAAGCAAAAUAUAUGUUCAACAAGUAUUACAAAAUAAAAAAAUAACUAGACCUACUUACGUUAACAAUAUGGAAGUACCAUGCAAAUGGACAACAAAGCCAAUAUGAAUGAAAUAUAUAUUCAAAAAUAAAUUUAUAAGUAUUAAAAAUCAAAUAAAAUUUAUUGUUAUAAGGAAACCAAGUUUUAUUGUUGCUAAUUCAUUUGCUCUCAUGCUUCAUUGCAAGAUUUAUUGACUUCAAAAUUUUUAUAAGUAAAUAGGUAUAAGGAUUAAUAUACUAAAAUAAAGUAUAAUCGAUUUCUCUUUUGGCAUAUUGUCUAUUGUUUAGUUUUUUUUUCUUUCCCUAUAAUGGGCAACAACUUCAGUAUUAUGACAUAUUAUACAGUUUAAAACAGGAACACAAACAUGCAAUAAGGAUGAGAUACCACACAAACACGAAUAAGAUGGCAGAAUAAUUUAAAAAAAAAAAAAAGACAUGAAUAUGAUAAAACACAAUAAUAAUAAUUCUUUUAUAUAUUUUUACAUUAAAAUACUCAAUAUAUAUGUAAAUAUCAAUUUUUAAAUGUUUCAUUAUUUUUCAAUUUAAAAUUAUAUUUUCUAAUAUAUAAAAAUUCUUAAUUAUAUAAGAAAAAAAUUAUUUUUAAAUACAUACAAGAUAUUAAUUAUUUCAAAAUGAUGAAAUAACAAUAUAACUCAAAAAAUUACUUUCUAAUUUCUUUUUUUUGCUUGGUUUUUUUUUUUUUUUUACUUUUUGGUGUAUAAAAACAAAAAGCCAAAAAUCAUGUUUGGUCUACUAAAACAUGCCUACCCCUCCCAUGAGAGACCCACACUAUCCCUUAUUUUUCUUUUUCUUUUCUUCCCAUUCUUUUUUGCAUUUCUUUUUUUUUUUUUUUUGCUUUUUUUAUUUUCCUAUUUUCUUUCCCUAGCUCCUACCAGUUUUUGACAACCGCUUUGUCAUCAUAACCACUAUCGGCUAUUGCCCAUCGAUAUUGAAAAAUUAUUCAAAAACUAUCGGUAAAUGCAUCUAACCUUCUUUUUUCUUCUUAUCUAACAAGAUUUUCAAAAAAAAAAAAGCUAAAUCUAAAAAAAACCUGUCAAGAUGGUGUGCAACUAAAUUUUUUUUUUUUUUUAUCGUGUCCUAGCUUGGUAUGUAUGUAUUUUACUGUGUUGACAAUGUGUUCGUGUCAAACACGAAUACAACAUCGAUACAAAAAGAGUAGCCGCACGUCCAUGCUUUGUAGACAUACAGUGGGCGAAGCCAUGAGACGUGAGACCAGAUCGCUCCCUUCUCCUCUCUCUCCUCCUCUGCUAUGUCAUUGCAGGUGCUAUUGUUCUUUUAGCUCACAUAUCAAUUCUAAUGAGUUAGAGUCACCUAAUUGAUUAUCAAUUUUAAAUCUUUUUACAAACAUAUGAUUUCCAUUUUAAUAUUUUAUUCACUUCAACAAAAGCAGAACACCUCUUUAAAACAUUUUUAGAAAAUUUUGCAACAUUAAGAACUUUAAAGAAAUUAAACCUCUUCUUCAAGCAAAACUUUCAACCAUGAUAUGAUACCCAAUUUCUACUAAGUUGAUAAAGAAAACUGUAAAUAAGAAACGUUGCUAACUAGAAAAAUUCCAACGCACCAUAGAAAGGUAUCAAUUAAAUAACAAAAAAAAAAAUUAAUAACUAGCAAUUACCAUGUAAAUGGAAAGUAUCACAUGCUUUCAAGCAAGUUUUACUAUUAUACCUAGAAAAAUAUAUAUUAUUUUAAAAUAAAUUGUAAAACAAAAAAAUAAAACAUACAUGAAGCUAGAAAAAGAGAGAAGCAAUUACAGUUUCAAGAGACUUAAGAGAAAUUUUUUCUUACAAUUGCUAAUGAGAGUAGGUCGAACGAAGGGAAAAUGGUGAACUACGGAAGAAUGAGUAAAGGCUUUGGUUUAUGGAGGAUUUGGAUGGAGAAGGUAGAAAAAAGAAGAGCUAAGGAAAGAAAGAGUCAAAGCAAAGAAAGUACGGACAAGUUUAUCGUUCAAAGACUUGGACUGCGGUCUUUGCAAAUUAAUAAAAAGUUUUAAUAAAGUUUCAACAAAUUAGUUUGAAAAUAUUAUGGCAAAAAGAUUAGUCAGAAAGAAAAAGGUAUUUUCGAGCUCCUUGAACCACUCGUUUAUAAUGACAUAUAGCUGUGAAAAUAAGAGAGAAUCAAUUAUUUAAAUAUCUGAUGUAAGUAAUGAUGUAAAAAGUUAUUUUUAAACGAAAAUAUUAAUUUAAAAUUUAAUUUAAUUAAUUUAUAAAAUUAUUUUUAAAAAAUAAUACUUAUAAUAUUUUUUAUUUCAAACUACAACUUUGUUUAUAAAAAAAUCAUUGUUUAUAUUUUGAAUUUAUGCAGUUAAUUUUUUUGAUUGAAAAAAAAUUUAAGAAUAGAGAAAGUUAUUUUAUUUUUAACAUCAUGAUAAGUUGUUAAAUCGUAAAGAGACUUAUAAAUUUUUAAAAAAAUUUUGAAUUUAUUAAUUAUCUAUUUAUAAAAAAUUAUGAAAAUUUAAAUCUGAAUAUUUUAAGUUCAAAAUUUAAAUUUUAAUCACUUGUGUUAAUUUUAUUGACAUUUAUACACUUAAUUUAUAUUUACAUAUACCUCCAGUUGUAACAAUUUCAUUAAAAUAAUAUAACCAAAAUGUACUUCUAUCAGUUUUAUUUAUAGAAUCAAAAGAAAAGUUUCUGUCAACUGAAUUAAUUUAUAAUCAAUUAAUUACAUAUGGUCAUCCAAUUAAAAAUUGGUGAAAUUUAGGAGGUAGGCCAAUUGUAGUUUAUAUUCUAAAAUGCAGAAGACAAUUGAAUCUAAAAUAUAUUAUUAUUUUUUUAAAAAAUAACUAAUAAAUUUAAUAUUUAAUAUUUAUAAUUUUUUAUUUUUAUACUGUUAUUUUUUAUAUAAAAUAAAAUAAUCACACUGCAGCUGAUUGUGGAUUACCUGAAGUGUGACAACCCCAUUCUAAUACAAUAUAUUUAAAGGGUAUAUAAGAAAACUAAGGCAUGUAACAUCAUGAGAAAAAUCAUGGAUGGAAAACAGCUUAGACUGUGUUUUCUUGAAAAAUGGAAGAACGUGUGUUGACAAUAUAAUUGCUAUGAAUUGACCUUCUUUAAUUGUGAGUAGCUUCUUCACCUCUUCCUUAAGCAGUCCUUGACAGUUGGCACACCAAGAAUACCGAUAUUCUCUACGUUUUAUGCUACUUGAUUAAAAAGAAAAAAAAAAAAAAGAAAGAAAAACACUUUUACUUAGAACAUAUUAAUUUGAUAGUAAAAGUUGUUUAAUGGCAUAUAAAUUAUAUUAACCACACAGAGUGACAAGGCCCAUAGAUUUAAUUAUAUUUUUAUAUUCUAAUUGAAUUAUUGUGGAUGACUAACAAUGGAUUUUUAAAAUUUUAAAUUUAAUUCAUUUGAUUUUCUUUUAUGCAAUUAUUUUAUGAGAUUAAGUUUAAUAAAUCAAAUUCAAACUUUAAUAUUUAUACAUUUUUUAUUUUCAAACUGUAUUUUUUUUACUAAAAAAAUCACAUUAUUUGGCCUUUAGACUCCAACAACUCACCCUUAUAAAAAAUUUUAAAAAAAAUUAAUGGCAUAAUCAUUCAAGAAUUCAUUUUGAAGGUGCGAAACAAAAUUCACACUAAAAUUUGGUGCUACUUGAUAUUAAGAAGUCCAAGAAAUACCAAAACCAAUCCUUAUUUAAAUAACUUGUAAUAAUUAAUAGUGAAAAAGUAAAAAUAAAGUAAAUUCUUAUAUAAAUUCAUAAAUAUUCCCUCCAUCCCAAAUUGCUUUAUGGUAUUGAAUUUCCUGAAAAUUUAAAAAAAGAAAUUUGAUUUUAAUGUAUCUAAUAUUAAAAUAAAUUUUUUUAUAAAAUUAAAGUUUCAUGAUUUUUAAUAUUAAAAAGUAAAAAAGUAAAUUUUAAAUAUAAAAAAGGAAAUAUUUUAAAUAUUUUAAAAAUAGAAUAUAAUUUUAAGAUAUUACAAAAAGAAAAUAUGGAUAAAGAAAAUGAAACAGAAAAAGUAUGUAAUAAUUCUCAUAGAAAAUUUUUUACAUAUAAAAUAAUUGUUCUUUAAUAACUUGUAACUAUUAAUUAUUUUUAUUAAUUAAUAUAUAAAUAAUUAUGUUAUUAUUUUUAUUAAAAAACUUUAAAGUCUUUAAUGAUAUUUUUUUUCUUUCAUUUCACUGCCAUAAAUGUUUUUGACGAAGUUGCUCCAUCACUAGUUUGAAUCUUAUCCAUCAACUCUCAUAAUCAUCGUUGGAUGAUCAAUCUCAAUAUCACCACUGUUUUUAUUUUCUCUACAGUGAAUUUCAUUGCUAUGCUAAAUAGGACCUAAGGGGCUUUGGUUGUGACUCACCUACUCGCAACUAUUACCUUGGUUUUGUUGGUAGGUCGUAAAAAAAAAUGGAAAAUUGAUUGAAAUCAUCUUCUUUGACUCAAUUUAAAUGUUUAACUAUAUAAUUAAAAUCAAAUACUCAGCAUUAAAUAAUUUUAGUUCAACUAUUUAGAAUUGCUACAGAUUCUAUUUUUCUACCCCAAACUUUUAGUUUCUACUAAAUUAGUCUAUUUAUUUUAAACACAAAAUCAGACAUAUUUUUCACUUAAAAAUAAUUUUGCUUUUUUAAAAUUAUAGAAUUCGAUUAAAUAAAUAUGCAAGACUUAAUUAUGCUAAUUUUAUACCAAAAAAAUAGUAAUUAAUACAAUAUAAUAAACAUACUAAAGUUUUAAUCACUCUUAAAUAUGAAUCCCAAAGAUGACUGAUAGAAAUUGAUAAGUUAUAAAAAUAUUCAAAUUCAAUUAUUUACAUAAAAAUAAUAUAUGUUUUCUAGCGAAAAAAUUAAUUACAUUAAUUAUAUUAAUCUUAAUUAUAUAUUUGAAUAUAUAUGGCUUAUGGAAGAGAGGUUUGUACUUGUGUUUGUGUAUUAUCACUUUAUAAUUUAAUUGAUAGAUUAUAUGCAUUCACUUUGACAAAAUGAUAAAAUCCAAUCUUGGGGAAUGAUUGUAUUGUUAUAAUCAAAAUGAUAUUUAAUUAGAAAAUGAUUGAGUCCAUCUGUUUUAUGCAGCGUCUACUAACUAUGGUUGUCUUGAGAGGUCAUUUGGUCUUCCUCCAUAAAAGCAUGAUACAAUGGGAAAAGUUUAAGCUAGUAAGGGAUGGUCUUCCUCCAUAAAAGCAUGAUACAUGCUAGAAUUGUGAUCCACUGUGGCCAGUUGACAAAUACUGAUAUCCCGAGUUCAGUUGUUUGAACAUAGCAAUAAUUAUGGGUUGCAUUAGAAAUUCAAGCUCCAAAAAUUGCCUAAAAUAAGCUUUGAUGUUUUUGCGUUCAUUUUGAAGGAAGUAUUAUUGAGGGUUUGCAUAAUAUAUGAGACAGUUAUCGGAGUAGCAUUCUGAUUCAAUUUAGACUCCUUUGGAAACAGGCCUUUUUCGCAAGCUCCUUUCACUUGAAAUUGAGCUGAAAUUCUGCAGAAUAAAUUGAGAAUAGUUAUUUAUAAGCUUCUGCAGAAUAAAUGGAUGCUUGAGUUUGUGUUCUUUCAUGUCAAGACAAGACACACCCCUGAUUUGAUGAUUGAAAUGAGCUCCUCUUGAGAAUAAUGACUUAAAUCCUAUAAUAGAUUUUUUUUAGAUUGAUCAGAUAUUGUUUGAUUGAUAAUAAAACUUGCAAAAAAAAAAUUUUAAGAGAAAAAAUUUUUAAUCGGUAAGUUUGACUUGCAAGAGAAGAAUUUUAAGAGAAAAUAGAUUUUUAAUAAGCAAAUUUGUAUGAUUAUAAAUAAGUGAAGUCUUUACAGGGUUAAGUAUAAGAAAAAUAUGUAAGAGAGUUAUAGGAUUUUGUGAAAAAGACACCCCAAAUAAAUAUUAGGACUUUACGUCUUAUAAAUAUGUAUGUUUAUUUGUGAGUGGACUAAAAAAGACUGAAAAGAUCCACAUAAAUAUGAUGUAUGAGUACAUAUAGAUAUGUAUUUGAUUUUGUUAAAAAGAUACACAUGAAUAUGUGUUUAUUUAAGUUGAUAAUACUUCAUAAGAUCAAAGGAAAUUGAAAAUAUCUUAUGAGUAUUGAUUGCUGAGUGAGAUUAAAAAUUUGAUUUGUAUGUUUAUAAUUUUUUACAAUUAGUAAAUCUUAUUUUUCAUUCGUGAAUGUAAAUUAAUUAAACUGAAUCACGUUAAAUUAUUAUCUCUGUUUGAUUCAUUAUUUGAUUAUACUUCUACUGAUAUGAUUGGAUUGAAGCUUUUUAGCCUAAAAAGUGGUAUCAAAGCUGAGGUAAUUUUUCCAACACUCAAACCAAUACUCCAGCUCAGCAGCUGAAGCACUUUGUCUCAAUCGACGUAGAUGUUUCUUUAUGCCGAGCCAGAAUGCUUAUAAAGAUCUAAGAAGCAUAUCAAAAUGUGUAGUCACUAUUAUAAAUAGUUAAAACUUCAUACAUAAAGGCAAACAGUUUUCAAAGCAACUAUAAAAGAAAACGACAUGAAGCUGUGCUGCUUUACAUUGUUUAUCAUACAACCUCAGAUUCUUCAAAAGCUCAAUCCAGGCAAAGAUUUUAACUUGUGGCUACACCGAGCUGAAAGAUACAAUCAUCGGAAAAACAAGGGCUGUUGAUCAAUGCUUUAUGGAAAGGAUAUGUUAUGCAUCUAUAUGAAGAAUUGAGCUACAGUGGAAUGAAACUUCCAACAUUAUUGCACAACAGAAUAAUAUUAUAAAGAAUUUUAAUACUUACAUUUAGAAUAUCAAUUUGGCUUUUACACACGUUCCCAGCUCAGCUAAUUUUACCUGCUUGAUGCAGUUCUUACGCUAUCUUAUCAUUUCUGCUUGCACCCCUGACACGGAGGAGCAAAGAUUUCUGUUGUAGGAAAGGAGCUGCUGCCAGAACAACUUGGAAACCACCAAUGAAUUGAAGUUCUUUCGUCCUGUCAAACAAGUUCCACAACAUCAGAGUUUUGUUUUGAAGCAUUUGGGAUAAAAAAUGGUAGCACCAAAAAGGGGAGAAAAAAAAAAGGAGAAAGUAAUCCUAACAAGGCUGGAAGUUUUCAUUAUGCUAAGUACGAUGAUUUCUUAUAAUAUAUGGCUUCUGAUCAUAAACAAGGAAUCUAUAUACUCAAGAGUAUAACAUAUGGAUUAUGGAUGGUGGAACAUGAUUCACGGAUAUGGAAUGUUCAAGGCACUUAUUGCUGGUUCUGGAAGAGCACCUUAUUCAGUUUAAAAGACAUAAAUAUGGUACAUUAAACAUAAAAUAUAAUUGAUUUUGCUUAAAUAACUAUUUUUUCUUUGCAGCCUGUGUAUAGUAGUAAGAUUACCUCUUUCAUAGGAAACAAUGUUUCCCAUGGGGGAAUUUUAGCGCCACUGACACUGUCGUCACUCCUCAGUCCUCACUGCUAUUGCCGGCAAUAAAUCUUUAAUAUCUCAUCAUUCAUCAGAAAUUGAGUUCUCAAUGGAAUUGAGGCAGAGAUUUUGGUAUUGACCCAUUCAGGCUGCCAUAUGGUCAAUUUGACCGCAGUGAAGGCAAUGCAUACUUCAGCUAAGUAAACAGCAUUCUUCUUUUUCAGGUCUUUCCAUCUGCUUUUGCGAACCACUUUGUGUGCUCCUAUGAAGGCACUACUCACUAGCCUCUGCAACUUCCAACUGACUGAAGCCAAAAUUAGAUAUCAAAUUAAUCUUCACGCAUAUAAGAAGAUAACAAACAUUUAAUAAUUGAAACCAUUCUUGAAUGAUUCUGCAAAAAAAAAAAAACUCAGAAGUCAAUGAAACAAAAUGAUUAAUAGAUAUAAACAUUUAACACAUCUGUCCCGUUCUUGAAAUUGUCCUAUAGGGAAUUUUUACCAAACGACUGAAAGAAAUAUGUUUCAUAGAUUACAAAAAAGAAGUUUCUAAAUUUUCUAACUUUUAGUAAACAAUCCAAUGCCAUACUUACUCAGUCUUUUCUGUGAUCAAUCAUAGGCAAGGCAGAAAGGAAAUACACAUAAAGAACAGCCAAAGACAUAAGGAUAUCAUGAAUGAUUCAUGAACACAAGAUAAAAAUAUAUAUAGAAAUCAGCUAUAGGACCUACUCAUUCUGAAACUAUUCUGAAAUUUUCUUUUCAAAUGGUAGGAAAACAUUGAAUCUGUGUAUCAAACUUGGAGAGGACCAUCUGCAAGUUACAAUAACUUUUAAAUUAAACCAUUAUAUUCCAAGAUGGAAGGAAGAACCUCUUUCUCAAUUCUGCAAAUAUAGAUUACACUACAAUUAAAAGUUUUGCAUAAAAGAGAUUCAUCCGUUUCUAACAAAUGAGCUUCAAAAAUACCUGUCCCCAAUUUAACAAGCAGGAUUUUAUCAACGGUUAAACUUAAAAGGUCAAAGUCUGAAUUUGAUUCCUUUACUACCUCAAUCCUAUCGGUUUAGUCCAACUUCAAUUUUAAUGAAUUUAGUCCAUGUAUUUUUAUUAAAAAUAGAUUUUUUAUAUAUAUUUUCCAUUUCAUUGUUAAACAAAAAGCUAUGUAUGUAAUGGAUUGAACUAAUGAACAUUUUAUUAUGAAAUAUAAAAAAAAAAAUCAAGAAUAUAAAUCACUUGAGCACUUGAUUUAAUAGUGCCUUAAUGUUCUUCAAAUAAGUAGCAUAUAAUUGCAAAGUGACAUAUACCUGAUUUCUGGGCGUUUCUUCCGGUAACAAAUUAAAAAAUAUCAAUGCAAGGUAUGUGGGCUAUUUUGGGCCACUCUUGUCCUUCAUCCUUCCUGCAUCGUUCUCUUAGCAACGGACAGUCAGCAAUAUGAAGUUGAAAAAGUGAGUCAAACAUCUCCUUUUCCGGUUGGAAUUUGAGACCGGGGCAGUUUUUUAUUUCCAACGAUUCAAGAAAUUUAAGAUUUUGAAAGCCCUUGGAGGAUAGAGUUUCUAGGUUUGGAAAACCGUAGAUGGAGAGGAAGGUGAGAGUGAGGGGCAGAAGCAUAUCCUCACAUGGGAAUGACACCACAUCAAGAGAAGCACCGUCGAUGCACAAAUGUUUAAGGGAGGUGAGUUUGUGCAAACCCCGCUCGAUCACUGACUUGCAAAUAUUGGGUUGCGAGAUUGCAAGUGAAGUGAGAUUGGGAGGGAACCCCUCCUCUGGAAAUGAUAUCACACUUGGACAAUUAUAUAUGAACAAUUCUCGCAUCGAGACAGUGUUGUGGAUGCAGUUAGGUAAGGCAUGGAGUUUUUCACACUGAGAAAGGCUAAGCUUUCUGAGCUUGGUUAAUACACGAGGCAAAGAUCUCAAAUUAUCACAACUGCGGAUAGUUAUCAAUUCAAGGGAAGAGUUCUCUUCAAUUUCUUGAGCUAUGGACUCUACUGCUCCGCAACUACCAAUAUCGAGGUUUCUAAGCCCCAUAGGUAACUUGCCAUUGGAUGACAAGGAUGUCAACUUUUUACAAUCAUAAAUGUCAACAUGUUGAACCCUAAUAGGUAACUCGCCCCUUGAGGAUAAAGAUAUCAGAGACUUACAAUUUUUAAUAUCCAGGUGCUCUAGAAGAGGCGUGCUUUUGAUGUUGUUAUUUACUCCAUCCAGCAAAUACUGCAAACUCUCACACACUCUAAUGGUUAAACGUCUUAGAUUUGGACGCAAGUGCCCAUUUGAAAUUGAAAUCAAUCCUGGGCAUCUUUCAAUUCGUAGCACCGUAAGGGAUCUGUAGCUGUGUAGACUUUCUGAUAGCCUUUCUAGCCUUUCACAAUAUUUUACGCUCAAAUCUUCAAUAUUGCAAGGGAUUCCUAACUGCAUAUGCUCUUCCUUUUCGUCCUCUGCCCCUAUGGAAACAAGUCUUGAACAAUUGUCAAUUUCCAAAAAGCGAAUAGGCCUCAAAUGUGUUGAGGGUCCUUCCUCGUUCUGCCAUGAAGAAAUCAGCUCCUGGCAUCCACUUAUACAAAGACGUUCUGCUUUUAUCAACCCCUCCAUUGGAGAAGUGAAUUUUGAAAUGUCUGAAAGAGAGACACUUUUCAUGAAUGAGCCAGAAUUUGUACAAUUUGUAGACGCCACCUCUUGGCACCCAUAAAUUAUUAAGUCAGACAACUUUGGAAGGCUUGAUAGUGAAACUACCAACUGCUCACAUUCUUGAAUCACAAGUUCCUCCAAUGAAGGAAGACAACUAGGUAGAUUUCUCAGUUGGUAACACCACCAAAUCACUAGCUUCUUCAAUGAAGGAAGACAAUUAGGUAAACUUCUCAGUUUUUUACACCCAAUAAUCUCUAGCUUCUUCAAGGAAGGAAGACGAUUAGGUAAACUUCCUAACAACUUGGGGCAACCUUGAAUGAUGAGCUCCUGGAGGUGUUGCAAACUCCUUACAUUUUCAUCAACUUCACAGGGAUCCCAUUCCUCCCAUUCUGGCAUGUGCUCAAAAUGUAAUCUCUCUAGUGAGGGAAAUGCGUUAAUCGACAGAUCCUUUCCAAAAAAAUUAGCACCCACAUUUUUUACCUUACUCAUCCACCGCAUAGAAAGCGAUUUUAGCGACGGUAAUCUUCCAACAGCUGGUAAUAAUGUGCAAUUUGGACAGUAAUCCAGAUCCAGAAUCGAUAGGUUUUCAAAUGAAGGAUCUCCAAUCCAAUUUGGGAAUGUUUCACCUCCAUAAUAUUUGAUGGUGAGCCUUGCAAGCAUUUUAGGAGGUUGGAGUGAAUCCAACACGUCCUUGUGACUUUCUUCUCCUGCAGAAUUAUAACUCCACUCCAAAGCCAAAUCACGAAGGUUCGACUUAUAACAUAACCCAGCCACCCAUGCAUCUUGAGCUUGGACAACAUUCUGCAAUUCUGAAAUAACAAGUCUACCCUUAAGAUUAGACAAAGUUCCCAUCUCCCUUAUCUGACGGCCAGUGUUUUGACUCACAACAAAAUUUGUCAAUGUUUGGAGAUUGGUUAGUUCACUGAAUCCCAUUGGCAUCAUUUCUAUUGAAUCUGCACCUGUAAUGUCAAGAUGCGUUAGGUUAAUUAAAAAUCUCAUUUCAGAAGGAAACUCUUCAAGCAAAUAGCACCCCGGCAACAGCAAGGUCUCUAACUUGUAAAGCUUGCAUAUUGAAUCCGGUAGAGUUUUGAUUUUAGUGCCAGAAAAAUUUAGAUAACGCAGAUGCACCAAAUCUCCAAUAAUAUUGGGAACCUCCAUCAGGUAGCGCCCUUGUAAAGAUAACACCCUUAAGUGUUUAAAUUCUGGCAACAAAUCACUGAGAACUUGAUUAUAGAAAUUCGACCACCAUUCAGGCAUCUUCAACAGUAGGAAGGUUCUUAAACCCUUCUUUCCUUUGAAGACUUGGAAAUUUUUAAAUCUGUCUUUCCCACCACCAAUGUAAGAUGAAUGGCGGGCAUGACUGGAAACGUUCAAUGCCUUGUCACCCUCCACUCUGAAGCAUAUAUCUUUGGCAACUGAUUGAGCCAAAUCGUUAAUCACAUCAUGCAUUAUAUAUCGAGACUCAUCCUUGUUGGAUAUAUCAAAAAAUGACCUCCGUACAAGUUCUUGUAAGUACUCAUGACCCAAAUCUUCCUUUUUCUUUGUAGCUUCCACUCGCAGAAAGCCUUCUGCCAUCCACAAUAAGACAAUUUCUUCCUCGGUAAAUUCAUAGUCUUUGGGGAGUACGGCACAGUAAGCAAAACAUCGCUUCAGAUCUGCGGGAAGAUGAUGAUAGCUUAAUCGUAAAGCUGGAAUUAUGUUACUCCUCUCUUCUGAUAAAUUCCAAAUCUCACUUCCUAGUAUCUCUUCCCAUUUACCAAUUUCCACCUCAUUGCGCAAAAGGCCUCCGAUGGUCUUAGCUGCCAAAGGCAAACCCUUGCACCUUUUCGCAAUUUGUACACCAAAUUCUUCGAAGUUCGGAUGCUGACUAAAAUCUUUUGCUCCAAAUGCAUGUUGAGUUAAUAUAGAACAGCAAUCACCAUCUGACAACUCUGGCAGCUUGUAACCUGGGAUAGUACCCACCAUUAACGAAACCCUUUGACCACGUGUUGUCACAACAAUCGUAGCUCCUAUGCCAAAAGGGGACAUCACACGAGUCCAAUCAUCAUAGUUUUCAUGCCAAAGAUCAUCCAAAAUCAGAAGUAGUUUCUUUCCCUCCAGCUCCCUCUUCAAUUUUAUUUGAAGGUUAUUCAAAUCAUCUCUAACAUUAAAAGAUUCAGGACUAACUGAUUGCAAAAUUGAUUUCGUUAUCUCCUCCAUCUUAAAGUCGUCAGAAACGCAUACCCAUGCUUGAAAAUCAAAAUGCUUAACUACACGACUAUCAUUGUAGACAAGCUGAGCAAGCGUUGUUUUGCCAAUCCCUCCUUUGCCAAUGAUGGGAAUCACAGAAAAUUUAUUGCUAUCAUCACUCCCAAAAAUCAAGUCAAGGAUUGUUUCCUUGUCUUUUUCCCGACCGUAGACUUGAGUUUCAUUCACCAAACAAGUGGUUGAUCGCCAUUCCGAUGUUCUCUUGGGCCUCCCACCACCAUUUUUCGUCAAAGCCAAGAGACUUAUAUCUGCUUCUAAAUCUUGAAAUCUAGCAGUGAUCUCUUUUAUCUCGGACAUCAUUUCCUUAUUAAAUGAUAAAUUAUGACCCCUGAACCAGGUAAAGCAAGCAUCAACAAGCUUUUGUAACUUCCUUGGGCGGUGUUCUUGAUGUUCCCUCGUUAACUUGAGUCUCAAAGCUUCAGUAGCAAACUUAUCCAAUAUGUCAUCCACAUCGUAUGCCAAGUCUUGGAGCUGGCCCAGCCAACUCUUCACGUGCCCAUCAUUCAUUUCCUUCUCCUCGGCAUCAUGUAGCACUGCAUGAAUAUUGCGCAAUGUCUUUUCCAACUUGUUGAGCUCCCCGCAAACUUCCUUCUCAGUUACAAUGUUGAGAAAUUCCGAAGAGGCCAAAUUACUAAACAACCCUUCAAAGAACACAGAUAAAGCAGCUUCAACGACGGACAUGGCUUUUGACCUGCAGAAACAGAAAGACUAUGUGUAAAAAUGAUAUAGGGAUAAACUGAAAAAGAUUUGAACUAGAAGUAGAACACAACCAACAACCACACCAGUACUGAAUCUGAUCUUGGUAUAUUUCUAUGUGGCUUAUAUCUCCGCGGUAAUUUUUUCUAAUACUCCCAUUACUAAUUAAGAAAGUUAAUGGACUCCUUAAUAAGAUUAUUUUAUUAGUGAGUUGUUAAAGUUCACAUGGUUCUGCGAGAAAAAAUCAACAAAGGCUAGGCAAAUUUUAGAUUAUUUAUUUUUUGGUGACAUUCGUGACUAAUGUAUCCUAUGCUUGGUUUUUGUUCUGUAUUCAUAUUUAAUUCUGUAAGUUCUAGUUUUUUUAAUUGUGUGUACAAUAUAUAAUUCAAAAGCAUUAAUUGAUUUUUUUUUAUGCUAAUAAUUCCUUCUCAUUGAUAUGGUAAGUCUAUUCUGUUAAGAGUACAUGUUCCACAAGUAUACCUGGGUUUAUGGUUUUUUUUUUUUUUUGUUAUCAUUUUAUUCAAUAUAUUUUAAUAUACCUUCUAAACAUUUUAAUAUCUUUUUUAUAAAUUGAUUAAAUUGUUGGAUGUUGACAUAAGUACAUCACCCAUACUAAUGAUUUGCCUAAUCCUAUGAUGGUUGGAUUCCUAAAUUUUGCGCCGUUGUGUCGUUUGCCUUUAAGUUUUUAUUAUUAUUCCAAUCAGAUUAUUUGUUUGUCUACAGAUGAAAAUUGGAAUAUCAAAAAAGUUAGACAAUGUAUGUAUUUUUUUUCUAUAUUUAUCUUAAAUUAAAACCAAAACCGUAAUUUGCAACUUGCAAGUUGUUUUUAAAAACCAAAAAUAAAAUUUUAAAAAAUUUUGAAAACUAUUCAAAAUACCAAAAAAAUAUUUCUAAUAUUUUGAAAAUACUUUCAACAUUAUUAAGUACUAUUCAUCUAUUCGAUUAUAAUGCUCGGUAAAGUUAAAAAUAUGAUGUUUGAAAAUUAAAAAAAAAAUUAUUGUUGAUAAGAUUUGAACUCAUAUCUUCUUACAAAUUAAAAUUUUAAUCACUUUAUUUAAUAAAUUACUCUUCUCAAAUUUUUGGAAAAAAAUUAUAUCAAAACACGUUUUAAAAUUUAAUUAAAUGAUAAAAUUUAAUCAAAAACAUAAAAUUGGCAACUAUAAAAAACCACCCUGUACCAAAUUCCAACUUUGUUUUUCUUAAAGUAAAUGUAUCUGUGUUGAUUUGACAUAAGGGUAAAUCCAUUUCUACUAGCAAUUGGCUGAUAAAAAAAAAGGUAGACCAUAUAUCAGAAAAUUUUUUUUAUCAAGCAAAUUUUAAAAAUCAUUAAAAUGGUAAAAAUUUUGAUCUACCAGCAUACAACAAACAAAUCGGAACUCUGAAAUCUAAAAAGAAAAACCACUUUUUAUAACAUUCUAUUAUCAAAUAUUGUAAGUAUCCCAUUUAAUCUGAAAUUUUAAAUUUUAGAAGGUUUUGUCUAACUUUUAAUUGGACUAUAAACUAAUUAAUUUGAGUUUGAAUUAUUAUUUGUCUCUAAUUAUUAAUUUUGGGUUUUAGUCGAUUAAUAGGGCUAACCCAUAGCCCAUUCUCCCUUCUUAUGAUAAACCAUUUUAUUUUAUUUCCCCUCUUACUUCUUUUAUCAAAUUUUUUAUAUAUUUUAUUAUUUUUAAACAAUCGAAACAAAAAUAAAAAUAAAAUAAAUACAAAAAAAUAAAAAAUAAAAAAAAUAAUUAUGAAAAUCUGGAUAAACAAAAGUAUAUAAAUCAUAAAAUUUUUAAAGAAAUAUCCUAAAGGAAAAGAAUCAAAUUAAAUUCCUAUAAUGAUUAAAUUUUCGAGAUUGAGAUGAAAGUGCAAAGUAUUUUCUGGAGCAAUUUUUUUCUAACCUGGAAUUCCACUUCAAAGAAGACUAGUUCCAUAUUUAAACAAAUGACAAGCAAUCACAAUAUGGAUAAUGAACACAAAACAAUAAGAAUCAUCAAAAGAAACAAACAAUUAGCAAAAGAAAUAGGGCAAAACAUUUUCAGUCACCAAGUGUUUAGAGUUUUAGAUUUGAUUAAUUUUUAGGGUUUUUUUAGGGUUUCUAAGUUAAUAAAAAGAAAAGGAAAGGUUUUUUGGAGGCCUAUUUUGGGUUACAGAUUUAGACUUUUGGAUAAAUAUUUUGUAAAAUCUAACUUAAAAUAAGGAAAGAGGAGAUCAUAAGAAAUCAAGAGAGGAUUUUUGGGAAAUUUUAUCACUAGCGUACAAUGGCGGACAACGGCACCAAUCAAGUUUUCAAUGACUUGUUUUGGGUUUUAUGAUUUUGGGGUAUUUUUUAACAUUUUUGGUGAUUGAUUGAAUUUUUUAACACCAAACAUUUAUACUAUGGUCGAAAGUUGCAAACUAUUGAAGUUUUCGAUGCCGAAAUCUAUAAAAACUUUGAGUUUUCUGACGUCCUAUUUUUAUUGCCCUUGAAAAAAGAGAGCUUUAGAGAGAUAAAAACAGAAAAUAAAGAGAAAAGAGAAAAAAUAUUGAUGAAUUGACAAAAUUUUUUGCUUUUUACUAUCCAUACUAAAUGUUGAAUUGAGUCAUUUAAGAGGUGCCCAACUCAUGACAACCCACGCCUCAACCUAGAGAGACUUGGAUCAUAUGUAACCCGAGUUGUGUAACAAGCCAAUUAAGCCGUUAACUAAGCCGAAUAAGCAAUUCAUGUAGUUCUUUUAUUUUUUUUUUUUGUUAUUUUUUUGUUACUUAUUUAUUUUUAUGCAUAUUGAAAUUUUAAUUUUUAAAUAUAUAUUUUAAUUUUUUGACAAAAAUAAAAUUUUAAAAUUUUAUUUUCAUAAGAUUAAAUAAUGUUAAAUAUAAAUUAAUAUUAUUUUUAAUAGUUUUAAAAUAAAAUAAUUAUUUCUAAAAAAAUUUAAUUAAUUCAAUGACAAACUACUUUAACGAAACAAGCAUUUUUUUUGCAUACUCUUAUGGUGAAAAAAAAUAAAACUAGCAAUUAUAGACACAUCAUUUAAUCUAAUAAUGAAAUUUUAAGAAAUUCAAGGGUGAGCAAUUUUCUAAAAAAUUUUUAAGUGAGAAUUUUUCUAAAUUUCACCAAAAUAUUGUAGAAUUUAAAAAAUUAUUUCAAUAUUAUGAUUUUUCAUUUAUUUUUAAAAAUAUAAAUGAAAAAAUUAAUUUGAUAAAAAAUUAAUCAACAAAAGAAUUUUCAUUUAUUUCUAAAAAUUAAAUUGAUAGAAAAUUAAUUGAUAAAAUAAAAAAGGAUAAAAGAGUUAAGAAUGUAAUAGAUAAUUAUAAAUGUAUUUUAUCACAUAAUGUUUAAUAUAUUUGGGAAUAAGUAGCGAAUUUGACUGAUUAUUGAAUUUUAAGAAAUUUAUGAGCAUGAAUUUUUUAAAAAAUUUUCUAUGUGAGUAAACUUUUCUAAAUUUCACCAUAAUGUUAACGAAUUAAAAAAAAUUAGAAAAUAAAAAAUUUCCAACUUAUUUCCAUAACAAUAAAAUUAAAGGAAAUUGUUAAAAUUAAUUUAACUUGUUUUUAAAAAAUAAAUUAUUUUUAUAAAAUAAUUAAUUGAAUAUCGAAACCCUUUAAAAAAACGAACGUCUUUUCUUGAAAACUAUUGAAGUGAAAAAAUUAUUUAGAGGUUCGAUUAAAGUGUUGGAGAAAACCUAAUAAAAAUUUUUACAUUUAAAUAAUAAAAAAAUAAUGAAAAAUAUUAAGAAUAGAAAUCAUUUUAAUUAAGAUUAUUAAAGAUAAUAUAAAAUUAAUUGAUAUCAUCCUUUGAAUGGACACUGUGAGGAUGUUAAUACCAUCCUUAUAAACUUAGUUCUGUAACAUAAAUCAAAACCUACCUUUUUAAAGUCAUUUAAUCAAGCUUAAAACUAUUUUAAAAGGAUAGAUUUAUUUAAUUAACCAAUCACAUUUAAGCAAAAAAUUCAUGAUAAUUUCUUUAUUAAUAUUUAGUGGUUAAAUUCACAGAUUCACAUGUUAUAAAAGAUAAAAUUAUCAUUUGGUUUAAUAAUUAUAAUAUUACUUACUAAUAGAAAAGAGAAUUUCUCAAUACAAAAGAUGGAAAAAGUGAUUAUUCCAAUCUUAAAUGAUUUUGAAACAAGAAGAUUUGGAUCUCAUGAAUCACAUCGGGGUCAAUAGUUAUCGUUUCUCCAUUUCAUGGGUAAAAAUUCUACCCAAUGACUUUUAUUUCUUCAAAAUAAAUGUAUUUGUUAUGAUUUUCAUGCUAAUUUUUCAGUUUCAAAAUUAACUUAUCCGAAGUGAAGAGAUUUGGAAGUGUUAAUAAGGUUAGCAUCAAUAUUUAUAAUAAGUUCAUGAAUAUUGUUCUCCUUAAAGGUCACUCUAGUAGUCUAGUUCUCCAACCUUAAAAGGAUAUAAGGGAUUAUACCGAUCAUCAAUUCUACGACUCAAUUUUCUUUUCAAAAUUAUUUAUAAAAAUAUUUAAUUAAUAGAUUGUUGAAACUUUUUUAAGAAAACAAGAAUGUUUUUUGAAUACUCUUGUGAUGAAAAUUUUUUUUAAGGAUUCAACCAAAGUGUUAGAAAAAGUCUAUAAAAAAUUUCAAAUAUUUAAAUAGUAAAAUAAUAAGAAAAAACUAAGGAAAAAUGUUAAUUAUAGAUAUUAUUUUAACUAAGGCUAUUAAAGGUAAUAUAAACUAGUUCUACUGAUAUAAUAAUAUCCAAAGAGAUGAUAUAAAAUGCAAUUAAGAGUGAAAAACUUGAAAGAGAUGAAGCAAAUAAAGGUGUUACGUCUAAAAAGAAAGAGAUGCUCAAUCAAUGAUUUGUGAAGGGCAAGGGUAGUAGGCUUUUACUCUACGCCAUUCGUACCAAAUAAACCAAUUUUACUAUCUAACCAUAAAUAACAUCUUCCAAAAGUCCUUAUCUUUAUCAACCAAUCUCACAAUUAACCUUUCAAGUAAACCCUUGCCUUCAAACAAUUGCACUUACUCUUGUCUGUUAAUUUAUUAUCCAACCAGUCAGCAACUGAAGAUGACAAAGAAACAUUCAAGAAAAAUUUUCAAUUCCAAUUCCUAAUCUUUUACCUUUACUAGUAAAACAUCAAUACCUUACCCUAUGCCUUUGAAAAAUGCUUUAAAUCCAUCAGUAAGGAAUUAUGACCCAAAUGAUAAAUGCAAUUAUGACAUGAGAAACAACAAAAAGAUUUAAGCACAAAUUAAUAGUUGCCCCUUCACUCAAGGAACUUAUAAAAAAAGGAAAUUUGCUUUGAUGUAGAUUAAAUUUCCAUUAUGAAAUUUAAGGGUAUGGAUUGUCAUCUCAAACUUUCAAUUUGUAGGAACAUUCCAUAUUUUUUAAAGUUUGCAUUUUAAUGUUAUAGGCAAUAAAUCUUUAGUUCCCUUAAUUUUGUUUGCAAUUGUUCAAAUAUAAAUUCUCGCAUAACUUAUUUCACAAAUGAAUUCUAAGCCUAAAGCUUCCAAAUAUUCAUUUAACACACCUCAAGCAAUUCUCUUGUCCCUCUUUGAGAAAGUCCAUUCUAAACCUUUUCCAAAAUUUUUCUUAAAAUCUAGAGGAAAUCUCAUCAUCUCUCUCAUUUUAAACCUCCAAAACACCUUCCUUAUCUAUCCACAACCACUGGAGUAGUCUCAAGCCUAGGUCAAAGCUUCCAACUAAUUACAAACAUCUGUCUAACUUUUUGUGAAAACCUUGAAUAACCUAAUCUGUCACUAAGCAUACCCUACUGUCACUCACCACAUCACCUUGCCUUGUCACCUAAAUCCACAUCACUUGCCACAUCACUAGGCAUAUCAUCCAACCACAUCAUCUCAGGUAUAUCAUCUCUCCAAAUCCAACCAAAACUCUGUCUAAAUGAUCAAAGUCCAUCCAAAACUCUAUCUAAAAAGUCCAAUCAAAUCAAAACUUUACUCAAAGAGUCUUAGUCCAACCAAAACUCAACCUUAAAAGUUACUAUUUCACCAAAACACUCUAAAGAGUCCUAACACCAAAAUUUUGUUCGAAUAAUCCACAUCAAACUAAAAUUCUUUCAAAGGGCUAAAAUUCUUUCAAAAGGCUUAAUCUAGCUAAAGCUUAGUCUUAACCCAGGAAGUUUUAGUCAAGAUUAAACACAACUACACUAAACCCAACUCAAAAGCCUAGACCUAUAGUUGUCAUAUUGGAUCUUGUAUUAGGAAAAUCUGCAGAGGUAUAAGUCCUAAAAUCUUUAGACAUCUUAGACCUCUUAUUAAAUUAUGUGCAAGUGACAUAUCCUCCAAGAUGAAAUAUCAUGUAGUCUUCAGAAUGCGUAAUGUAUACCAUUUAGUUAUAAUUAGGACUUAUUUUCUUGUUAAAGGCGGGGAUAAUUUUUGCAAUGUAAACUCAUGUCUAGCAUGUGAUGUAAAAUCUUGUCAUAUAGAUUAGUUAUAAAUAAAAAUCAUUUAUUUCUAUUACAAAUUUAGAAUUUUAAUAUUAUGAAUAUUAAAUUGAUAGAAAAGCAAUCAACAAAAGAAUUUUAAUUUAUUUCUAAAACUAAAAAUAAAAAAAUUAAAUUGAUAGAAAAUUAAUUGAUAAAGUAAAAAAGGGAUAGAAGAGUUAAGAAUGUAAUAGAUAAUUGUAAAUGUAUUUUAUCAUAUAAUGCUUAAUAAAUUUUGGAAUAAGUGGAGAAUUUGACUGAUUAUGAAAUUUUAAGAAAUUUGUGAGCAUGAAAUUUUCUUAAAAUUUUUUAUGUGAGUAAACAAUUUAAAAAAUUAGAAUAUCAAAGAUUUUCACUUUAUUUCCAAAAUAACAAAAUUAAAGAAAUUUAUUAAAAUUAAUUUUAAAUGUUUUAAAAAUAAAAAUGAAUUAUUUGUGUAAAAUAUUUAAUUACUCUAAUGACAAAGCUUUUUGAAGAAAAAAAGGGACGUAUUUUCUUGAAAACUAUUGAAGUGAAAAAAUUAUUUAGAGGUUUGAUCAAAGUAUUGGAAAAAACAUAAAAAAAUUUUAUAUUUAAAUAAUAAAUAAAGUAAUGAAAAACAUUAAGAAUAGAGACCAAUUUAAUAAAGGCUAUUAAAGAUAAUAUAAUAUUAAUUGAUAUCAUCCUUUGAAUGGUCAUUGUUAGAAUGUUAAUACCAUUCCUAUAAACUUAAUUCUGUAAUGCAAAUCAAAAUCUAUUCUUUUAAGAUUUUUUAGUCAAACUUAAAAAUCAUUUGAAAAAAAUAAAUUUAUUUAAAUAAUCAAUCAUACCUAAUCAAAAAAUUCUUGAUAAUUACUUUAUUGAUAUUUAGUGGUCAAACUCACAUAUUCACACCUUAUAAGAGAUAUAAUCAUCAUUGGUUUAAUAAUUAUAAUAUUGCUUACUAAUAGAAAAGAGAAUUUCUCAAUAUAGAUGAGAAAAGUGAUUAUUCUGAUCUUUAAUGAUUUUGAAGCAAGAAGAUUUGGAUAUCAUGAGUCACAUUAGGAUCGAUAGUUAUCGUUUCUCCAUUUCAUGGGUAAAAAUUCUAUCCAGUGAGUUUUAUUUCUUCAAAAUAAAUGUGUUUGAUAUGAUUCUCAUGCUGAUUUUUUAGGCUCAAAAUUAACUUAUCCAAAGUGAAGAGAUUUGGAAGUGUUAAUAAAGUUAGCAUCAAUAUUUAUAAUAAGCUCAUAAAUACUCUUCUCCUUAAAGGUCACUCUCUAGUAGUCUAGUUCUCCAACCUUAAAAAGAUAUAAGGGACUAAACUAAUCAUCAAUUCCAUGACUCAAAUACUAAUAUCAACAAAAUGAUUUUAAUUUCUUCUGUCUCACAAAUCCAACCCUUCAGUCAUUGUCUCAUUGUGAAUUCUAAAUAAAAAUAUAUAGCAAACUAAAAUAAAAUUCUUCAAUUCAAAUCGAGAAGAACCAAAAAGAAAGAGAGAAGAAGAACCUGAUGAAGAGGAAAAAUAGCUUUUCAAACAAAAGAAAUCUUGCCUUUAACUCCUAAAUUUCUUGCUACACGAGUUAAGUCCGAAAACUUAAAAGAUUGUAGUCCAACAGCUCCUUUUCUUGUAGCAAUGAUACCUGAUGCAUGCUAAAAAUUUAAACGUAAUAGUCAGAUAUAAGUAUUCAAAGCAUAAAGCAAAAUAUAUGUUCAGCAAGCAUUACAAAAUAAAACAGUAACAAGAACUUGAUGAGGAGGAAAAAAGCUUCUCACACGAAAGAAGUUCUGUCGUUAUCUCUUAAAUCUCCUGCUAUAAUGAACCCUAAAACUCUUUCCAGUUAAAGUUCGAAAACUCAAAAGAUUGUGUUGCCAACAGUCGUUGCAAUAAUACCUGAUAUAAAUUAGAAAUUUACACGUAAUAGUCAAAGACAGGUAUAUAAAAGAUGAGGCAAAAUUAAAGUUUAGUAGGCUUACAAAAUAAAGCAGUAACAAGAACCUGAUAAUGAGGAAAAAGGAACUUUUCACCUAAAGGAAAUUCUGCCGUUAACUCCAAAAUCUCCUGCCAUAAUGGACCCUAAAACUUUUCCAAGUUAAUUCUUGAAACUCAGAAGAUCGUAUUGCCAACAGCUAUUCUUCUGGUUGUAAUAAUACCUAAUAUAAACUAGAAAUUGAAGCAUAAUAGUCAAAGAUAGGUACUCAAAGCAUGAAGCAAAAUAUAUGUUCAACAAGUAUUACAAAAUAACACAAUAACUAGACCUACUUGCGUUAACAAUAUGGAAGUACCAUGCAAAUGGACAACAUAGCCAAAUAUGGAUGAAAUAUAUAUUAUAAAAUAAAUUUAUAAGUAUUAAAAAACAAAAACAUUUUAUUGUUAUAAGGAAACCAAGUUUUAUUGUUACUAAUUCAUUUGCUCUCGUGCUUCAUUGCAAGAUUUAUUGAUUUCUAAAUUUUUAUAAGUAACUAGGUAUAAGGUUUAAUAUACUAAAAUAAAGUAUAAUUGAUUUCUCUUUUUGCAUAUUGUAUUUUGUUUAGGUUUUUUCCUUUCCCUAUAAUGGGCAACAACUUUAGUAUUAUGACAUAUUAUACCCUUUAAAACAAAAACACGAACAUGCAAUAAAGAUACGAUGCCACACAGACACGAAUAAGAUAAUAUAAUAAUUAAAAAAAAAAAGACAUGGAUAUGAUAAGGCACCAUAAUAAAAAAAAUUUUAUAUAUUUUUAUGUUAAAAUACUCAAUGUAUAUGUAAAUAUCAAUUUUUCAUUUUUCAUUUUUUUUUCAAUUUAAAUUUAUAUUUUAUAAUAUAAAAAAUAUUCUUAAUUAUAUAAGAAAAAAUUUAUUUUUAAAUUCAUGCAAGAUAUUAACUAUUUCAAAAUGAUGAAAUAACAAUAUAGCUCAAACAACGAAAUACUGCAUUUAAUUUUUUUAAGAAGUGCGACAAGUUAUAUUGCUUUCCAAUUUCUUUUUUUCUUUUUACUUUUUGGUGUAUAAAGAAAAGCCAAAAAUCAUGUUUGGUCUACUUAAACAUGCCUUCCCCACCCAUAAGAGACCCACACUAUCCUUUAUUUUUCUUUUUCUUUUCUUUCUAUUCUUUCUUUUUUGCAUUUUUUUUCCUGUUUUCUUUCCCUAGCUCCUACUGGUUUUUGACAACCCCUCUGUCAUCAUCACCACUAUCGGUCGUUGCCCAUCGAUAAUUGAAAAUUUAUUUAAAAAUUAUCAGUAAAUUCAUCUAACCUUUUUCUUUCUUCUUAUCUAACAAGAUUUUCAAAAAAAAAAAAAAAAAAAAAACCUGGAAAAUCCUAGAUCUAAAAAAAUCUGUUGAGAUGGUGUGGAACUAGAUUUUUUUUUUUAUCAUGUCCUAGCUUGGUAUGUAUGUAUUUUACUGUAUCGACGGUGUGUUCAUGUCGAACACGAAUACAACAUCGGUACAGAAAGAGUCGCCGCAUGUCCGUGAGUGAAGCCAUGAGACGUGAGACCAAAUCGCUCCCUUCUCCUCUCUCUCCUCCUCUUCUAUGUCAUUGCAGGUGCCAUUGUUCUUUUAGCUCACAUGUCACUUCUAAUGAGUAGAGUCACCUAAUUGAUUAUCAGUUUUAAAUCUUUUUACAAACAUAUGAUUUCCAUUUUAACAUUUUAUUCACUUCAACAAAAGCAGAACACCUCUUUAAAACAUUUUUAGAAAAUUUUGCAACAUUUAGAACUUUAAAGAAAUUAAACCUCUUCUUGAAGCAAAACUUUCAGCCAUGAUAUGAUACCCAAUCUACUAAGUUGAUAAAGAAAACCGUAAAUAAGAAAUGUUGCUAACUAGAAAAAUUCCAACGCACCAUAGAAAGGUAUCAAUUAAAUAAGAAAAAAAAAAUUAAUAACUAGCAAUUACCAUGUAAAUGGAAAGUAUCACAUGCUUUAAAGCAAGUUUUACUACUAUACCAAGAAAAAUAUAUAUUAUUUUAAAAUAAAUUGUAAAACAAGAAAAUAAAACAUACAUGAAGCUAGAAAAAGAGAGAAGCAAUUACAGUUUCAAGAGACUUGAGAGAAAAUUUUUCUCACGAUUGCCAAUAAGGGUAGGUCGAACGAAGGGAAAAUGGUGAACUACGGAAGCAUAAGCAAAGUCUUUGGUAUUUGGAGGAUUUGGAUGGAGAAGGUAGAAAAAAGAAGAGCUAAGGAAAGAAGAAGUCAAGGCAAAGAAAGCACGGGAAAGUUUAUUGUUCAAAGACUUGGAUUGCGGUAUUUGCAAAUUAAUAAAAAGUUUUAAUAAAGUAUCAACAAAAUAAUUUGAAAAUAUUAUGGUAAAAAGAUUAGUCAGAAAGAAAAAGGUGCUUUCGAGCUAUUUGAACCACUCAUUUAUAAUGACAUAUAGCUGUGAAAAUAAGAGAGAAUCAAUUAUUUAAAUAUCUAUGCAAGCAAUGAUGUAAAAAAUUCUUUUUAAACGAAAAUAUUAAUUCAAAAUUUAAUUUAAUUAAUUUAUUAAUUUAUUUUUAAAAAAUAAUGCUUAUAAUAUUUUUUAUUUCAAACUACAACUUUGUUUAUAAAAAAAUCACUGUUUAUAUUUUGAAUUUAUGCAGUUAAUUUUUUUUAUUGAAACAAAUUUAAGAAUAGAGAAAAUUAUUUUAUUUUUAAUAUCAAGAUAAGUUGUUAACUCAUAAAGAGGUUUAUAAAUUUUUAAAAAAUUUUAGAACUUAUUAAUUAUUUAUUAAUAAAAAUUAUAAAAAUUUAAAUCUGAAUACUUUAUAUUUAAAUUUUAAAUUUUAAUCACUUAUGCUAAUUUUAUUGACAUUUAUACACUUAAUUUAUAUUUACAUAAACCUCUAGUUGUAACAAUUUUAUUAAAAUAAUAAUAUCAAAAUGUACUUCUAUCCGUUUUAUUUAUAGAAUCAAAAGGAAAGUUUCUGUCAACCGAAUUAAUUUAUAAUCAAUUAAUUAUAUAUGGUCAUCCAAUUAAAAAUUGGUGAAAUUUAGGUAGGCCAAUUGUAGUUUAUAUUCUAAAAUGCAUAAGACAAUUGAAUCUAAAAUAUAUUAUUAUUUUUUUAAAAAAUAACUAAUAAAUUUAAUAUUUAAUAUUUAUAAUUUUUAUUUUUAUACUGUCAUUUCUUUUAUAUAAAAUAAAAUAAUCACACUGUAGCUGAUUUUGGAUUACUUGGAGUGUAGCAACCCCAUUCUAAUACAAUAUAUUUAAGGGGCAUAAUGUAACAUCAUGAGAAAAAUCAUGGAUGGAAAACAGCUUAGGCUGUGUUUUCUUGAAAAAUGGCAGAACGUGUGUUGACAUAUAAUUUUUAUGAAUUGACCUUGCUUUAAUUGUGAGCAGCUUCUUCGCUUCUUCCUUAAGCAGUCCUUGACAGUUGGCACACCAAGAAUACCGAUAUUCUCUACUUUUUACGCUACUUGAUUAAAAAGAAAAACAAUUUUACUUAGAACAUAUUAAUUUGAUAGUAAAAUUUGUUUAAUGGUGUCAUAAUGUUUAGAUCCAGGGAUCUAUCAUUAGAUAUUGAUUUUUGAGAGUCGUCACCAAUCUUUUUUUAUCUAGGUGUGAUUGGUCACCUAAAGAAUCUGUCCUUUUAAGGAACACCUAAGUUUAAGGGUCCCUAAAAGAAUAGGUUCAGCUCUACUAACUAGAACAGAGUUCAGGAGUUCGGUUACGUGUGAGGAAGGUUAUAGCACCUUCAUAACGCCUAUCAAAAGAUGGUACCAGCCGAAAUUUGUGAUAUCUAAUGAGCCUUAAAAUUUUACCAAGUAAUUAAUUAUUAGAAAUUAUUCUCAAUUGAUUCUAAUACUUUUAGCAGAAAAUUGAAAAAAUUCCCGCACCUCAAGAGUAUGCAAGAAAAACUACUGUUUCACUUGCAGAGGCUCCGUCGUCAGAUUAUUUAAAGAAAAAUCAAAAUCAAAAUCAAAAUAAAAAGGAAGAAAAGAAUGAUUGUUCUUAUGCGGGGAAAAUUGAUACUUUCAACUUUUCCCCAAAAAUAUUUUUUUUUUGAAAAUUUUGAUUUUUAAGGAAAAUUGAUACUUUCAACUUUUCCUCAAAAAUAAUUUUGGAAACUUUGAUUUUCAAGGAAAAUUGAUACUUUCAACUUUUCCUCCAAGACCUUUUUUUGAAAUUUUAUUUUUAAGGAAAAUUGAUACUUUCAACUUUUCUCCAAAAUAUUUUUUUUGAAAAUUCUGAUUUUCAAGGAAAAUUGAUACUUUCAACUUUUCCUCAAAAAUCAUUUUUUUUGAAAAUUUAUUUUUAAGAAAAAUUGAUACUUUCAACUUUUCCCCAAAAAUAUUUUUUUGAAAACUUUGAUUUUCAAAGAAAAUUGAUACUUUCAACUUUCCCUCAAAAAUCCUUUUUUGAAAAUUUAUUUUUAAGAAAAAUUGAUACUUUCAACUUUUCCCCAAAAAUAUUCUUUGGAAACUUUGAUUUUUAAGGAAAAUUGAUACUUUCAACUUUUUCUCAAAAAUAUUUUUUGAAACUUUGAUUUUCAAGGAAAAUUGAUACUUUCAACUUUUCUCCAAAAAUAUUUUUUUUGAUUUUUAUUUAAAGAAAAUAAAAUAAUAAAACAAAAUAAAAGUGAAAAUAAAAAAAAUAAAGAAAAGUAAAACAAAAAUAAAAAAUAAAAUAAAGGUAAAAAAAUACUAAAUAAACCUAAUCUAAUGAAAAAAAUAAAAAAUUUCAAAAAAAAUAAAAUAAAAUAAAAUAAAGAAAUAAAAAAAAUUCAAAAAAAAAACCUGGAGCGGCUCGGAGUACGGCUCGGAGUACGGCUCGGCUCGGCUCGGCUCAAGGAAGAGAAAACGGCUCGGAGAAAGGCUUGGGACCUCGGCUUGGAGGGGGGAAGACACGCCCGAGUCAAGAAGCGGGUCGACGCUCGGGUCAGGUCGGAUUUCGGUAAAACGCACGGAUCUUCUGGGUCACUUAAGGCAAAAACGACGUCGUUUUGGAAGGGUAUAUAAGGUAGUUCCCUUCAUUUUUUGGCAGAAACCUUCUCCCCUCUCUCUCUCUUCCUUCCCUUUUCUUUCCCUUCUCUCUAAACGAUCGAAGAACUCCGGUUGAAGAUUCACCGGAUUCUGGAAUUUUUCAUCAGAAUCUGGGUUUUUUCACCGGAAGUUCACUGGAAAUUGGUCGGUUUCUGGGAUUCUUCGCCGAAAACUUUAAAGUUGACCAAAAUCGUGGCCGAAAAAUGCAACUUUCGUCGAAAAAUUCAAUCGAAAUCUGGAAUUUUCCAAAAAUUUUCAGAAAAAAAAAUCUCCAAAAAAUUUCUGUUAAUUCCCAAAACCCUUCUAAACCUUUUCUUAACCUUCAAAAAUUUUUUACACGCCCCUUUUCUCUCAAAUCAGUAACUUUUGCUCACUGGUUUUCUGUGUAUCCUAUUCUGUUCCAGAGUGUCCUUUUUAUAGGGAUUGAUCAGGAGUUUUUGAUCAAUCCCAAUUCCUCUUUGAACGGAGAUUCAAUCUUUGAAUCGAAUCUGGACUCUAAUUAAUUGAAUCCCAAUCCAAGCCAGACAAAUCAAAAAUAAAUAAAUAAAUAAAUAAAUAAAAGAAAAAAUCAAACGAAAAUGAAUUAGAUAAAUAAAAAAACAGAUAAUUACAUAAAUAUUAACAGGAAAAAAAAGAAGAAAAAAAUAAUAAUAAAAUAAAAUAAUAAUAAUAAUAAUAAUAAUAAAGAUAUAUACAUAUUAAUAAAUACAUAAAUCCCUAAAAAAUAAUAAUAAAAGAAAAAAAUAUAUAUAUAUACAUAUAUAAAAUAAUAAUAAUAAAAAUAAAAUAAAAAUGUAAAAUACAAAAUAAAAAUAAAUUUAAAAAAAUAAAAAUAAAAUGAAGAGAAAAAGAAAAGAAAAAAAAUACAGACUUACCCAUUUGGACUAGGCCCAAUUGAUCCGGGCCUGGACUAAAUUAGGUGUCUACAGCUGCCCAUCUUUGCACAUUUUCUAUGAAACAGAAAUUGCGCAAAGACGUAGACACCCAAUCAAAUCUCAACUCGACCUUUUUACUUUUUGUGUUUUUUUUUUUUUUAUCAAACUCUCUAAACAGAGGCUCAACAACUUGAGAAACAUAAAUGGCUCCUCNNNNNNNNNNNNNNNNNNNNNNNNNNNNNNNNNNNNNNNNNNNNNNNNNNNNNNNNNNNNNNNNNNNNNNNNNNNNNNNNNNNNNNNNNNNNNNNNNNNNNNNNNNNNNNNNNNNNNNNNNNNNNNNNNNNNNNNNNNNNNNNNNNNNNNNNNNNNNNNNNNNNNNNNNNNNNNNNNNNNNNNNNNNNNNNNNNNNNNNNNNNNNNNNNNNNNNNNNNNNNNNNNNNNNNNNNNNNNNNNNNNNNNNNNNNNNNNNNNNNNNNNNNNNNNNNNNNNNNNNNNNNNNNNNNNNNNNNNNNNNNNNNNNNNNNNNNNNNNNNNNNNNNNNNNNNNNNNNNNNNNNNNNNNNNNNNNNNNNNNNNNNNNNNNNNNNNNNNNNNNNNNNNNNNNNNNNNNNNNNNNNNNNNNNNNNNNNNNNNNNNNNNNNNNNNNNNNNNNNNNNNNNNNNNNNNNNNNNNNNNNNNNNNNNNNNNNNNNNNNNNNNNNNNNNNNNNNNNNNNNNNNNNNNNNNNNNNNNNNNNNNNNNNNNNNNNNNNNNNNNNNNNNNNNNNNNNNNNNNNNNNNNNNNNNNNNNNNNNNNNNNNNNNNNNNNNNNNNNNNNNNNNNNNNNNNNNNNNNNNNNNNNNNNNNNNNNNNNNNNNNNNNNNNNNNNNNNNNNNNNNNNNNNNNNNNNNNNNNNNNNNNNNNNNNNNNNNNNNNNNNNNNNNNNNNNNNNNNNNNNNNNNNNNNNNNNNNNNNNNNNNNNNNNNNNNNNNNNNNNNNNNNNNNNNNNNNNNNNNNNNNNNNNNNNNNNNNNNNNNNNNNNNNNNNNNNNNNNNNNNNNNNNNNNNNNNNNNNNNNNNNNNNNNNNNNNNNNNNNNNNNNNNNNNNNNNNNNNNNNNNNNNNNNNNNNNNNNNNNNNNNNNNNNNNNNNNNNNNNNNNNNNNNNNNNNNNNNNNNNNNNNNNNNNNNNNNNNNNNNNNNNNNNNNNNNNNNNNNNNNNNNNNNNNNNNNNNNNNNNUGCUGUAUCUGGUCAAAUUCAACAGUAUUCCAACAUGUUCUGGUAUGUAUACCGGAAGUGUUAAAGUGUCGAACACGAAUACAAAAGGAGUACGCAAAAAGUUCAAAUGCAAGAGGUACAAAGUAUUAUUACCUUGCACAGUAAGAAGUUUGAGCGCUUCCUUUGUUUGCUGUCAAUUUAUUUUAUGUUCACUUGAUGAAAGUGAUAUGUUUUGGUUUACAGGCAUUCGGUUUAUAAAAAUGAUAUAUUUCGGUUCACAGGCAUUUGGAUAGGUUGCAUUAUUUGUGAGACAACAUAACUUUCCAGCAUUUAAAAUAUCUAUGGUUUCUUUUUGUUUCAAGUUUUGAUACUCAAUGACAUUUUGGAACCUAGUUCUGUACUGAAACAGAAUGUGAACAUGGAAAAAAAGAGAGAAAAUGAAAAUUACCAACAGAAAACAAAAGUUCUGAUACAAUGGGUAAAUUUUAAGCUUGUAAGGGAUGGUUUUCCUCCAUGAGAGCAUGACACAUGCUAGAAUUGUGAUCCCACUGUAGCCAGUUGACAAAUACUGAUAUCCCGAGUUCAGUUGUUUGAACAUAGCAAUAGUUAUGGGUUGCAUUAGAAAUUCAAGGUCCAAAAAUUGGCUAAAAGAAGCUUUGAUGUUUUUUGCGUUCAUUUUGAAGGAAGUAUUAUUCAGGGUUUGCAUAAGGUAUGAGACAGUUAUUGGAGUAGCAUACUAAUUCAAUUUAGACUCCUUUGGAAACAGGCCUUUUUCGCAAGCUCCUUUCAAAUUGAGCUGAAAUUCUGCAGAAUAAAUUGAGAAUAAUUAUUUAUAAGCUUCUGCAGAAUAAAAUGGAUGCUUGAGUUUGUGUUCUUUUAUGUCAAGAGAGGACAUACCCCUGAUUUGAUGAUUGAAAUGAGCUCCUCAAACCAAUACUCGAGCUUACCAGCUUAAGCACUUUGUCUCGAUCAACGUAGAUGUUUCUUUAUACCGAGCCAGAAUGCUUAUAAAGAUCUAAGAAGCAAUAACAAAAUGUUUAGUCACUAUUAUAAAGGGUUAAAACUUCAUACAUAAAGGCAAACAGUUUUCAAAGCAAGUAUAAAACAAAACCACAUGAAGCUGUGUUGCUUUACAUUGUUUAUCAUACAACCUCAAAUUCUUCAAAAGCUCAAUCAGGCAAAGAUUUUAACUUGUGGCUCCACCGAGCUGAAAGAAACGAUCAUCGGAAAAACAAAGGCUGCUGAUCAAUGUUUUAUGGAAAGGAUAUGUUAUGCAUCAAUAUGAAGAAUUGAGCUACAGUGGAAUGAAACUUCCAAACAUUAUUGCACAACAGAAUAAUAUUACAAAGAAUUUUAACACUUACAUUUAGAGUAUCAAUUUGGCUUUUACAGAAGGUCCCAGCUCAGCCAAUUUUACCUGCUUGAUAAAGUUGUUACCCUAUCUCAUCAUUUAUGCUUGGACCCCUGACACGGAGGAGGAAAGAUUUCUGUUGUAGGAAAGGAGCUGCUGCCCUAACAACUUCGAAACCACCAAUGAAUUGAAGUUAUUUCGUCCUGUCAGACAAGUUCCACUACAUCAGAUUUUUGUUUAGAAGCAUUUCGGAUAAAAAUGGUAGUACCAAAAAAGGGAGAAAAAAAAAAAGAGAAAGGAAUCCUAGCAAGGCUGGAAGUUUUCAUUAUGCUAAGUAUCAUGAUUUCUUAUAAUAUAUGGUUUCUAUCAUAAACAUGGAAUCUAUAUACUCGAGUAUGAUACAUGGAUUAUAGAUGGUAGAACAUGAUUCAAGGAUAUGGAAUGUUCAAUGCACUAAUUGCUGAUUCUGGAAGAGCACCUUAUUCAGAUUAAAAGACAAAAAUAUUGUACCUAAAACAUAAAAUACAAAUUAUUUUCCUUCGCCAUAAAAGGAGAACGUUUGAAAAAAUUUCAGAACCCCGGAAAUAAGUAAUAACUUACCACUUUCAUAGGAAACAAUGUUUCCUUUGGGGGAAUUUUUGCGCCACUGACACUGUCCUCACUCCCAAGUCUGGCAUAAAUCUUUAAUAUCUCAUCAUUUAUAAGAAAUUGAGUUCUCAAUGGGAUUGAGGCAGAGAUUUUGGUAUUGACUCAUUCAGGCGGCCAUAUGGUCAAUUUGACGGCAGUGAAGGCAAUCCAUACUUCUGCUAAGUAAACAGCAUUUAUCUUUUUCAGGUCUUUCCAUCUGCUUUUGCAAACCACUUUGUGUGCUCCUGUAAAGGCACUACCGACUGGCCUCUGCAACUUCCAACUGACUGAAACCAAAAUUAGAUAUCAAAUUAAUCUUCACGCGUAUAAGAAAAUAACAAGCAUUUAAUAACUGAAACCAUUCUUGAAUGAUUCGGCCAAAAAAAAAAAAAAAAUCAGAUGUCAAUGAGACAAAAUGAUUAAUAGAUAUAAACAUUUAACACAUCUGUUCUGCUCUUGAAAUUUGUCCCUCAACUAUCUCAAUCCUAUUGAUUUAGUCCAAUUUUAAUUUUAAUGAAUUUCAUUUUUAUUAAACAUAGAUUUUUUUUUUAUAUAUAUAUUUUCCAUUUCAUUGUAAAACAAAAAGCUGUGUAUAAGGGAUUGAACUAAUGAACCUUUUAUAGGGAAUCGAAAAAACAAUAAUCAUGAAAAUAAAUCACUUGAUCACUUGAUUUAAUAGUACGUUAAUGUUCUUCAAAUAAGUAGCUAUAAUUGCAAAGUGACAUGUACCUUAUUUCUUGGCGUUCCUUCCGUUAACAAAUUAACAUGAAGCUGCUUCAAACUUCAAUGCAAGGUAUGUGGGCUAUGUUAAGAAACAAGUAUUAAUUCCAAUGUAAGGUAUGUGGGCUAUUUUGGGCACUCUUGACCUCCAUCCUUCUUGCAUCGUUCUUCUAGCAAUGGACAUCUAGAAAUUUCGAGUUGCAAAAGUGAGUCAAACAUCUCCUUUUCCGGAAGGAAUUUGAGCUUGGGGCAACUAUGGAUGCCCAAUGAUUCAAGAGACUUGAGAUUUUGAAAGCCCUUGGAGGAUAGAGUUUCUAGGUUUUGAAAACCGCAGAUGGUGAGGGAGGUGAGAGUGCGGGGCAGAAGCAUUUCCUCACAUGGGAAUGACACUACAUCUAGAGAAGCACCAUUGAUGGACAAAUGUUUAAGGGAGGUUAGUUUGUGCAAAGCCCACUCGAUCACUGACUUGCAAAUAUUGGGUUGCCACAUUUGAAGUGCAGUGAGAUUGGGAGGAUGUUGGGCUAAAAGCCUCCAAUCCAAUCACACCAACGGAAGCGAAAUCAAACAAUAAAGCAAACACAUAAGAAACAACAAUUUAACGUGGUUCAGUCCAAUUGACCUACAUCCACGGAUGAGAAAAAAGAUCCACUAGUUGUAGAGAAUUACAAACAUACAUCAAAUCAUCAACCUCACUCAACAAUCAAUACUCAUAAGACACUCUCAAUCUCCUCUAGUCCUAUAGAGUAUUCUCAACCCAAACAAACACAAACCCAAACCCUUGUGCACCUUUUCAACACAACCAAACACAUACCCAUAUGUUCCCAUACAUCAUACCUAUGUGUACCCUCUCAAUCUCCUCUAGUCCACUCACAAACAAACAUACAUACCCAUAAGACGUAGAGCUCCAAUACUCCUAUGGGGUGUCUAUCCCCACAAAACCCUACAACUCUCUUACAUCUUUUUCUCAUACCUAACCCUGUAGAGACUUCACCUAUUUAUAACCAUACAAACUUGCCCAUUAAGAAUCCCUCUCCUCUUAGAAUUCUUCUCCUGUAAGUCAAACUUGCCUAUUAAGAAUCCAUUUCCUUUUAGAAUUCUUCUCUUGCAAGUUAAACUUACCUAUUAAGAAUCAUCUUUCUCUUGGAAUUCUUCUUUUGCAAGUCUUCUUGUCCAUCAAGCAAUAUCUGACAAAUUUCAAACAAAUCUUUAACAAAUCUCAAACAAAUCUCUUAUGGGAUUUGAGUCAUUAUUCCCAACAGAGGGAACCCCUCUUUUGGAAAUGAUAUCACACUUGGACAAUCAAAUAUGAACAAUUCUCGCAUAGAGACGAUGUUGUGGAUGCAGUUGGGUAAGGCCUGGAGUUUUUCACACCCGGAAAGGUGAAGCUUUCUGAGUUUGGUGGUUAAUAACACACUUCCUGGGAAUGAAAUCAAACUUGAACAACGCCCAAUAGGAAUCUCCCCAAGAUGGAUGAGCUUGUUUAAUCCACGAGGCAAAGAAUUCAAAUUAUCGCAACCGUCGAUAGUUAUCAAUUCAAGGGAAGAGUUCUCUUCAAUAUCUUGAGGUAUGGACUCUAGUGCUGGGCAAUAAUUAAUCCGGAGGUAUUUAAGCCCCAUAGGUAACUUGCCAUUGGCUGACAAGAAUGUCAACUUUUCACAAGAAUAAAUGUCAACAUGUUGAAGACUAAUAGGUAACUCGCCCCUUGAGGAUAAAGAUAUCAGAGACUUACAACCUCCAAUUACCAAGUGCUCUAGAAGACGCGUGCUGUUGAUGUUGUUAUUUACUCCAUCCAGCAAGUACAGAAAAUUCUCAUACAGCGUGAUAGUUAAACGUCUUACAUUUGGAGGCAAGUUUCCAUUUGAAAUUGAAAUCAAUCUUGGGCAUCCUUCAAUUCGUAGCACCGUCAGGGAUCUGCAGCUAUUUAUGCUUUCUGAUAGCCUUUCUAGCAUUUCACAAUAUUGUAUGGUCAAAUGUUCAAUAUGGCGAGGGAUUCCUAAUUGCAUAUGCUCUUCCUUUUCGUCCUCUGCACCUAUGGAAACAAGUCUUGAACAAUUGUGAAUUUCCAAAAAGCGAAGAGGCCUCAAAUAUGUUGAGAGUCCUUCGUUGUUCAGCCAUGAAGAAAUUAGUUCCUCAUAUCCACGUAUAAAAAGAUGUUCUACUUUUAUCAACCCUAACAUCAUCCCCUCCAUUGGAGAAGUGAAUUUUGAAACGUUUGAAAGAGAGACUGUUUCCAUGAAUGAGCCAGAAUUGGUACAAUUUGUAGACACCACCUCUUUGCACCCAUCAAUUUUUAAGUCAGACAACUUUGGAAGGCUUGAGAGUGAAACCACCAACUGCUCACAUUUUUGAAUCACAAGUUUCUCCAAUAAAGGAAGACAACUAGGUAGACUUCUCAGUUGUUGACACAAUUUAAUCUCUAGCUUAGUCAAGGAAGGAAGACGAUUAGGUAAACUUCCUAACAACUUGAGGCAAUUUGAAAUGAUGAGCUCAUGGAGGUGUUGGAAACUCCUUACAUUUUCAUCAACUUCAUAAGGAUCCCAUUCCUCCCAUUCUGGCAUGUCAUCAAAACAUAAUCUCCCUAAUGCCGGGAACGCAUUAAGCGACUGAUCCUUUCCAAAAAAAUUAGCACCCACAUUUUUUACCUUAUUCAUCCUCCGGAUAGAAAGCGAUUUUAGCGAUGGUAAUCUUCCAACAGCUGGUAAUAAUGUGCAAUUUGGACAGUAAUCCAGAUCCAGAAUCUAUAGGUUUUCAAAUGAAGGAUCUCCAAUCCAAUUUGGGAAUGUUUCACCUCCAUAACAUUCGAUGGUGAGCCUUUCAAGCAUUUUAGGAGGUAGGAGUGAAUUCAACACGUCCUUGUGAAUUUCUUCUCCUGCAAAAUUGUAACUCCACUUCAAAGCUAAAUCCGAAGGUUCGACUUAUAACAUAACCCAGCCACCCAUGCAUCUUGAGCUUUGACAACAUUCUGCAAUUCUGAAAUAACAAGUCCACCCUUAAGAUUAGACAAAUUCUCCAUCUCCCUUAUCUUACUGCCAUUGUCUUGACUCACAACAAAAUUUGUCAAUGUUUGAAGAUUGGUUAGUUCGCCGAUUCCCAUUGGCAUCAUUUUUAUUGAACGUGCACCUGUAAUGUCAAGAUGCCUUAGGUUAAUUAAAACUCUCAUUUCAGAAGGAAACUCUUCAAGACGAGAACACCCCCGCAACAGCAAGGUCUCUAAAUUGUAAAGCUUGCAUAUUGAAUCCGGCAGAAUUUCGAUUAGAGUGCCAGAAAAAUUUAGGUAACGCAGAUGCACCAAAUCUCCAAUAAUAUUGGAAAACUCCGUCAGGUAGCACCAUUGUAAAGACAACACCCUCAAGUAUUUAAAUUCUGGCAACAACUCACUGAGAACUUGAUUAGAGAAAUUCCACCACCCUCCAGGCAUCUUCAAAGGUAGGAAGGUUCUUAAACCCUUCUUUCCGUUAAAGACUUGGAAAUUUUUAAUUCCGUCUUUCCUACCACCAAUGUUAGAUGAACGGCGAGCAUGACUGGAAACUUUCAAUGCCUUGUCACCCUCCACUCUGAAGCAUAUAUCUUUGGCAACUGAUUGAGCCAAAUCAUUAAUCAGAUCAUGCAUUAUAUAUCGAGACUCAUCCUUGUUGGAUACUUCAAAAAAUGACCUCCGUACAAGUUCUUGAAAGUACUCAUGACCCGAAUCUUCAUUUUGCUUUGUAGCUUCCACUCGCAGAAAGCCUUCUGCCUUCCGUAAUAAGACUAUUUCUUCCUCGGUAAAUUCAUAGUUUUUGGGAAGUAUGGCACAGUAAGCAAAACAUCGCUUUAGAUCUGCAGGAAGAUGAUUAUAGCUUAAUCGUAAAGAUGUAAUUAUGUUACUCCUCCCUGCUGGUAAAUUCCAAAUCUCACUUUUUAGUAUCUUUUCCCAUUCACCGAUAUCCACCUUAUUGCGGAAAAGGCCUCCAAUGGUCUUAGCUGCCAAGGGCAAUCCCUUGCACCUCUUCACAAUCUGUACACCAAAUUCUUUUUAAGUUCGGAUGCCCACUGAAAUCUUUUGCUAAUGCAUGUUGAGUUAAUAUAGAAAUGCAAUCACCAUCUGACAACUCCGGCAGCUUGUAACCUCGGAUAGUACCCACCAUUAAUGAAACACUUUGACCACGUGUUGUCACAACAAUCGUAGCUCCCAUGCCAAAGGGGAUAUUAGACGAGUCCAAUCAUCAUAGUUUUCAUGCCAAAGAUCAUCCAAAAUCAGAAAUAGUUUUUUUCCCUCCAGCUUCUUCUUCAGUUUUUUUUGAAGGUUAUUCAAAUCAUCUCCAACAUUAAAAGAUUCAGGACUAACUGAUUGCAAAAUUUGAUUUCGUUAUCUCCUCCAUCGUAAAAUCGUCAGAAACACAUACCCAUGCUUGAAAAUCGAAAUGCUUAACUACACGCCUAUCAUUGUAGACAAGCUGAGCAAGCGUUGUUUUGCCAAUCCCUCCUUUGCCAAUGAUGGGAAUCACAGAAAAUUUAUUGCGCUCAUCACUCCCAAAAAUCAAGUCAAGGAUUGUUUCCUUGUCUUUUUCCCGACGGUAGACUUGAGUUUCAUUCACCAAACAAGUGGUUGAUCGCCAUUCCAAUGUUCUCUUGGGCCUUCCACCACCAUUUUUCGUCAAAGCCAAGAGACUUAUAUCUGCUUCUAAAUCUAGAAAUCUAGCAGUGAUCUCUUGUAUCUCGGACAUCAUUUCCUUAUUAAAUGAUAAAUUAUGACCCCUUAACCAGGGAAAGCAAGCAUCAACAAGCUUUUGUAACUUCCUUGGGCGGUGAUCUUGAUGUUCCCUCGUUAACUUGAGUCUCAAAGCUUCUGUAGCAAACAACAUGUCAUCCGCAUCGUAUGCCAAGUCUUGGAGCUGGACCAACCAACUCUUCACACCCCCAUCAUUCAUUUCCUUCUCUUCGGCGUCAUUUAGCACUGCAUGAAUAUUGCGCAAUGUCUUUUCCAACUUCUUGAGCUCCUCGCAAACUUCCUUCUCAGUUACAAAGUUGAGAAACUCAGAAGAGGCCAAAUUACUAAACAACCCUUCAAAGAACACAGAUAAAGCAGCUUCAACGACGGACAUGGCUUUUGACCUUUGACCUGCAAAAACAGAGAGAUUAUGUGCAAAAAUGAUAUAGGGAUAAACUCAAAAAAACUUGAACUAAAAGUGGAACACAACCAACAACCCCACCAGUACUGAAUCUGAUCUUGGUAUAUUUCUCUGUGGCUUAUAUCUCCGUGGUAAUUUUUUUCUAAUACGCAUAUUACUAAUUAAGAAAGUUAAUGGACUCCUUAAUAGGAUUAUUUUAUUAGUGAGUUGUUAAAGUUCACAAGGUUCUACAAUUAAAAAAUCAACAAAGGUUAGGCAAAUUGUUAGUGUGUUAGUGGUUGAAGCAACUAGGUAUGGCAUUUCUACUGGCACUUUUGUAAUAGGUUCUGCCAUCUGAUCAGUUUAGGUAACAUGAUGGAUCUGUGCAUGGUGAUCCAUACUGUUAGGCAAACAACUCUUGUAGUAGUUAAACAAACUUUUGUAUGUUUAAAACCUAUAUAUUAAUGAAAUGAAGCUCAUGAUCUGAUGAGCCAAUUUACUUCAAGUGACAAAUUAGUUUUUGCUAUUUUUUGUUCUUCCUCUGCUCUAAAUCCUUCAAUUGGUAUCAGAGCAUUCUUUAAGGUCUUAGAGGACCUGUGAGUUCCAAAAAAUUGAGUGAAAAGCCAUCAAACACUUACUAGCCAGCUUUUGUCAACCUUAAAUGGCCUCAAGCAAUUGCUCCAUACCUCCACCUCUUAUUUUUCUGGUGAGAACUACCAUAUAUGGGCUGUCAAAAUGAAGACUUGUUUGAGUGCUUUUGAUUUGUGGGAAGUGGUGAAAAAUGAGAAGGAACCACCACAACUUCCUGCAAAUCCAACAGUAACUCAAAUGAAAAAUUAUAGUGAAGAAAAAGCAAAGAGGUACAAGGCUAAAAGCUGUAUAGAGUCUUCAGUUUCUGAUGACAUAUUCAUUAGAAUCAUGACUUGUGAAACUGCAAAACAAGCUUGGGAUGUGCUCAAGGAAGAGUUUCAAGGUAGUGACAAGACAAAACAAAUGCAAAUGUUGAAUCUUAGAAGAGAGUUUGAAGUCUUAAAGAUGAAGGAGUUUAAAAAUUUAAAGAAGUACAAUGACAGACUUAUGAAGAUAGUAAACAAGAUUAGAUUACUUGGUGAAGAGCUGUCAGAUAAAAGAAUUGUAGAGAAGGUUCUUGUCAGCUUGCCAGAGAGGUUUGAGUCAAAAAUCUCAUCCCUUGAAGACUCCAAGGACCUGACCAAGAUAACUCCAGUAGAAUUGUUCAAUAUUUUACAAGCUCAAAAGCAAAGAAGGGCUAUCAGACAAGAGGAUUCAACAGAAAGUGCUUUUACAGCCAAGGAAAAAGGCAAGAUGCAAACAGAAAGCAAAGGCAGAAAACAAGGAGAUCGAAGAAACAAAGGUUCUAGAAACAAUGAAAAGAAAAGAAAAUUCCCACCUUGCUCUCAUUGUAAAAAGACCACUCACUUGGAGAAAUAUUACUGGUACAGACCUGACAUACAAUGUAGGUACUGUAAGUAGCUUAGUCACAUGGAGAAGGUAUGUAAAAACAAAAAACAGCAGCAGUCAGAUCAACAAGUUAGAGUUGCUGACAAUCAACAAUAGCUAGAAGAGCAAGUUUUUGUUGCAACUUGCUAUGGAACCAGAACCUCCUCAAGUGCAUGGCUCAUUGACAGUGGUUGCACACACCAUAUGGCAUCUGAUAUCAACAUGUUCAAAGAACUAGACAAGACCUGUACCUCUAAAGUCAGAAUAGGUAAUGGUGAUUUUAUAGAAGUCAAAGAAAAAUGAGUAGUGACAGUUGAGACACCAACAGGUACCAAACUCAUUUCAGAUGUGUUAUUUGUGCCUAAAAUAGAUCAAAACCUGUUAAGUGUAGGACAGUUGCUAGAAAAUAACUACUCUUUAGUUUUCAAAGACAAGGCAUGCAUAAUUCAUGAUCCCACUGGCCAUGAACUCUUUACUGUUAAUAUGAAAGGAAAAUGUUUUUCCUUGAAUUGGCAUGAAGCAAACUCCUCUGCGUAUGCUACUUCACAUGAUGAAUCUUCUUUAUGGCAUAAAAGGAUGAGACAUUUCAAUUACAAUGCAUUGAAUUUCAUGCAUAAAAAUGAUCUUGUAUUAAACAUGCCUACGUUGAAGUCAGUGCUGGAGUGUGUGAAGUUUGUCAGCUAGAAAAAUAAAGUAAGUUGCCAUUUGCAAUUAACAAAGCAUGGAGGGCAAUUGAAAAACUAUAACUUGUUCAUACUGAUGUUUGUGGUCCUAUGAGAACCUUAUCUUUGAAUGGCAGUAGAUAUUUCAUUGCUUUUAUAGAUGAUUUUACCAGAAUGUGUUGGAUUUACUUCAUGAAACAAAAGUCUGAAGUUGCAAAUGUAUUUUGAAAGUUCAAGGCUUGGAUUGAGAAUCAAAGUGGCUGUAAAAUCAAGAUCAUAAGGUCAGACAAUGGUACUGAAUACACAUCUGACAAAUUUAAUGAGUUUUGUCAAGUUGUAGGAAUUGAACACCAACUGACAGCAACUUACACUCCACAACAAAAUGGAGUCAAUGAAAGGAAGAAUAGAACAAUCAUGGAGAUGGCAAGAUGCAUGCUGUUUGAGAAGAAUCUUUCAAAGAAAUUUUGGGCAGAGGCAGUCAAUACCUCUGUCUACUUGCUCAACAGGCUACCCACAAAAGCUUUGAAGGGAAACACUCCUUUCGAAGCCUGGUAUGGAAGCAAACCAUCAGUGCACCACCUCAGAGUUUUUGGCAGCAUCUGUUAUGUGUUCGUUCCUGAUAUCAAAAGGGACAAGCUUGAUCAAAAAGCAGAAAUAUGUAUUUUUUUGGGCUAUAGCAACAUCACCAAAGGCUAUAGGACUUACAAUCCACUUACAGGCAAGAUGAUUGUAAGUAAGAAUGUGAGAUUUAAUGAGCAAGCUGCCUGGAAUUGGGAAAAGUUAAAGAGAGAAUCAGUCAAGCAAACUGCUGCAGACAUGAUAAGCUUUCAAGAUCAAGAAGAUUAUAUAUUUGAAAAUGAAAUCAUUGAUCAUGAACCAGUGAGAGGAAUCAGACCACUCAUAGAUAUUUAUCAAAGAUCAAAUGUUGUUAUUCUUGAACCUGCAAGCUUUGAAGAAGCUGUCAAAAUUUCAGAGCGGAAAAAUGCCAUGAAGGAGGAGAUUCAAAUGAUUGAGAAAAAUUAAACAUGGAUGCUGGUUGACAGACCAAGCAACAAAAACAUCAUUGGUGUUAAAUGGAUUUUCAGAACAAAGUUGAAUGCUGAUGGUUCCAUCAACAAACUUAAAGCUAGAUUGGUAGCUAAAGGCUAUUCCCAGCAGCUUAGUGUUGAUUUUUCAGAGACAUUUGCUCCAGUUGCAAGGUUGGACACCAUAAGGCUGCUAUUAGCCUUAGCAACUCAGCAAAGUUGGAAAAUAUACCAACUUGAUGUCAAAUUUGCCUUCUUGAAUGGUUAUCUUGAAAAGGAGAUUUACAUUGAACAACAUGAUGGUUUUGUUGCCAAGGGACAUGAAGGCAAAGUCUAUCUACUCAAUAAGGCUUUGUAUGAAUUAAAACAAGCUCCAAGAGUGUGGAAUUCCAGAAUUGAUGAUCAUUUACUGAAGUUAAGAUUCAAGAAAAGCCUCAGUGAAGCAACAUUGUACAUUAAAGUUUUUAACAGUAAUGAUCUGUUGAUUGUUUCUUUGUAUGUUGAUGAUCUUUUGGUGACAGGUAGCAAAUCUGCUCUUGUGGAAGAUUUUAAGCUCCAAAUGCAGGAAAUUUUUGAGAUGACAGAUAUGGGAGAAAUGUCUUAUUUUCUUGGAAUGGAGAUUCAUCAAGACCAACAAGGAAUCUUCAUUUGUCAAAGAAAAUAUGCAAAUGAAAUCUUGAAUAAGUUUGGGAUGGAAAAUUGCAAACCAGUCAACACUCCUUUGGCUCAAAAUGAGAAACUUAUUAAGGAAGAUGGAGAUAACAAAGUUGAUGAUUCUAUUUAUAGAAGCUUGGUUGGUUGCUUAUUGUAUUUGACAGCAACAAGGCCAGACAUCAUGUAUGCUGCAAAUUUACUCUCUAGGUUCAUGCAAAAUCCUAGUGAGUUACAUUUUAAGGCUGCAAAAAAAGUAUUGAGAUAUGUCAAAGGAACUAGUGAACUUGGAAUUUGGUUCAAGAAGAAUGAAAGUUCAAGAUUGGUUGGAUUCACAGACAGUGACUGAGCUGGCUCUCAUGAAGACAUGAAAAGCACUUCAGGCUAUGUGUUUUUCAUUGGAUUAAAUGUGUUCAGCUGGAAUUCAAAGAAACAAGGAACUGUGGCUUAAUCAACAGCAGAAGCAGAGUAUAUAGCUGCUACAGCUGCUGUUAAUCAAGCAAUUUGGCUAAGAAAAAUUCUGAUGGAUUUGAGUCAAAAGCAAGAUGAUCCAACAGAAAUUUUUUGUGAUAAUCAAUCAGCAAUUGCAAUGGUUAAGAACCAUGUGUUUCAUGGAAGAACUAAGCAUAUUAAGAUCAAGUAUCACUUUAUUAGAGAAGUUGAAGCUGAGAAUGAAGUGAAACUGGUGCAUUGCAAGUCAGAAGAUCAAAUUACAGAUAUUCUGACCAAAGCCUUACCAAAGGCAAGGUUUGAAACAUUGAGGAAAAGUCUUGAUGUUUCCAGCAGAAAUGCCAAGGAGGAGUGUUAGUGUGUUAGUGGUUGAAGCAACUAGGUAUGACAUUUCUACUGGCACUUUUGUAAUAGGUUCUGCCAUCUGAUCAGUUUAGGUAACAUGAUGGAUCUGUGCAUGGUGAUCCAUACUGUUAGGCAAACAACCCUUGUAGUAGUUAAACAAACUUUUGUAUGUUUAAAGCCUAUAUAUUAAUGAAAUGAAGCUCAUGAUCUGAUGAGCCAAUUCACUUCAAGUGACAGAUUAGUUUGUGCUAUUUUUUGUUCUUCCUCUACUCUAAAUCCUUCACAAAUUUUAGAUAAAAUAUUUUUUGGGUGAAAUUCGUGACUAAUGUAUCCUAUGUAAAGUUUUCGUUCUAUAUUUAUAUUUAUUUCUAUAAGUUCUAGCUUUUCUUUUUAAUUUUAUACAUAUAUAAUUCAAAAGCAUUAAUUGAUUUUUUUUAUGGCUAAUAAUUCCUUCUCAUUAAUAGGGUAAUUCUACACUGUUAGAGUACAUGUUCCACAAGUAUAUCUGGAUUUUUUUUUUUUUUGGUGGCAUCAACUUCUUCAAUAUAUUUUAAUAUACCUUCUAAAUAUUUUAAUAUCUUUUUUAUAAAUUGAUUAAAUUGUUGGAUGUUGACAUAAGUACAUCACCCACACUAAUGAUUUGCCUAAUCCUAUGAUAGUUGGAUUCCUAAAUUUUGCGCCCCACUUGUUGUGUCGAUUGCCUUAAAGUUUUGAUUUUUUUUUCCAAUCAGACAAUUUGUUCGUUAAUGGAUUAAAACAUUUAUACCAAGGUCGAAAGUCGCAAACAGUUGAAGUUUUCGAUGCCAAAAUCUAUAAAAACUUUGAAUUUUCUGACGUCUUUUUCUUAUUGCCUUAAAAAAAAAAAAGAGUUUUAGGGAGAUAGAAAGAGAAAAUAAAGAGAAAAGAGAAAAAAAAUUGAUGAAUUGAAAAAAUUCUUUGCUUUUUACUAUUCAUACUAAAUAUUGAAUUAAGUCAUCUAAGAGAUGCCCAACUCAUGUCAACCCACGCCUCCACCUAGAGAGAGACCAGGAUCAUAUGUAACCUAAGUUGUGUAACAAGCCAAUUAAGCCGCUAACCAAGCCAAAUAAGCAAUUCAUGCAGUGUUUUUUUUUUUUUUUUUUGGUUAUUUAUUUUUAUGUAUAUUGAAAUUUUAAUUUUUAGAUAUAUAUUUUAAUUAUUUGAUAAAAACAAAAUUUUAAAAUUUUAUUUUCAUAAGAUUAAAUAAUGUUAAAUAUAAAUUAAUAUUAUUUUUAAUAAUUUUAAAAUAAGUAAAAAUUCAACCAAUGAUUAAAUUUCAAAAAAUUUGUAGGCAUGCAACUUUUCUUGAAAAUUUUUAAAUGAGAACUUCUUUAAAUUCCACCAAAAUGAUAGAGAAAUUAAAUAAUUAUUUCAAUAUCAAUUAUUUUCAUUUAUUUUUAAAAAUAAAUGAAAAAAUUUAAAUUAAUAGAAAAUUAAUCGGUAAAAUAGACAAGGAUAAAAAGAUUAAAAAUGUAAUAGAUAAUUGUAUAUAUAUUUUUACCACAUAAUACUUGAUAAAUUUUCAAAUAAAUGGGGAUAAAUUUUCAAAUAAAUGGGGAACAUGACUAAUGAUGGAGUUCAAAAAAAUUAGCAGACUUGUAAAUUUUUAGAAAUUUCAAGGCAAAAAACUUUUUUAAAUUUUACCAAAAUAUUAGGCUAUUUAAAAAAUAAUAUUUUAUUUCUAAAAUAACAAAAUAAAAAAGAAAAAUAUCAAAAUUAAUUUAAAAUGUUUUAAAAAUGAUAAAAUAAUUAUUUCUAAAAAUAUUUAAUUAAUUCAAUGACGUAACUACUUUAAGAACACAAGCUUUCUUUUGCAUAUUCUUGUGGUGAAAAUAUAAAACUAACAAUUGUAGAAACAUCAUCUAAUCUAAUGAUAAAAUUUUUAAAAAAUUCAUGGGUGAGCAAUUUUCUAAAAAAUUUCUAAGUGACAAUUUUUUUAAAUUUCACUAAAUUUUAGAGAAUUUAAAAAAUUAUUUCAAUGUUACGAAUUUUCAUUUAUUUCUAAAAAUAAAAAUGAAAGAAAUUAAAUUGAUAGAAAGUUAAUUGAUAAAAUAAAAAAGGAUAAAAGAGUUAAGAAUGUAAUAGAUAAUUGUAAACAUAUUUUAUCACAUAAUUUGUAACAAAUUUUGGAAUAAGUGAUGAAUUUAACUAAUUAUGGAAUUUUAAGAAAUUUAAGAGCGUGAAAUUUUCUUAAAAUUUUCUACGUGAGUAAACUUUUUUAAAUUCCACCAUAACGUUAAUGAAUUUAAAAACAAAUUAGAAAAUAAAAAAUUUCGCUUUAUUUCCAAACAAUAAAAUUAAAGGAAAUUGUUAAAAUUUAUUUAAAAAGUUUUUAAAAAAUGACUUUUUUUUAUAAAAUAUUUAAUUAAUCUUAUGACAAAGCCUCUGCAAAAUACCAAACACAUUUUUUUGAAAACUAUUGAAGUAAAAAAUUUAUUUAGAUGUUCAACUAAAGUGUUGGAGAAAACCUAAUAAAAAUUUUAUAUUUAAAUUAUAAAAAAAUAAUGAAAAACAUUAAGAAUAGAGAUCAUUUUAAUUAAGAUUAUUAAAGAUAAUAUAAGAUUAAUUGAUAUCAUCCUUUGAAUUGUCACAGUGAAAAUGUUAAUACCAUCCUUAUAAAUUAAAUUUUGUAACAUAAACCAAAAUCUAUUCUUUUAAAGUCAUUUAAUCAAGCUUAAAACCAUUUUAAAAGGAUGAAUUUAUUUAUGUAACCAAUCACAUCAAAACAAAAACUUCUUGAUAAUUACUUUAUUGAUAUUUAGUGGUCAAAUUCACAUAUUUGCACAUUAUAAAAGAUAUAAUCAUCAUUGGUUUAAUAAUUAUAACAUUGCUUAUUAAUAGAAAACAGAAUUUCUCAAUGCAAGAGAUGGGAAAAGUGAUUAUUCUAAUCUUUAAUGAUUUUGAAACAAGAAGAUUUGGAUCUUAUUAAUCACAUUGGGGUCAAUAGUUAUCGUUUCUUCAUUUCUUGGGUAAAAAUUCUAUCCAACGAGUUUUAUUUCUUCAAACUAAAUGUGUUUGUUAUGAUUCUCAUGUUGAUUUUUCAGUCUCAAAAUUAACUUAUCCGCAGUAAAGAGAUUUGAAAGUAUUAAUAAGGUUAGCAUCAAUUUUUAAAAUAAGCUAUAAAUAUUGUUCUCCAACCUUAAAAGGAUAUAAGGGACUAUACUGAUCAUCAAUUCCAUGACUCGAUUUUUUUUUUCAAAUUUAUUUCUAAAAAUAUUUAAUCAAUCCAAUGCCGAAACUUCUUUAAGAAAAUAAGAAUGUUUUUUGAAUACUCUUACGAUGAAAAUUUUUUUUAAGGAUUCAACCAAAGUGUUAAAAAAAAUCUAAGAAAAAUUUUUAAUAUUUAAAUAAUAAAAUAAUAAAAAAAUAAUGAAAAAUGUUUAUUAUAGAUAUUAUUUCAAGGCUAUUAAAGAUAAUAUAAACUAAUUCUAUUGAUAAAAUAAUUUCCAAAGAGAUAAUAAAAAAUGCAAUUAAGAUGAAAAACUUGAAAGAAAUGAGGGAAAAAAAAGUGUUGCAUCUAAAAAGAAAGAGAUGCUCAAUCAAUGAGUUGUGAAGAGAAACAGGCAGUAGGCUUUUACUCUACACCAUUCUUAUCAGAUAAACCAAUUUUACUAUCUAACCAUAUAUAGCAUCUUCCAAAAGUUCUUGUCUUUAUCAACCAAUCCCACAAUUAACCUUUCAAGUAAACCCUUGCCUUCAAACAAUUGCACUUAUUCUUGUCCCUUAAUCUAUUAUCCAAUCAGUGACUAAUUGAAGAUGACCAAGAAACAUUCAAGAAAAAAUUUCAAUUCUAAUUCCUAAUCUUUUAUCUUUACUCGUAAAACAUCAAUAUCUUAUCCUGUGCGUUUGAAAAUAGCUCUAAAUCCAGUAAUGAAUUAUAAGCCAAAUAAUAAAUGCAAUUAUCACAUGAAAAACAACCAAUUGAAAGAAAAGAUUUAAAUACCUAUUAAUAGUUACCUCUUGACUCAAGCAACUUAUAGAACAAUGACAUACAGCAGUACCUAUUGUCAGAAAGAAAAUGGAGUUUCGAGCUACAUGAAUCACUCAUUUAUAAUGACAUACAGCUGUUAAGAUAAAAGAGAAUCAAUUAUUUAAAAAUGUGAUGUAAGCAAUGAUGUAAAAAGUUUUUUUUUUAAACGACGAUAUUAAUUUAAAUUUAAAUUUAAUUAAUUUAUAAAAUUAUUUUUAAAAAAUAAAACUUAUAACAUUUUUUUUAUUUCAAACUACAACUUUGUUUAUAAAGAAAUCACUGUUUAUAUUUUGAAUUAAUACAGUUAAUUUUUUUGUUGAAAAAAAUUAAAAAUAAAAAAGAUUAAUUUAUCUUUAAAAUUAAGAUAAAUCAUCAAUUUAUAAAAAAAUUUAUAAAAUUUAUAAAAUCUUUUAAAUUUACAUAUUAUCUAUCAAUAUAUCAUAAAAUUUCAAUUUGAAUAUUUUAUAUUCAAACCUUAAAUUUUAAUUAUUUUCACCAAUUUUUAUUGAAAUUUAUUCAAUUAAUUUAUAUUUACAUAUAAUCAAAAUGUAUUUCUUUCAAUUUUAUUUAUAGAAUCAAAAGGAAAGUUUCUACCAACUGAAUUAAUUUUUAAUCAGUUUUUAAGUCCCUUCAAACUCUUUCUUAUGAUCCAUCCUCGGUCAUAAUUUUUAUAUAUAGAAUAAAAGUGAAUAUUAAAGAAUUUCAAUAAAAAAGUUAGAAGUGAAAAAAAUUAAAAAAUUUAAAAUUAAUUUAAAAUUUUAGUAGUUAGUUUGAUUUGAAUUGAAUUUUGUAAUUUUAUUUAGUUUAAUUUUAAAUAUUGAAUAUAUAUUUAAUUUGAACCGAAUUUAAAAUUUAAAUGUAAAAAAUUGAAAAAAAAUAAUCAAAUCAAAUUAUAUAUUUUUAUUAAUUUUAUAUAUUUUUUAAAUUUUUAUAAAAUAAAAAUAAUUAUUUUAUAUAUAAAUUUACUUAAAUAUAUUAAAAAAUAUUCACACAAAUUUUAAUAUCUUUCACAUAAAUCCUUAAAAUAAGAAGUGAGUGUGUGAAAUGAUUGUAUAAGAUGAGUGGCUUUAUAGCACUGUCAUAACAUUUUAUAUUAUCUUGAAUCGGUUGCUUAUAAUUAGUCAUUUGAUCUCUCGCAACCAUAAAAGAAAGGCAUGUUUUCGUUAAAGCAUCCUUUGCCGAAGCUCCAAUGGCUCGUCUUGGCAACAUCUAUGGUAUCAGCUGUAGUAGCUGUGGAAGAACAACCCAAGGCGCCUAAACACUGCAGUUCCAGUUGUGGGCAUCUUAAAAUUCCUUACCCUUUUGGCGUAGAAAAGGGAAGCUAUCUAAAGGGAUUUCGCAUUACUUGCAACACUUCCCAAAACCCAGCAAAAGCAUUUUUAGAUGCUACGAAAUAUGAGGUAGUAAACAUUUCUUUAGCUGAAAAUCGGGUACGAGUAAGGAAUUCUGUCCCUGCAUCUGUGACUCACACCUGCUUGGCACUCAAUGGAUCCGAAACUCAUGGACAGACAACCAUGAUUAAUUUGACUGAUACUCCGUUCGCACUGUCUCAAAACAAGUUCGUUGUAACUGGAUGUAACUCUCUGGGCAUCAUCAAACUUGGAAAGAGAGAGCUUCUCACUGGGUGCCUCUCUUUGUGUCACGUUAAGCGCGAGGACAAGACUAACGGAUCUUGCUCUGGGAUUGGGUGCUGCGAGGUCCCUAUUACUGAUCGUCUUAAAAUAGUCGAAACGAUUGUGAGUAACAUUUUCAAUGAAUCAAAAAUAAAGGAAGUGCUUAAUGAAACAAAGAUCUCGAUGCCCUAUCGUUGUGGAUCUGCUUUCUUAGUGGACCAACACAACUAUAGUUUCGAGGCAUCUGAUCUUGAUGAUGAGCAUAAAAUUUUUACUAAGAUACAGCAUUCUACAGUGGUUCUUGAUUGGACUGUGAGCAACCACACUUGCAAAGAAGCUAAAAGAGACUCGAACACUUAUGCCUGCAAGGGGAAUAGCGACUGUGUGGAUUACAAAGUAAAGGAUAGUCAAGGCUAUAGCUGCAGUUGCAAAAAAGGUUACCAAGGGAACCCUUAUUGUAGUCCGGGAUGCCAAGGUAUGGCUUACUUAUUAUUCCCUAUAUACUACUCAACUCUUUCAUCACCCUUGUUCAACAUCGUCUAUAAUUAAUCUUUUUAAUAUUCUAAAUGUUGUUGAAGUUUGAGCAUAUAAACAGUACAUCAUGUUUCUGUCAAUUUUUUUUUAAUUUCCCCUAUAAAUUAGUGCUCAUGUUUUCCCCAUAAUACUACUCUAUGUAAGUCAGUAACCUAUAUAUAUAUAUAUGUAUAUACUGAUGUCAUUUGUUCUAUUUGGCGAAAGACAUCGAUGAGUGCAUUAACAAUCCAUGUGAAGGCAAUCAUAAGUGUAUUAAUACACCGGGAAGUUAUCAUUGCAAGCAAUUUCUUUCUCAGCUGCUCCUGCUUGUUCUAGGUAACUAUAUAACUCAACACACGGUUUUGCUUUAUUUCUUUUUUGUUUCUUUUCGAGGAAGAGCUCUUAAUAUAUAUAUAUAUAUAUAUAUAUAUAUGAUUAAUUCAUGCAGCUUUCGUCAGUGUUUUGGUUCUGCUUCCGUUAGUGUUUUCCACUUACUUCUUCUUAAAGAGAAGAAGACUAAUCAAGCUCAGAGAAAAGUUCUUUCUUGAAAAUGGGGGACUAUUAUUGCAGCAGAAAAAUUCUUCCGGUCAAAGUGCUGUUGAGACAACAAAAAUUUUUACGGCCAAGGAGUUGGCAAAGGCCACCGACAAUUAUUCUAAGAGUCGAAUCCUCGGCGAAGGAGGGAAUGGAACGGUCUAUAAAGCUAUCAUAGGAGACAAUCAAAUAGUUGCUGUCAAGAAAUCGAAAAUAGAGACUCGUUCCCAAAUUGAACAAUUUAUCAAUGAAGUUGUUGUUGUUAGCCAAAUCAACCACCGCAACGUAGUCAAGCUCUUGGGAUGUUGUUUGGAGACUGAAGUCCCUUUACUGGUCUACGAAUUUGUCCCCAACGGAAGCCUUCACUAUCACAUUCACAAUUCCGAAAAGGCAGGCGCAAUAUCCUGGGACAUUCGUCUAAGGAUCGCCACAGAAACUGCUAGCGCACUUGCUUACCUUCACUCUGCAGCCUCGAUUCCAAUCAUCCAUCGAGAUGUCAAAUCUGCCAACAUAUUACUCGAUGAAAAUUACAUUGCCAAAGUGUCAGAUUUCGGAGCUUCAAGGUUGAUUCCUAUCGAUAAAACUCAAAUUACUACAUUAGUCCAAGGUACAUUUGGUUACUUGGACCCCCAAUAUUUCCAGACAAGCAAGUUGACAGAAAAGAGUGAUGUUUAUAGCUAUGGGGUUGUGUUAGUGGAACUACUCACUGGUGAGAUACCAGUAUCUUUUGCAAGACCAGAGCCUGAAAGAAACCUAUCUUCUUACUUCAUUUUAUCAAUGCAACAGGAUCGUCUCCUCCAGAUCCUAGAGCCCGAACUUGCAAACGAGGAGAAUAGAGAAGAACUGAUAGCAGUUGCUCACCUGGCUAUGAGAUGUCUGAUGUUGAGGGCGGAUGAAAGACCUUCAAUGAAAGAAGUGCUUAUAGAGCUGAUAGAGUUGAGAAAACUUGAGAAACAUCCAUGGGGUCAAGCUAACUGUGGGCAGGCUUUGAGCUUGUUGCAUGAACAAGCAGAAUUAUACCGGCUCACAGUUCAUCAUCAAAUACUAAAUACAGUGGCACACCAACAAACCUGUCACUUUCAUUAGACACCCCAGGACGAUGAGCAUCCAAAAGAUAUAGAUUUUUUGUACGUUCUGUUUGCUUUGUAAAAUUUGGUGAACCUAUGCUAUUUUUUAUGAUACCUAAUCCUUGUUGUUGUUGUCUACUGAGUUUGCUUAAGUGUUUCAGACUUAACCAUUUGGUAUUAAUUAUUUAAGACAAGUUCAUAAAGGUUUCUAACAAGUUUAAAACAAUCGGUAGCCGUUUUCAUAAGAAUACUAUUACAUAUAUAUACGGUUGCAUCAAAUAUAGCAACACAAACCUAAUGGUAGUUGGAUUAAUCCUAAUACCGAUUAACAGAAUACUCAGAUUAUCAAAACACAGUAGCAUAAUCAGAGUAUCAAAACACAGUAGUAUAAGUAAGAUGUGAAGCUGACCACCUUCCAUGAGGAAAAUUUGUGUUUCUGUACAAUGUAAGAUAUUCAUAACUCCAGUAGUCCUAUCAAAGAAAAAGGCCAAACCAUGCAGCUUUCUGCUACAGCUGGACUAACAUUAUGAAACUGAAUUGAUACUUUACAACAUGCUAGAAAGAAGAAAACCAAUAACCUAGAUGUACAAGCCACAACAACCAGUGAAAUUAAAUAUGGGUUUUUCCAUUUGGAUCCCCAUGCUCCUUGUCCAACUCCCCAUUCCCUAUAGAACUUCUAAUUCAUCUUGUUGGUUUGUCCUGCAAAAGAUAUAAAUAAGAAUGUUAUCUUUUAGACAAAGAUAGUUGUAAAACUUGAAGCAAAUACAAAUCUUUAUACCACAAUGAAAACAAUUAACAAAAACAACAUUUAGGACAUUAAAUUCAUUCAUCUAGUUUCUGCCAUUUAGUUUCAAUGAAUUCAUUGAUUGAGAAUAAAUCCAAUUCAUCAAGGUCAGUCCCAUCGCAAUAAGUACAUUUGAGCCACAAAUGCCUUGAAUUUUUCAAUUUGUACAGUCUCAACCAGAAAACAGCCAGUGGGAAUGAGCACUCAAUUUGUUACAAGCUUACAUAAGAAUGUAGAGCAGUACAUACAUAAUAAUAUAUACUGACAGGGUAACUUAAAAUGGGUAUUAUUAGAGAGCUUAUCCAUCAUAAAGCAGCAGCAAUUACUCAACAAACUAAAAAAUAGCCCAAGGAAACCAUGGCUGAUUUAGACUAUGCAUCAGACACAAACUUCAGCCCAUCAUACAUUACCUAGAUUGUACAACUAGGAUGACAAACCAUUCAGACCUAAGAAAUAUCAGAUUAGUAGAUAACUCAAGAAAAAAAAUGAAAGAAGACUAGAAUCUUACAGCUAGAUAACAGCUGACGAAUAUUAGAUAGAUAUGUUAGCUUCCUACAGGUGUAGUUUGAAAGUUUCAAAUAUGUAAUAUUUGGCCCAAAAAGAAGGAACAGUCAAGAAUCAUUUUGAUUGGUGAGCAAUAAACUCGUCCAACUUUAUAAAAGGGGUUUUCUUUUAUAUACUUCUAUGUGUUAGGCUAAAAAGCUUUGAUCCAAUCACAUCAAUGGAAAUAUAAUCAAAUAAUCAAUCAAUCACAUAAAAGAUAAUAAUUUAACAUGAUUCGAUCCAACCGACCUACGUUCACGGAUGAAAAAUAAGAUCCACUAGUUAUAGAGAAUUAUAAACAUACAUCAAAAUAUAUCAAUCACUCAACAAUCAAUACUUGUAGACAUUCUUACAUUACAAGAAAAUGAAAGAUUAGUUGCAGUUUUGUAGUGACAUUUCACUUACAAACGCUGCUAACUUUUGUGUUUUUAUAAAACUUGAAGCGUUUAUUAUCAAAACGCCAUUAAAUAUUCAAAUAGCGGUGUUGUUACUUAUAAAUGACAUUAAAGACAAAAAUUAGCGGCAUUUAUUGAUUAAAACACCUUGAAUAAUCCUUUCUAAAAAAUUGAAGUGAUUAUUGAAGAUAUUUUUUUACAAAAAAUGCUUUGAAUAAUCCUCUCAUAAAAAAUAAAAGCAAUUAUUGAAGGCAUUUUCUACAAAAAAAAUGCCUUCAAUAAUUCUUUUAAAAAAUUAUAGAGGAUUAUUGAAAGUAUUUUUUAUCAAAAAAAACCUUCAAUAAUCUCCUUUAUUUUUUAUGAGAAGAUUAUUAAAGGCGUUUUGUACAAAAAACACCUUCAAUAAUCCCUUCCAAUUUUUUUAUGAGGGAUUAUUGAAAGCGUUUCAAACAAAAACAUCUUAAAUAAUCUACUCAUAAAGAAUAGAAGUGAUUAUUGAAGAUGUUUUUUACAAAAUAACAUCUUUAAUAAUUCCUCUAAAAAAUUGUUAAUAAAUUUAUCAAAAAUAGAGUGACGUUAUCGGUUAGAGUAUACGAUAAUUAAUUAUAAGAUCGUAGGUUCAAUUUCUCUCUUCAAUAUUUUUUGAAUUUUUUAAGGGAUUAUUGAAGGCGUUUUUGGCACCUACAAAAUGCUAAAAAGAAAGAUCGAAUCUACAAUCUUAUGAUUAACGACUGUAUGUUUUAACCGACAAUGCUACCCCAUUUUUGGUAGAUUCAUUGACGAAAGAUUUAUUGAAGGCAUUUUGACAAAAAAUGCUUUCAAUAAACCUCUACAACUUUUUAGGCAAAUUAUUCAAGGCGUUUUAAUGCCUUCAAUAAUCGCCUUUAUUUUUUAUGAGUAGAUUAUUUAAGGCAUUUUUUGCUUGAAACACCUUCAAUAAUCUCUCAUAAAAAAUUCGAAGGGAUUAUUGAAGGCGUAAUCCCCUUAUAAAAAAAUGAAAAGGAUUAUUGAAAGUAUUUUUUGCAGAAAACACCUUCAAUAGUCCCCUCUAAAAAAUUGGAGGGAAUUAUUGAAUGAGUUUUUGACCAAAAAACACUAUCAAUAAUCCCCUCUAAAAAAUUGAAAGGAAUUAUCGAAGGUAUUUUUGAUCAAAAAUACUUUUAAUAGUUCCAAAGAAAGGGUAAUCGACUGCUAUGCAAUAGCAGUAGAUUGCUUUUUCUUUCUUUUCAUUAAUUAAGCUCUAAAUAGGUCUAAAAGCUGUCAAUUUUGCUUACUUUUCCUUUUAAUUGUUAAAAAUUAAUCAUAUAAAUUAAUUAUCUAUUAUAUUUAAUUUUUAUUAUUAUUAAAUUUAUUAUAGUUAUAUUUUAAUUAUAAACUUGUGUGAAAAUUAAUUAAUUUAUUUAAUAUUUAUAUACCAAUAAUUAUAUAUAAAUUAAAUUAUAUAUAAUUAAAUUAUAAAUAUUAUUAAACUAAUUUAAACAUUUAUGAAAUUUAGAUAAUAAUUCAUUAAUUCAGUAUAAUUUAUAAAAAACCUAUAAUGAUAUGAAUUUUAAUAAUUAAAGUUAUUAGAUAUUAUAAAUUAAUAUUAUUAGUAUUAGAAUAACUAUGCAAUGCAAAUGAUAAUAUGUUAAUGCACAUAUUUUAUUUUUUUAUUUUUUUAUUUAGAAAUUUUAUUAAUUUUUUUAUUUUUAAUUUAAAUUUUGAAGAAAAAAUUUUUUAUUAUAUUAAAGAUUUUUUAUAAAUAUUCCAACACACUGGUAAUAUUUAAAAAAAUCUUCUCACCUAGGGAUUUCGUAAAGCAUCAUUACUUGGAAUACUUUUAGAAUCCCAUCAUUGGAUAAAAUUUUCUUUUUCCUUAUUUAUAUUACUGAUUCUUAAUUUAUUAAUUAAUUUUUAUUAUUUUAUUAAAGAAAAGAAAACUUAUCUUCUCAUCAAAAUUUAAGGGAAUUAUUAAAGGUAUUUUUUACCUGAAACACCUUCAAUAAUCCCCUCAUAAAAAAUAAAAGGGAUUACUAAAAUAUUUUUUUGCAGAAAACACCUUCAAUAAUCCAUUCUAAAACACUAUAGGGGAUUAUUGAAGGCAUAUUUGGCCAAAAACGCCUUCAAUAAUCUCUUUAUCAAAAUUUAAGCUGAUUAUUGAAGGUGUUUUCUGCAAUAAUCCCCUCUAAAAAAUUUAAGAAGAUUAUUGAAUGCGGUUUUUUGCCUGAAAUAUCUUCAAUAAUCCUUUUUGCAAAUAGUGACAUUUUUUUUAAGUAAACGCCACUAUCGUGAAAAAAUGGCACGACUAAAAUUUUUUUUCAAAAUUUAAACCCCCUCUUUCUUCUCUGUAAUUUCUUUUUUUUCCUAGCUUUUUUCUUAGAAGAGAAUGGUGAGAAAGAAAAUUCAAGUCAAGAAAAUUGACAACUUAGCAAUGAGGCAAGUGACUUUCUCAAAGAGGAGAUGAGGACUUUUUAAGAAAGCUCAUGAGUUUUUCACUUUUUGCAAUACUGAGAUAGCUCUUUUAAUCUUUUUAGUCACUGAAAAACUCUUUAAAUACUCAAGCAUAAGGUUGCUCUCACUUAUCUCAUAUAUAUAUAUAUAUAUAUGUAAAUGCUUUGUCUUGAUUUUUGCUCUAUUUCUGUUGGUUUAAUAUAGAAAUCUUUGCUUACUGUUUGAUUUAAUAUGUUGAAUGUGCUUGGGUGAGUGUGAGAAGAAGUGAGAAACGUAAUUGUUUUAAAAGAAAAUCUUUCGAAUCAAGAGAAUUGUAUAAAAGUAUAAAUUUAUGAUAAUUGAAGGUACUUGAAUCUUGUAUUCUAUUACAAAAAGAACUUCUUUUAAUAAUUUGUCAGAAGCUAAGGGGUUUUGGGGUAAGAGGCCAUGGUUUCACAUAAAUGUUUGUAUGAUAUUUAUUGAUGCUUAUUCAUACUUUCCUGAACCUUGUUUAAGUCAUAUUUUAUGACUAACCAGCUGCCUUAUAAGAAUUUUAUGCUUUCCAUAUAUCUUUCCUGAUGCAAAUUACAGCAUAAACUGAUAUUUUACCUUUCACUUUUCUUAUCAGAACCUGAUCUGCUGUCAUUUUCAUUUUCUCUCCAACCAAACUGCUUUUAAUUUCAGUUUUCUUAAUUGAAACUUGUUAGAAUUUUAGGUUUGCUACACUCUUUUUGAAUGUUCUUUAAGGUUUUCAUAAUAAAAUUUACAAAUUCUCAUGAUUUCCUUUUCAAAUUCUAUAAAAUUCAUGUUGAACUCAAAUCUGGUUUCAAAACUGCAUACCUAACCUAUCUUCAGUCUUUUGAUCAAAACUCAGUGAAUUCUAGGUUGAUUUACUUCAAAUUUGUUUCCUAGAUUCCUAGUUCAUAAGGCUAUAAUCCAGUAAAAAUUCAGCCUCAAAUUCCAUUCCUACAAGUACAAUUAAUUCUUCAAAGUUAAGGUUGAAUCCAGAAGACAAAAAUGAUCCAUACAUGAUGAUCCUCUCUCUUUCUAGGUGUUCGAUUUGAUUCUCUCAUACUUUACAUUCUUAGUUUUACAUGUUUACUCGUUAUUUUUUAAUUGAUUGCAUUUAUUUUUAUGAAUUCAUUUGGUGUUUAGAUAGAUUUAGUUGUUAAUGCUCUAUUUUUCUCUGUUUUGAGUGUCCUCGAAUUGUUAGUUCAUUAAGCUGGUUUUUCUCUAUUUUGCUACCAUUUUCUUGUUGAAUUUUGUAGCAAACUUGAUUGAUGAAUUGUUUCUUAGCUCAUUUCAAGUUCAUUUUCAUUAUAAGCUUCUAGAUCUAAUUUUUUUCGUUCAACAACUUAGUGAGUUUUGAUUAAAUUUCACUUUAUAUUUUAGUGGUUUCUAGUUAAUUCUUGUAUUUUCUUGCACUUUUUGUUCUUCAAAUCAGUUUUCCUUUUAGUUCUUUAAUUGAUAUUUUCAAUUCCAGUUUAUGAUCACUUGUUUUAGCAUCAAUUAGAUGUUGAUUAAUUAAUUCAUGUUUGGUUACAAGUUAGUUGUUAGUUGCAGUUUUGUGUUCUUUCAUUACAUUGUACGAUUUUUCUUCAACUUUUGCUUUUCAAAUUGAUUUCUCAUGAUGUUUUUUUAUAGAUCUUUAAAAUUUCAUCUUGUUUUGAAGCAAAUUUAAAGGAACAAAAAUGAAAAUUCAGAUUUAAUAUACUGGUUUUGAGAUGUAUUCUAUUUCAAUUAUAUGUGUGUGUUUAGGGUUGGAGUUGGAUUUCUUUUGAACCAAUUGCUUUAAAGUUUGGGCUAUUGCACAUGCAAUGUUGAUAACUUAUUUGUAGAAUAAUUUCCUUUAUUUAAUGUAUCCUAAAGUUGAUAUGUGUUAAGAUACUCUUAUUUAUUUGAAUAAAGAUCUAAAUGUGGCCAAAGGGCUAUUUUAUCCCAAAAGUCAAGGAAUUUGGGCUUUUUCCAUAAAUUGGUAUGAUUGAAAAAGGUAAAAAAAGGAUGUUCUGGCUUCAAGCUUUUAAUGUUGAAACAAGAAAUUAAGUUAAUUGUUUUAGUAUGACCUAUUCUAAAAAAUUUAGUUUUAGGGUUCAAUCUAAUUAUUUUGUCACACCUAUAAAUCACAAUCAUCUUGCUAUUAACUAUUGAGUUUGGGAGUUUUAUGCAAUAUGCCCUUUGUGUUUAUAUCUCUUUCAAUCAGAAACUUUUUUGUUGAUGUCAUCCCCUUGAAUCUUAUUCUUCUUCUACUUUUGUAUCAUAAAACAACAUGGCUAGCAAUAUUUUACAUAUGUAUACCAAUUGGAUAUGCACUCGGAUGUGUAUAGGGUGGAAUAGUAAGUUUUCUUUUCUAGCUUUUUUAUAGGUAUUUGUUAAACUGAUCUCCUUAAUUCCUUCAUAGUUUAAGAAUAAAAGAACCAUACUUAUCUCAAAUAUGUCAAGUUUUAUUAUUGUCCAUAUUUUAUGACGCUCUAUGCUUUGCCCAUACGUUAAUCUAAGAUAACUAGCUGAUAGGUUAACAGUCAUUUAAAAUGGCAUUUCGCAUUUUGGGUGGAAACCAUUGUGAUGCUUCUAUUUGCUAUUCUAGAUUUUAUUAUGAAGCCUUUGCAGUUGAAAGGUGCAUAUUGUAGACCUAUCAACUUGGAUUGAUCCUCUAUACUUUUUCUAAUUACUUUUUAAUGAUUCCAUGAUACAGUUUUUGCUGCUGCUAAGUUUAAAAAAGCAUUGAUCUCUAUAGACACAACUAUACCAUCAGUUCAAGGUGCAGCAUAGUUGAUUUAACUAUUACAAAAUUUGUAUUUUUCUCUUGAAACUUUGUUGCAUGGUCAUUUUAGUUUGAAGGAUUGGUUUAUUUCCCUCUUGAAGCAUUUGAAUCCAUUUAUUUUUAUGAAUUUAUUUACGAGCUGAAAAUAUGAUUUGAAAUGGUUUAUCUUAUAAACUUCAUGGAAUCAAAUAAUCUUUAUCUUUUUCCAAUACAAUCAAACGUGAACUUGAUUGAAGAUCUAUCUCUUAGCCUUUUGUAUAUUCUCAUUCUUUCAAAUUAUAUGGCACUGCAUUUCAAGUCUAGCAAUUUCAUAAUGAAAUAUGCAAAAGGGAAUAACUAUGAUUAUGAAAGGCAUUUUCAUGAAAUGCAUUCAGAGAGGGAAUGUACAUCAUUUUGCCUUGUGCAUUUAUCUUGAUCAUUGGCCAAAAAAUAUAUCUUAGUUUGUUGCUUUGGUUAAAUCUAUUUCUUUGUUAUUUUUGCAUGUAUGUAACAAUGAGAUCUUAUAUAUCUUCUUUGAUUUUAUCUUGCAUUACAAAUUUUAUGGUACUUUUUAUAGCUUACCUAGUGACAUUUUUCAAUUAGGAUGAAAUAUAAAGUUGUGGAGAAGAUAAAUGAAAUAUAAUGUGAUACAUUUCUAACAGCACAUUUUGAGGUUCUUGGAGAACUAUUCUCUUUAGCAAUAAAAGCCAAGAUGAGGAAUGGGUGUUGUAAAGCUCUACUCAAAGCAAGUACAAUUCCUUCCAUGGAGUCUGUUGAUGGGCAAAAGGAAAACAAAUGCAAAGUGAAAUAUUAUUGUAUGUAUUAAACUUUGUGUUACAUAUAUAUUGGAACAAAUUAUGUAUUUAGAUAUUUAAAUAUUUAUAAUAUUCAGUUCAUGAAUUUAAAUUCAUUUUUAUUUCUUUUAACAAUUUUUAUUUAAUUAUAAUAAAUAUUAAAAGAAAAUUAAAAAAAAAGUAAAAGUUUUGAUUUAGCGGCAUUUAUAUUUAAAAAUGCCACUAAAUGUUGAAUUUAGUAAUGUUUGUAUUAGAAAAUGCCAUUAAAUUUAGUGAUGUUUUUAUUACAAAUGUUGUUAUUUUUAGCAUUUAACGAUAUUUUUAAACACAAAUGUUGCUAAAUUAGCAACAUUUUUUUUUGCUACAAAUGCUACCAAAUUAAUGAUGUUUUUUAUGAUAAAAACGUCAUUAAAUUACUGGCAUCUCAAAUAUACAAAUAUCGCUAAAACAGUGACGUUUUUUAGAUACAAACGUUGCUAAUAUAGCGGUAUUUUAUAAAAAAUGCUAAUAUUUUUCGCGACGUGUGUAUAGCCAGCACUCUGACUAGCGUUUUUCGUAAACACACUUGAUAGUCUUAUGGGGUGCUACCCAUAAAAUCCUACAACUUUCUUACAUCUUUUUUAUACCUAAACCUGUAGAGACUUUACCUAUUUAUAACCAUACAAACUUACUUAUUAAGAAUCUCUUUUCUUUUAGAAUUCUUCUUCUGCAAGUCAAACUUGCCUAUUAAGAAUCCAUUUCCUUUUAAAAUUCUUAAGAAUUUAUUUCCUUUUAGAAUUUUUUUUUUUGUAAAUCUUCUUGUCUAUUAAGUAAUAUCUAACAAAUCUCAAACAAAUCUCUUAUGAUAUUUGAGUAAUUAUUCCUAACAAUCUCUAUCUUAACUUAAAUUUCAUUAAAUCAUCUGUCUUCAUGCUAGAUAUAUUUAGCUCUAUCUACAAUAAAAGUUUUACAAAUAUUUUUUCUUACGUGCCUUUAUGCUUCAUGCAAAUCGAUCUUUAAAAUGCGAACUUGAACUUUUUCUUUGAAUCGAGCUCCUCUAAGUUUACCUCUUCUCAUGUCUUGAACCAUGCUCUAUUCUUUCCACGAACCUCAAUCCUUGAACCUUACUCAUUUUUUUCCACGAACCUUGCUCUGAUACUACUUGUUAGGCUAAAAAGCUCCAAUUUAAUCACAUUAGCGAAAGCAUAAUCAAAUAAUCAAUCAAUCACACAAGAGACAAUAAUUUAAUGUGAUUCAAUCUAACCGACCUACAUUCAUGGAUAAGAAACAAGAUCCACUAAUUAUAAAGAAUUACAAACAUACAUCAAAAUACAUCAACCACUUAAUAAUUAAUAACCAUAAACCCCCUCAAUCUCUUCUAGUCCUAUGGAGUAUUCUCAAUCCAAACAAACACAUAUUCAUAUGUAUCUUUUCAACACAACUAAAUACAUACCCAUAUACACUUUUACAUCAUACUUAUAUAAACCUUCUUAGUCUCUUCUAAUCCACUUACAAACAAAUAUGCACACUCAUAAAACGUAAAUCUUCAAUAGUCUUAUGGGGUGUCUACCCAUAAAACACUACAACUUUUUUAUAUCUUUUUCUCAUAUUUAACCCUGCAGAGACUUCACAUAUUUAUAAUCAUACAAACUUAUCCAUUAAGAAUCCAUUUCCUUUUAGAAUUCUUCUUCUACAAGUUUUCUUAUCCAUCAAGUAAUAUCUAAUAAAUCUCAAAUAAAUAACUUACAGAAUUUGAGUCAUUAUUUUCAACACUAUGUAAAAUGAAAGCUAUCAACGAUUAGCUUUCUAGUACAUCUUUGGUGCAAAUUUCAGAAUAAAUACCUUUGCAGUAAGAUUGCACACAAUUUGCUGUAGAUGGGGACUCAUCCCAACCUCAUCUCGAAUGCUAUCCAUUCCUAUCCCUACUAUAUCCUCUAUAGUUUAUUUAUUAAUUAAAUUUGUAAGUUUCCCAGGCUGAAUUAAGCAGAUAAUUUAGUCACAAAUUAUGCUUAAAAAUUUUAUGUUGUUAGAAAGAAAACUAAAAGGAUUAAAUGGGACGAAAUGAAUGAAGUUUCUCUUCAACAUACAAACUAUAAGCACAAUAACAAUACAAUUACAAAAACCAAGUAGUAUUUCAGCAUCUUAUGAAGAAUAUAAGCACGGAAGAAACCAGAGCAACAAUCAAAUAAAGAUAAAAUAGAAACACGAACAUGCAAUAAGAAUGCGACGCCACAUAGACAUAAAUAAGAUAGCAUAAUAAAUUUAAAAAAAAGACAUGGAUAUGAUAAAACACGAUAAUAAAAAAAUUUUUAUAUAUUUUUAUGUUAAAAUAUUCAAUGUAUAUGUAAAUAUCAAUUUUUAAUUUUUUUCAAUUUAAAAUUAUAUUUUAUAAUAUAUACAAUAUUCUUAAUUAUAUAAAAAAAUUAUUUUUAAAUACAUACAAGAUAUUAAUUAUUUCAAAAUAAUGAAAUAACAAUAUAGCUCAAACAAUGAAAUAAUGUAUUUAAUUUUUUUGGAAGUGCGACAAGUUAUAUUACUUUCUAAUUUCAUUUUUUUUUUUUACUUUUUAGUGUAAAAAAAAAAGCCAAAAAUCAUGUUUGGUCUACUAAAACAUGCCUACCCCACCCAUAAGACACCCAUACAAUCCGUUAUAUUUCUUUUUCCUUUCUUUCCAUCUUUCUUUUUCUUGCUUUUUUUCUUUAUUAUUAUUUUCUUGUUUUCUUUCCUUAGGUCCUACCGGUUUUUGACAACCUCUAUGUCAUAUCAUCACUAUCGGCCGUUGCCCAUCGAUAUUGAAAAUUUAUUUAAAAAUUGUCAAUAAAUUCAUCCAACCUUUUUCUUUCUUCUUAUCUAACAAGAUUAAAAAAAAAAAAAUUGGAAAAGCAUAGAUCUAAAAAAACUUGUCAAGAUGGUGUGUAACUAAAUUUUUAUUUUUUUAUCAUUUCCUAGCUUGGUCGGUAUUUAUUUUACUGUUUCGAUUGUGUGUUUGUGUCGAACACGAGUACAGCAUCGGCACAAAAAGCGUAGCCGCAUGUCCGUGCUUUGUAGACAUACAGUAGGUGAAGCCAUAAGGCGUGAGACCAGAUCGCUCCCUUCUCCUCUCUCUCCUCCUCUGCUAUGUCAUUGUAGGUGCUAUUGUUCUUUUAGCUCACAUAUCACUUCUAAUGAGUUGAAGUCACCUAAUUUAUUCUCAGUUUUAAUUCUUUUUACAAACAUACGAUUUCCAUUUUAACAUUUUAUUCGCUUCAACAAAAGCAAAACACCUCUUUAAAACAUUUUUAGAAAAUUUUGCAAAAAUUUAGAACUUUAAAGAAAUUACACCUCUUCUUGAAUCAAAACUUUCAACCAUGAUAUGACACUCAAUUUCUUCUAAGUUGAUAAAGAAAACCGUAAAUAAGAGAAGUUGCUAACUAGAAAAAUUCCAACGCACCAUAGAAAGGUAUAAAUUAAAUAACAAAAAAAAAUUAAUAACUAGCAAUUACCAUGUAAAUGGAAAGUAUCACAUGCUUUCAAGCAAGUUUUACUAUUAUACCAAGAAAUCUAUAUAUAUUAUUUUAAAAUAAAUUGUAAAACCAAAAAAAAAUAAAAUAAAACAUACAUGAAGCUCGAAAAAGAGAGAAGCAAUUAAAGUUUCAAGAGACUUAAGAGAAAAUUUUCCCACGAUUAAUUUUAAGAUCAAUUUUAGCAUUUCAUAUCUAGCUAGAACCCUAAUUAAUUUUAAUACAAGUAUCUAUGGUUUUUUUAAAAUGUUUAACUAUAUAAUUAAAAUCACAUACUCACUAUUAAACCAUGAUUUUAGUUCAACUAUUUAGAAUUGCUAUAGAAUCUAUUUUUCUACCCCUAACUUUUAGUUUCUACAAAAUUAGUCUUUUUAUUUUAAACACAAAAUGAGACAUAUUUUUAACUUAAAAAUAAUUUUGCUUUUUUAAAAUUAUAGAAUUCGAUUAAAUAAAUACUCAAGACUUAAUUAUGCUAAUUCUAUACUAAAAAAAAAAAUAGAAACUAAUACAAUAUAAUAAACAUACUAAAGUUUUAAUCACUCUUAAAUAUGAAUCCUAAAGAUGACUGAUAGAAAUUGAUAAUUUAUAAAAAUAUUCAAAUCCAAUUAAAUACAUAUCAAUAAUAUAUGUUUCCUAGCAAAAAAAUUACUUACAUUAAUUACAUUAAUCUUAAUUAUAUAUUUGAAUUUAUAUGGCUUAUGGAAUAGAGGUUUCUACUUGUGUUGGUGUAUUAUCACUUUAUGAUUUAAUUGAUAGAUUAUAUGCACUCACUUUGACAAAAUGAUAAAAUCCAAUCUUGGGGUAUGAUUGUAUUGUUACAAUCAAAAUGAUAAUUAAUUAGAAAAUGAUUGCGUCAUCUGUUUUAUGCAGCAUCUAUCAACUAUCAGGACGGAUCUACAAUGAGGGCAGUGGGGGCAGCUGCCCCCACUGAGAUCCUAAUUUUCCUUAAAAAUUAUUACAAAAAUUCUUAAAAAUUUUAAUUCUUGUAUAGUUUGACGCUACUAAAAAUGAAAAAAUAUAUAUGACACUUUUAUAAAUAUUUAAAAGAAUUAAAUUAUAAUUGUAAUAUAAAUGACUUAGUUUAUAAAAAUAAUAGGUCACAUGUAUAAAUAUAAAUAAAAUAAAUAUUUAAAAACAAUUUUUUAUUUAAAGACCAUCAUUUCAUUUAAAAAAACAAUAAAAGUCAAAUAAAAAGUGAUCUUUCUACUCCAUUUAUAAUUUUUUCCUUCGUCCAAACCCAUAAAAAUUACAGUAGAUAGAGAACAGAAGCAGAGAAAUAACAAGAAGACAAAGAAAAGCCAAUAAACCAAAAAAACAAAUUAAGGAGUGAAUACUUUUUUUUCUUCCAUCAAUAUAUUUGAGUAAGUAAUUACUUUUUUUUGGAUUUAUUUUUGUGUUUAUUAUCAUUUAUUUAUGUGAUAGAAUAUUUGUUUACUAUUUAAAUUUUUAAUAUUGUCAAAAUAAUUUGAUUUGGGGCUUAAUUUAUAAUUUAUUUAUAUUUAUAUUUUUAUAUUAUAAGUGGAUUAAGGUCGAAGAAUAUUGUACUUUCUUAAAUUAAUCAGUGAAAUAAUUUAAUUUUUAUGAAAUUAUUUUUUAUUUAUAAAAUUAUAUUAUUUAAUUAAAAUUCAAAAUACAUAAUAAACUAUGCAUGUUGAUUUUGUUUGCAUAAUUACAUUUCAAUAUCUAAUAUAAACUAUAAUAUUAUCUUCUUAUUUCUUAGAAAUUAUAUAAACUAAAUUAUCUAAUUUAAUUAAUUGAGAAAAAAUAUCUUAUUAAAAAAAAAUCAAUUUUAAAUGAAUCAUUCGAAAUCAAUAAUAGAGACAACAUUUUACAAACAAAUUCAUGCUUAAUUAGAUUUAGAUGAUUUUCAUCGGAUCCAAAGUUAUGAAAAAAAAAAUUUAGACUAUCAUCUCGAUAAAAUAGAUAAUGUUUGAAAAGUUUAUUUUCACAUUGAGAAACCUAUAAAAAAUAAUUAUAAUGUGUUAUCUUUGUAUAUAAACAAAAUGAUUUUUUAUGCAUUUGAGUUCAUUAUAUUUUUAUAAUUUUAUAGUUAAUAUUAUUUAUAUUAAUUAUCUCCACUGAACGUAAAUUUUAAAUUCGUCCCUGCCAACUAUGGUUGUCUUGAGAGGUUAUUUGAUCUGAUAGGCAAUAGUUGUGGUAGUAAAAUGAUGAAAUUGCUUUGUGUCCUGAAAUUGAACUUCACUUAUAUCAUCCAGACUAGUAUAAUUAACUGUUCCAUCAUCUUUCUAAUCGGUAAAAAUCCGUACACUUGUUCUUGAUUUUUUUAAGGUGUUCUUAUGAUUUAUUUUGCGGGCAAUGCUUGGAAUCCAAUGAAGCAUGGACUCGGACAUGUUUACGACAAGAUACGGAUAUGGCAACAUCAUGACAAUUUCUAAAAAAUAAGAACAGGAAUACAGCAAGACACGAUAAUAAAAAAUAUAUUUUAUAUAUUAUAGUCAUCAGUUAAGAAUAUAUGAUAGAUAUUGGGCUGAUUUUUAAAAAACAAUUACCUUUUGUAAAGAAAAACUAAUGUAAAUAUGGCAAUAAAAGAACAUAGGAUGUCGUUACCCGCAUGACAAUUUUCCAACAUGUUCUGUAUGUAUGUCGGAAGCGUUAAAGUGUCAAGAACACGAAUACAACAAGGGUACGCAGGAAGUUCAAACGUAAGAGGUACAAAAUAUUACCUUGUAUAUUUAGAAGCUUGAGUGCUUCCUGUGUUUCCUCUGAAUUUAUUUUAUGUUCACUUGAUAAAAGUGAUAUGUUUCGGCUCACACGCAUUCGGUUAAUAAAAAUGAUAUAUUUCCGUUCACGGGCAUUCGGAUAGGUUGCAUGAUUUGUGAGACAACAUAACUUUCCAGCAUUUAAAUAUUUAUGGUGUCUUUUUGUUUCAAGUUUUGAUACUCAAGGACAUUUUAGAACCCAGUUCUGUACUGAAACAGAAUGUGAACAUGGAAAAUAAAGAAAGAAAAUGAAAAUUACCAACAGAAAACAAAAGUUCUGAUACAAUGGGAAAAUUUUUAAGCUUGUAAGGGAUGGUUUUCCUCCGUAAGAGCAUGAUACAUGCUAGAAUUGUGAUCCACUGUAGCCAGUUGACAAAUACUGAUAUCCCCAGUUCAGUUGUUUGAACGUAGCAAUAACUAUGGGUUGCAUAAAAAAUUCAAGCUCCAAAAAUUGCCUAAAAUAAGCUCUGAUGUUUUUUGCGUUCAUUUUGAAGGAAGUAUUAUGCAGGGUUUGCAUAAUAUAUUAGACAGUUAUUGGAGUAGCAUACUGAUUCAAUUUAGACUCCUUUGGAAACAGGCCUUUUUCGCAAGCUCCUUUCACAUGAAAUUGAGCUGAAAUUCUGCAGAAUAAAUUGAGAAUAGUUAUUAUAAGCUUCUUGUGUUCUUUUUUGUCAAGACAGGACAUACCCCUGAUUUGAUGAUUGAAAUGAGCUCCUCAAACCAAUACUUGAGCUCAGCAGCUGAAGCACUUUGUCUCCAUCAACGUAGAUGUUUCUUUAUGCGGAGCCAGAAUAAUAAUAAAGAUCUAAGAAGCAUAUCAAAAUGUUUAGUCACUAUUAUAAAUAGUUAAAACUUCAUACAUAAAGGCAAACAGUUUUCAAAGCAAGUAUAAAAGAAAACCACAUGAAGCUGUGUUGCUUUACAUUGUUUAUCAUACAACCUCAGAUUCUUCAAAAGCUCAAUCCAGGCAAAGAUUUUAACUCGUAGCUCCACCAAUCUGAAAGAAACGAUCAUCGAAAAAACAAAGGCUGCUGAUCAAUGCUUUAAGGAAAGGAUAUUUUAUGCAUCAAUAUGAAGAAUUGAGCUACAGUGGAAUGAAACUUCCAAACAUUAUUGCACAACAGAACAAUAUUACAAAGAAUUUUAACUUUUACAUUUAGAAUAUCAAUUUGGCCUUUACAGAAGGUCUCAGCUCAGCCAAUUUUACCUCCUUGAUAAAGUUCUUACCCUAUCUCAUCAUUUAUGCUUGCACCCCUGACACGGAGGAGGAAAGAUUUCUGUUGUAGGAAAGGAGCUGCUGCACUAACAACUUCGAAACCACCAAUGGAUUGAAGUUAUUUCGUCCUGUCAGACUAGUUGCACAACAACAGAUUUUUGUUUAGAAGCAUUUGGGAUAAAAAUGGAAGUACCAAAAAAGGGGAGAAAAAAAAAAAGCGAAAGGAAUCCUAGCAAGGCUGGAAGUUUUCAUUAUGCUAAGUAUCAUGAUUUCUUAUAAUUUAUGGUUUCUGAUCAUAAACAUGGAAUCUAUAUACUCAAGAGUAUGAUACAUGGAUUAUGGAUGGUGGAACAUGAUUCAAGGAUAUGAAAUGUUCAAGGCACUAAUUGCUGGUUCUGGAGGAGCACCUUUUUCAGAUUAAAAGACAAAAAUAUUGUACAUAAAACAUAAAGUACAAAUGAUUUUCCUUUGCUAUAAAAGGAGAACGUUUUAAAAAGAUUUCAGAACCCUGGAAAUAAGUAAUAACUAAGUAAUAACUUACCACUUUCAUAGGAAACAAUGUUUCCCUUGGGGAAUUUUUGCGCCACUGACACUGUCCUCACUCACAAGUCUGGCAAUAAAUCUUUAAUAUCUCAUCAUUUAUAACAAAUUGAGUUCUCAAUGGGAUUGAGGCAGAGAUUUUGGUACUGACUCAUUCAGGCGGCCAUAUGGUCAAUUUGACAGCAGUGAAGGCAAUCCAUACUUCUGCUAAGUAAACAGCAUUCAUCUUUUUCAGGUCUUUCCAUCUGCUUUUGCAAACCACUUUGUGUGCUCCUAUAAAGGCACUACUCACUGGCCUCUGCAACUUCCAACUGACUGAAACUAAAAUUAGAUAUCAAAUUAAUCUUCACGCAUAUAAGAACAUAACAAGCAUUUAAUAAUUGAAACCAUUCUUGAAUGAUUCUGCAAAAAAAAUCAGAUGUCAAUGAGACAAAAUGAUUAAUAGAUAUAAACAUUUAACAUAUCUGUUCUGCUCUUGAAAUUGUCCCUCUACUAUAUUUAGUCCAAUUUUAAUUUUAAUGAAUUUCUAUUUUUAUUAAACAUGGUUUUUUUUUAUAUAUAUAUAUUUUCCAUUUCAAUGUAAAACAAAAAGCUGUGUGUAUAAGGGAUUGAACUAAUGAACCUUUAAUUAUGGAAUCGAAAAAACAAUAAUCAUGAAAAUAAAUCACUUGAGCACUUUAUUUAAUAGUACGUUAAAGUUCUUCAAAUAAGUAUCAUAUAAUUGCAAAGUGACAUGUACCUUAUUUCUUGGCGUUCCUUCCGUUAACAAAUUAACAUGAAGCUGCUUCAAACUUCAAUGUAAGGUAUGUGGGCUAUGUUAAGAAACAAGUAUUAAUUCCAAUGUAAGGUAUGUGGGCUAUUUUGGGCCACUCUUGACCUCCAUCUUUCUUGCAUCGUUCUUCUAGCAAUGGACAUCUAGAAAUUUCGAGUUGCAAAAGUGAGUCAAACAUCUCCUUUUCCGGAAGGAAUUUGAGCUUGGGACAACUAUGGAUGCCCAAUGAUUCAAGAGACUUGAGAUUUUGAAAGCCCUUGGAGGAUAGAGUUUCUAGGUUUGGAAAACCGCAGAUGGUGAGGGAGGUGAGAGUGCGGGGCAGAAGCAUUUCCUCACAUGGGAAUGACACCACAUCUAGAGAAGCACCGUCGAUGGACAAAUGUUUAAGGGAGGUUAGUUUGUGCAAACCCCACUCGAUCACUGAUUUGCAAAUAUUGGGUUGCCAGAUUUGAAGUGCAGUGAGAUUGGGAGGGAACCCCUCUUGUGGAAAUUAUAUCACACUUGGACACUCAAAUAUGAACAAUUCUCGCAUAGAGACGAUGUUGUGGAUGCAGUUGGGUAAGGCCUGGAGUUUUUCACACCCAGAAAGAUGAAGCUUUCUGAGUUUGGUGGUUAAUAACACACUUCCUGGGAAUGAAAUCAAACUCGAACAACGCCCAAUAAGAAUCUCCCCAAGAUGGUUGAGCUUGUUUAAUCCACGAGGCAAAGAAUUCAAAUGAUCGCAACCGUCGAUAGUUAUCAAUUCAAGGGAAGAGUUCUGUUCAAUAUCUUGAGCUAUGGACUCUAGUGCUGGGCAAUAAUUAAUCCGGAGGGAUUUAAGCCCCAUGGGUAACUUGCCAUUGGCUGACAAGGAUGUCAACUUUUCACAAGAAUAAAUGUCAACAUGUUGAAGACUAACAGGUAACUCGCCCCUUGAGGAUAAAGAUAUCAGAGACUUGCAACCUCCAAUUACCAAGUGCUCUAGAAGACGCGUGCAGUAGAUGUUGUUGUUUACUCCAUCCAGCAAUUACAGCAAAUUCUCACACAGCAUAAUGGUUAAACGUCUUACAUUUGGUGGCAAGUUUCCAUUUGAAAUUGAAAUCAAUCUUGGGCAUCCUUCAAUUCGUAGCUUCGUAAGGGAUCUGCAGCUAUGUAUGCUUUCUGAUAGCCUUUCUAGCCUUUCACAAUAUUGUAUGGUCAAAUGUUCAAUAUGACGAGGGAUUCCUAAUUGCAUAUGCUCUUCCUUCUCGUCCUCUGCACCUAUGGAAACAAGUCUUGAACAAUUGUGAAUUUCCAAAAAGCGAAGAGGCCUCAAAUGUGUUGAGAGUCUUUCCUGGUUCAGCCAUGAAGAAAUUAGCUCCUCAUAUCCACUUAUAAAAAGAUGUUCUACUUUUAUCAACCCUAACAUCAUCCCCUCCAUUGGAGAAGUGAAUUUUGAAAUGUUUGAAAGAGGGACUGUUUCCAUGAAUGAGCCAGAAUUUGUACAAUUAGUAGACACCACCUCUUGGCAACCAUCAAUUUUUAAGUCAGACAACUUCGGAAGGCUUGAGAGUGAAACUGCCAACUGCUCACAUUGUUGAAUCACAAGUUUCUCCAAUGAAGGAAGACAACUAGGUAGACUUCUCAGUUGUUGACACAAUUUAAUCUCUAGCUUAGUCAAGGAAGGAAGACGAUUAGGUAAACUUCCUAACAACUUGGGGCAAUUUGAAAUGAUGAGCUCAUGGAGGUGUUGGAAACUCCUUACAUUUUCAUCAACUUCACAGGGAUCCCAUUCCUCCCAUUCUGGCAUGCCAUCAAAACAUAAUCUCUCUAGUGACGGAAAUGCAUUAAUCGACAGAUCCUUUCCAAAAAAAUUAGCACCCACAUUUUUUACCUUACUCAUCCUCCGGAUAGAAAGCGAUUUUAGCGACAGUAAUCUUCCAACAGCUGGUAAUAAUGUGCAAUUUGGACAGUAAUCCAGAUCCAGAAUCGAUAGGUUUUCAAAUGAAGGAUCUCCAAUCCAAUUUGGGAAUGUUUCACCUCCAUAACAUUCGAUGGUGAGCCUUUCAAGCAUUUUAGCAGGUUGGAGUGAAUCCAACACGUCCUUGUGAAUUUCUUCUCCUGCAAAAUUAUAACUCCACUUCAAACCUAAAUCACGAAGGUUCGACUUACGACAUAACCCAGCCACCCAUGCAUCUUGAGUUUUGACAACAUUCUGCAAUUCUGAAAUAACAAGUCCACCCUUAAGAUUAGACAAAUUCUCCAUCUCCCUUAUCUUACGGCCAUUGUCUUGACUCACAACAAAAUUUGUCAAUGUUUGAAGAUUGGUUAGUUCACCGAUUCCCAUUGGCAUCAUUUUUAUCGAACGUGCACCUGUAAUGUCAAGAUGCCUUAGGUUAAUUAAAAAUCUCAUUUCAGAAGGAAACUCUUGAAGACGAGAACACCCCCGCAACAGCAAGGUCUCUAAAUUGUAAAGCUUGCAUAUUGAAUCCGGCAGAGUUUCGAUUAGAGUGAGAGAAAAAUUUAGAUAACGCAGAUGCACCAAAUCUCCAAUAAUAUUGGGAGACUCCGUUAGGUAGCACCCUUGUAAAGAUAACACCCUCAAGUAUUUAAAUUCUGGCAACAACUUACUGACAACUUGAUUAGAGAAAUUCCACCAACCUCCAGGCAUCUUCAACGGUAGGAAGGUUCUUAAACCCUUCUUUCCGUUAAAGACUUUUAAAUUUUUAAUUCCGUCUUUCCUGCCACCAAUGUAAGAUGAAUGCCGAGCAUGACUGGAAACGUUCAAUGCCUUGUCACCCUCCACUCUGAAGCAUAUAUCUUUGGCAACUGAUUGAGCCAAAUCAUUAAUCAGAUCAUACAUUAUAAAUCGAGACUCAUCCUUGUUGGAUACUUCAAAAAAUGACCUCCGUACAAGUUCUUGAAAGUACUCAUGACCCAAAUCUUCAUUUUGCUUUGUAGCUUCCACUCGCAGAAAGCCUUCUGCCAUCCAUAAUAAGACUAUUUCUUCCUCGGUAAAUUCAUAAUCUUUGGGAAGUAUGGCACAGUAAGCAAAACAUCGCUUUAGAUCUGCAGGAAGAUGAUGAUAGCUUAAUCGUAAAGAUGGAAUUAUGUUACUCCUCCCUUCUGGUAAAUUCCAAAUCUCACUUUUUAGUAUCUUUCCCAUUCACCGAAUUCCACCUUAUUGCGCAAAAGGCCUCCAAUGGUCUUAGCUGCCAAGGGCAAUCCCUUGCACCUCUUCACAAUCUGUACACCAAAUUCUUUUAAGUUCGGAUGCCCACUAAAAUCUUUUGCUCCUAAUGCAUGUUGAGUUAAUAUAGAAAAGCAAUCACCAUCUGACAACUCUGGCAGCUUGUAACCUGGGAUAGUACCCACCAUUAAUGAAACACUGUCACCACGUGUUGUCACAACAAUCGUAGCUCCUAUGCCAAAAGGGGAUAUUAGACGAGUCCAGUCAUCAUAGUUUUCAUGCCAAAGAUCAUCCAAAAUCAGAAGUAGUUUUUUUCCCUCCAGCUUCUUCUUCAGUUUUAUUUGAAGGUUAUUCAAAUCAUCUCCAACAUUAAAAGAUUCAGGACUAACUGAUUGCAAAAUUGAUUUCGUUAUCUCCUCCAUCUUAAACUCGUCAGAAACACAUACCCAUGCUUGAAAAUCAAAAUGCUUAACUACACGCCUAUCAUUGUGGACAAGCUGAGCAAGCGUUGUUUUGCCAGUCCCUCCUUUGCCAAUGAUCGGAAUCACAGAAAAUUUAUUGCUAUCAUCACUCCCAAAAAUCAAGUCAAGGAUUGUUUCCUUGUCUUUUUCCCGACCGUAGACUUGAGUUUCAUUCACCAAACAAGUGGUUGAUCGCCAUCCCAAUGUUCUCUUGGGCCUCCCACCACCAUUUUUCGCCAAAGCCAAGAGACUUAUAUCUACUUCUAAAUCUUGAAAUCUAGCAGUGAUCUCUUUUAUCUCGGUCAUCAUUUCCUUAUUAAAUGAUAAAUUGUUACCCCUGAACCAGGUAAAGAUAGCAUCAACAAGCUUUUGUAACUUCCAUGGGCGGUGAUCUUGAUUUUCCCUCGUUAACUUGAGUCUCAAAGCUUCAGUAACAUACUUAUCCAAUAUGUCAUCCACAUCGUAUGCCAAGUCUUGGAGCUGGACCAACCAACUCUUCACAUGCCCAUCAUUCAUUUCCUUCUCCUCAGCAUCAUUUAGCACUGCAUGAAUAUUGCGCAAUGUCUUUUCCAGCUUCUUGAGCUCCCCGCAAACUUCCUUCUCAGUUACAAAGUUGAGAAACUCAGAAGAGGCCAAAUUACUAAACAACCCUUCAAAGAAAACAGAUAAAGCAGCUUCAACGACGGACAUGGCUUUUGACCUGCAAAAACAGAGAGAUUAUGUGUAAAAAUCAUAUAGGGAUAAACUCAAAAAGACUUGAACUAGAAGUAGAACACAACCAACAACCCCACCAAUACUGAAUCUGAUCUUGGUAUAUUUCUCUGUGGCUUAUAUCUUCGCGGCAAUUUUUUCUAAUACUCCUAUUACUAAUUAAGAAAGUUAAUGGACUCCUUAAUAAGAUUAUUUUGUUAGUGAGUUGUUACGGUUCACAUGGUUCUACGAUAAAAAAAUCAACAAAGGUUAGGCAAAUUUUAGAUAAAAUUUUUUUUGGUGAAAUUCGUGACUAAUGUAUCCUCUGUUAGGUUUUUGUUCUGUAUUCAUAUUUAUUUCUAUAUAUUCUAGUUUUUCUAAUUGUAUGCACAAUAUAUAAUUCAAAAGCAUUAUUUGAUUUUUUUUUUAUGACUAAUAAUUCCUUCUCAUUAAUAUGGUAAUUCUGUUCUUUUAGAGUACAUGUUCCACAAGUAUAUCUGGGUAUCAUCUUCUUCAAUAUAUUUUAAUAUACCUUCUAAAAUUUUAAUAUCUUUUUUAUAAAUUGAUUAAAUUGUUGGAUGUUGACAUAAGUACAUCACCCACACUAAUGAUUUGCCUAAUCCUAUGAUGGUUGGAUUCCUAAAUUUUGUGCCCCCACGUGUUGUGUAGUUUGCCUUAAAGUUUUGAUUAUUAUUCCAAUCAGACUAUUUAUUCGUUUAUAGAUUAAAAUUGAAAUAUCAAGAACGUUAGGUAAUGUAUUUAUUUUUUUUCAAAUUUUUUUUUAGAAAUUAAAACCAAAAUCGUGAUUUGUAACUUGCAAGGUGUUUUCAAAAACUAAAAAUAAAAUUUAAAAUUUUUUUGAAAAUUAUUAAAAGUACAAAAAUAAUAUUUCUAAUAUUUUGAAAAUAUUUUUGACAUUAUUAUCAUAAAUAUUAUUUAUCUGUUCGAUUAUAAUGCUCGUUAGAGUGAAAUUUUUGAUGUUUGAAAAUUAAAAAAUAUAUAUUAUUAAUAAGAUUUAAGCUUACAAUUUAAAAUUUUAAUCACUUUCUUUAAUAAAUUUCUCUUCUCAAAUUUUUGGAAAAAAAUUAUAUCAAAACACGUUUUAAAAUUUAAUAAAAUGAUAAAAACUAAAAUAAAAUAUUCAAAAACAAAAAAUUGGCAACUAUACAAAACCACCCUAUAUCAAAAUUCCAACUUUUUUUUCCUUAAAGUAAAUGUACUUGUGUUGAUUUGACAUAAGGGUAAAUCCAUUUUUACUAGCAAUUGGCUGACAAAGAAAAAAGUAGACCAUAUAUCAGAAAAAAAAAAUGUAUCAAGCAAACUUUAAAAAGCUUUAAAAGGGUGAAAAUCUUUGAUCUACCAAUAAUAGCAAACAAAUUGGAACUCUGAAAUCUGAAAAGAAAAACCACUUUUUAUAACACUCUGUUAUCAAAUGUUGAAAGUACCCAUUUAAUCUGAGAUUUUAAAUUUCAAAAGUUUUUGUUUAACUUUUAAUUGGACUAUAAACUGAUCAAUUUAAGUCCGAAUUAUUAUUUGUCUCUAAUUAGUAACUUUGGGUUUUAGUCGAUUAAUAGGGCUAACCAAUAGUCCAUUCUCCCUUCUUAUAAUAAACCAUUUUAUUUUAUUUCCCCUCUUAUAUCUUUUAUCAAAUUUUUAUAUAUUUUAUUAUUUUUAAACAAUUGAAACAAAAAUAAAAAUAAAAUAAAUACAAAAAAUUGAAAAAUAAAAAAAUAAUUAUGAAAAUCUGGAUAAACAAAAGUAGAUAAAUCAUAAAAUUUUUAAAGAAAUAUCCUAAAAAACAAGAAUCAAAUCAUUGAUUGGGCAUCUCUUUCUUUUUAGAUGCAACACUUUUUUUUGCCUCAUUUCUUUCAAGUUUUUCAUCUUAAUUGCAUUUUUUGUUAUCUCUUUGGAAAUUAUUUUAUCGGUAGAAUUAGUUUAUAUUAUCUUUAAUAGCCUUAAAAUAAUAUCUAUAAUAAACAUUUUUCAUUACUUUUUUAUUAUUUUAUUAUUUAAAUAUUAAAAAUUUUUAAUUUUUCAUUUUAAUAGCCUUAAAAUUUGAUUCUUGUUUGUCCCUCUUUGAGAAAGUCAAUUCUAAACCUCCUCCAAAAUUUUUCUUAAAAUCUAGAGGAAAUCUCAUCAUCUCUCUCAUUUCGAACCUCCAAAACACCUUCCUUAUCCAUCCAUAACCACCGAAGUAGCCUAAAACCCUGGUCAAAGCUUCCGACUUAUUACAAACCUCUAACUUUUGUGAAAACCUUGAAAAAUCUAAUCUGUCAUAGUCUGUCAAUAAGCAUACCCUACUGUCACUCACCACAUCACCUUGCCUUGUCACCUAAAUCCACAUCACUAGGCAUAUCAUCCAACCACAUCAUCUCAGCUAUAUCACCUUUCCAAAUCCAACCAAAACUCUAUCUAUGGUCAAAGUCCAACCAAAACUCUGUCCAAAAAGUCCAAUCAAAUCAAAACUCUACUCAAAGAGUCUUAAUCCAAUCAAAACUCAACCUUAAAAGCUACUGUUUUACCAAAACACUCUAAAAGAGUCCCGACACCCAAAUUUUGUUCGAAGAGUACAUGUCAGACUAAAAUUCUUUCAAAGGGCUAAGAUUCUUUCAAAAGGCUUAAUCUACCUCAAGCUCGAUCUUAACCCAUAAAGUUAUAGUCAAGAUGAAACACAGCUACACUAAACCCAACUCACAACCCCAGACCUAUAGUUGUCCUAUUGGAUCUUGUAUUAGGACAAUCUUCUCAGGUAUAAUUCUUAAAAUCUUUAGACAUCUUAGACCUCUUAUUAAAUUACGUGCAAGUGACAUCCUCCAUGACCAAAUAUCAUCUAGUCUUAGGCACACAUAACGCAAACCAUUUAGUUAUAAUUAGGACUUAUUUUCUAGUUAAAGACAGUGAAAAUUUUUGCAACGGAAACUCAUGUCUAGCAUGUGAUGUAAAAUCUUGUCACAUAGAUUAGAAAUAAAACGAUAUGUUCUAAAUAUGCCCUUGAGGCAUCUUAUUGAACUAUCAUCUAAGUAUGUCAUUUAUAAAAGAUCACAUUACAUGUUUCUUUGGUUAGUCUUUAUUGUCUUUGCAAUAGAACGGAAUGAACUACUUGAUUUUAAUACAAUUGUUUGACAACACAUUGUUUGCAUCAUUUAAUGAUUGAUAAAAAACUCAAGGUUGUCAUCCUACAAGUAUUUUUCUAGAUGCAUACGUGACAACACGAAACAUAUAAAUAGUUUAUACAAAUUGCUUGUCAUCAAGAAUAAAAAGGAAAGGCAUGCUCUUUAAUCCAUAAGCAAGUCAAGAUGUUGGUUUGACAUGGAUAAGUAAAGGCUAGGCUUAUCUCUAACAAGGUUUAGAGCAUUGAUUCCUCUAAUAUCUUGUUUACUAUUUUUGAAUUAAAUUUUUUGAUUAAAAUGAUUGUUACCUUGAAAUCAGUAUUGAUUCCUAAAAUAUAAAUAAAUUGAUUGACAAUUCAUAAUCAAAUCUUAGUUCUCAACAUUGAAAAGAGGUGAAACCCGCAUCGCUCACAUCUUUGUUUAAAAGAGCAUUUAAAAUAAUGAAAAAAUAAAUAAAGUUUUAAAGUUCUUCAGACAAACGUAAUAAUUGUCUAUGUUUUCACACAAUUUCUGUUUCAUAAAAAAUAUGCAAUGAUAAGCAAUUAUAGACACACAAUUUAAUCCAAUGAUUAAAUUUUAAGAAAUUCAAAAGUGUUCAAUUUUUUAAAAAAAUUUCUAAGUGAAAACUUUUCUAAAUUUCAUCAAAAUGUUGGAGAAUUUAGAAUAUUAUUUCAAUAUUACGAAUUUUCAUUUAUUUCUAUAAAUAAAAAUGAACAAAUUAAAUUGAUAGAAAAUUAAUUGAUAAAAUAAAAAAGGGAUAGAAGAGCUAAAAAUGUAAUAGAUAAUUGUAAAUGUAUUUUAUCACAUAAUACUUAAUAAAUUUUGGAGUAAGUGGGGAAUUUAACUGGUUAUGAAAUUUUAAGAAAGUUAGAGCAUGAAAUUUUUUUAAAAUUUUUUAUGUGAGUAAACAAUUUAAAAAGAUUAGAAUAUCAAAGAUUUCCACUUUAUUUCCAAAAUAACAAAAUUAAAGGAAAAAUGAUGAAACCUCUUAUAAGAAACGAACAUAUUUUCUUAAGAUCUAUUGAAGUGAAAAAACUAUUUAGAGGUUCGAUCAAAGUGUUAAAGAAAACAUAAGAAAAAUUUUAUAUUUAAAUAAUAAAUAAAGUAAUGAGAAAUAUAAGAAUAGAUACCAAUUUAAUUAAGACUAUUAAAGACAAUAUAAGAUUAAUUGAUAUCAUCUUUUGAAUGGUCACUGUGAGAAUGUUAAUUACAUCCCUAUAAACUUAAUUCUGUAAUGUAAACCAAAACUUAUUCUUUUAAGAUCUUUUAGUCAAACUUAAAAUCAUUUUAAAAGAAUAAAUUUAUUUAAGUAAUCAAUCACACCUAAUCAAAAAAAUUUUGAUAAUUACUUUAUUAAUAUUUAGUGAUCAAAUUCACAAAUUCUCAUGUUAUAACAGAUAUAAUCAUCAUUGGUUUAAUAAUUAUAAUAUUGCUUACUAAUUGAAAAGAGAAUUUCUCAAUAUAGACAGGGAAAAAUGAUUAUUCUGAUCUUUAAUGAUUUUGAAGCAAGAAGACUUGGAUCUUAUGAAUUACAUUGGGGUCGAUAGUUAUCGUUUCUCCAUUUCAUGGGUAAAAAUUCCAUCAAGUGAGUUUUAUUUCUUCAAAAUAAAUGUGUUUGAUAUGAUUCUCAUGCUGAUUUUUUACUCUCAAAAUUAAUUUAUCCAAAGUGAAGAGAUUUGGAAGCGUUAAUAUAGUUAGCAUCAAUUUUUAUAAUACGCUCAUAACCUGAAGAAGAGGAAAAAUAGCUCUUCGAUCAAAAGAAAUUUUGCCGUUAACUCCUAAAUUUCUUGCUACACGAGUUAAGUCCGAAAAUUUAGAAGAAUGAAUUCCAAUAGCUCCUCUUCUGGUAGCAAUGAUACCUGAUGUAUACUAAAAAUUUAAACGUAAUAGUCAGAGAUAAGUAUUCAAAAUUUCAAAGCAUAAAGCAAAAUAUGUGUUCAGCAAGCAUUACAAAAUAAAACAGUAACAAGAACUUGAUGAAGAGGAAAAAAGCUUCUCGCAUAAAAGAAAUUAUGUCGUUAACUCCUAAAUCUCCUCGUCCAAAAUUUAGGUCAGAAUAGAUAUUGCCGACUCGUGAAGAAAGUAGAAUUUCACGGUCGUACGUACUCAGAAAGAAAAUGAAGUUUGCCGCUCAUUUAUAAUGACAUACAGCUGUUAAGAUAAGGGAAAAUCGAUUAUUUAAAUAUCUUAUGUAAGCAAUGAUGUAAAAAGUUCUAUUUUAAAUGGCUAUAUUAAUUUAAAAUUUAAUUUAAUUAAUUUAUAAAACUAUUUUUAAAAAAUAACACUCAAAACAUUUUUUUAAUUUCAAACGACAACUUUUUUUAUAAAAAAUUUUGUUUAUAUUUGGAAUUUAUACAGUUAAUUUUUUUGUGAAAAAAAUUUUAAAAAUAAGAGAAAUUAUUUAAAGUUAGCCGAUAAUCUAUAAAAAAAAUUACGAAUCAUUUAAGAUUUUUUGAAUUUACAAACUAUCUAUCAAUAAAAGAUUAUAAAAAUUAAAUUUUAAAUAUUUUAUAUUUAUAUUUUAAAUUUUAAUCACUUAUAUGAAUCUCUAUUUUAUAUUAAUACAGUUAAUUUAUAUUUACAUAAACUCGAUUGUGACAAUUUCAUUAAAAUAAUAUAAUCAAAAUAUAAAAUCAAAAGAAAAGUUUUUUGCCAAUUAAAUUAAUUUUUAAUCAAUUUUUAACACCUUAAUAUUCAUUUAAAUUUUAUCAUAUUUUUAAUAUAAUUAAUUAAAUUUAUCGUAUCAUUAAUUAAAUUUAAAUAUUAAUUUUAAUAAAAUUCAUUUAAUAUAAAUUUUUAAUUAAAUUUUUUAUUCACAAUUAUAAUAAUUUUUUUAAUUAUAAUUAUAAUAAUUUUUAUUUUUAUUUUUAUUAUAAUAAAUCUCAUUAUCCAUCCAAAUAAAAAUUUUAUUUUCUUUAUAUCAUAACGUCACUUUUUUUAAUAACUUAUUUUAAAAGUCAAGUCCUUUCAGGCUCUUUCCUAUGAUCCAUCACGGAUCACAAUUUUCUAUAUGUAGAAUAAAAGUGAAUAUGCAAUAAUUACAAUAAAAAGUUAAAGGUGAAAAAAAUUAAAAAUUGAUUUAAAAUUAUGAUGUUAAAUUUAGUUUAGAUCAUUUUUUUAUUAAAUUUAGAUCAAAUUUAAAUAUUAAAUAUAUAUAUUAAAUUUAGAUCAAAUUUAAAAUUUGAAUAUGAAAAACGAAAAAAAAAUCAAAUCAAAUUAUAUAUAUUUAAAAUUUUUAUAAAAUAAAAAUAAUUCUUUUUUAGAAAUCUAUUUAAAUAUAUUAAAAAUUAGAUUAAAAUAAUAUACAAAAAUUUUAGAUUUAAAAAUUAAUAAACCAAAUCGAAUUAGUAAAAUUCAGUUUUGAUCAGAUUAAUUCAAAAAAAAAAUCAAUUAAAAUUCAGAUCAAAUUUUAAAAAUUCUUAAUAUUAUACAUUCUAAAAAAAUGAACUAAAACCAAUCAAAUCUAAAUCGUUAUCACUCCUAAAAAAAAUUAUUAUUACCAAAAAAAAAUUUCACGCUAUUGCUAUAUAUAAAAUCCUUUAUUUGAAAUUGAAGUGCACGUUUGGUCAAAUUACCAGCUACUUUAUUUCUUAUCCUUUGAGAAAUUUACUAAGUGUAGAGUGAAAAUUUUCAAGUAAUUUCGACCACAAAAACCUUUUUUUCAAGUAAUUCCUUAAUUUGUCUCUUUUAAAGAAUGUUUAUGUUUGGUUUAGUCUCUUUAGGAUAUGAUCAUUUGUAAUAUUCCACGAUGAUAAAGCUUGACAUGAAAAAGUACUUGUAAACUAAACUAGUUCCUGUACUUCAGAAGUUUACUAGGUAUUGAGUAAAAUUUUCCAAGUUGCUUCUUUGUCUCCUUUGAAGAAUACUUGUCUUGUUCUUAAUCUCCUUAAAUAAAUACCUUUUGCAAUAUUCCAAGCUGAUAUAUAGAAUUUGAUACCGAAAAAUACUUCUAAACGACUACAGGAAAUGAAAUUUUCACCACAUAUGUUGACAAAAAAAUGCUGGAAUUAAAGAAUAUAUUAAAGUCUGUGCAAAGGGCAAUAAAAUAAUUGAGGACAAGAGUACAAACUGAUGAGUCACCACAAAAAGGAGGUACCAAAGGCAUCCAAUGCCAAAGAUAACAGACGUCUCAGCAAGUCCAUCCACGGCGAGGACAAAGCAAGUAAAGUUUCUCAGAUUUACAAGAUAAUAUUUAUGUAAAAAACAAAAGUAGUCUGGAUAAAAACAAUCCCUCAGUGCAAAUUUAACUCAGAAGAGAUAUUGCCAACUAAUGAGGAAAGUAGAAUUUCACAGUCGUACCUAUCGUCAGAAAGAAAAAGGUUGUUUCGAGCUAUUUGAACCAUUCAUUUAUAAUGACAUACAACUGUGAAGAUAAGAGAAUUAAUUAUUUAAAUAUCUGAUGUAAGUAAUGAUAUAAAAAAUUUUCUUUUAAACGAGGAUAUUAAUUCAAAAUUUAAUUUAAUUAAUUUAUAAAAUUAUUUAAAAAAUAAUAUUUAUAACAUUUUUUAGUUCAAACUUAAACUUUGCUUACAAAAAAACCACUGUUUGUAUUUUGAAUUUAUGCAGUUACUUUUUUUUUGUUGAAAAAAAAUUAAAAAUUAAAAAGAUUAAUUUAUUUUUAAAAUUAAGAUAAAUCAUCCAUUUAUAAGAAAAUUUAUAAAAUUUGUAAAUUUUUUUAAAUUUACAUAUUAUCUAUCAAUAUAUCAUAAAAAUUUCAAUUUGAAUAUUUUAUAUUCAAACCUUAAAUUUUAAUUAAUUAAACCAAUUUUUAUCGAAAUUUAUUCAAUUAAUUUAUAUUUACAUAUGCCUCCGGUUAUAACAAUUUGAAUAAAACAAUAUAAUCAAAAUGUACUUCUUUCAAUUUUAUUUACAGAAUCAAAAGGAAAGUUUUUGCCAACUGAAUUAAUUUUUAAUCAAUUUUUAACACCUUACUUUCUUAAAAUCGUAAUGUUAUUGUUUUUAAUAAUUUAUUUUGGAAGGCAAGUCCCUUUAAACUCUUUCCCAUGAUUCGUCCUUGGUCACAAUUUUUAUAUGUAAAAUAAAAGUGAAUACUUAAGAAUUACAAUAAAAAAGUUUGGGGUGAGAAAAUUAAAAAUUAAUUUAAAAUUAUAGUAUUUAAAUUGAUUUAGAUUAUUUUUUAUUUAAUUUAAAUCAAAUUUAAUUAUUAAAU
This 160261-nucleotide long non-coding RNA is filed under the name Durio zibethinus. RNAcentral describes it as "long non-coding RNA (DZIB_LNC000767)". The record is from RNAcentral. Lineage: Eukaryota; Viridiplantae; Streptophyta; Magnoliopsida; Malvales; Malvaceae.